CGGCCUCCUGGCCCUUGCUUUAUCACUUUUCCCUGAUUUUUGCAUUGCCAGAGGCCAGCACUGCGGCUCUUCUUUCUGUGGAAACAUUAACAUCAGUUACCCUUUUCGGUUAAAAACCCAGCCUCGCAGCUGUGGAAACCGUAAGCUAGAACUCGAGUGUGAUGACGAGAAUAACCGCACCAUUUUCCCCAUGAAAUAUGGGAAUUUCUAUGUCCAACACAUCUCUUAUAGUGAUGGAACCAUUCAACUUUUAGACGUAAGUCUUGGCAACGAUAACUGCUCCAUUCCUCAUAGUUCCUAUCCUUGGUACACCCCUUUCGCGAAAAAACUAUAUCUCUAUCAAACUACCUCUGACUUUAGCAUCAUGUAUCUCGUCAAUUGCACGACGCAGAUCAACGACUCUUGGGUUUAUAUCGAUGCUUUUCGUUGCGCCAAUACCCCUUCCCCUCGACCUUGUUACUUGUAUUUUUUGGAUGGAGAAACAGCAAAUUCUGAUUUCCAUGAGUCAUGCAGAAUUGAAGCCCAGGUUCCAAUCAUGCUUGCCAAUAUCACUGGCCUCUCUACUUCUGAUAUUUACAGAAAGCUGUUGACGGGAUUCCAAAUCGCAUGGUUUUCCUAUGACGAUGAUAAUUGGAUUUUGAAUAGGUGAGUAUUUUGUAGUAUUUUAUUAAUUACAGAUAUGAUCAAUAAAAUAAGAUAAACAAUUAAUUUAUUUGCAAAUUUUACGCAUCAUACUUAGAGUAGAAAUGGAGACAAAUAUUUUUCAAAAAUUUUCAAUUAAAACGUUAGAUUAUUUUAUGUUUCAACUUCUUAUUAAUGAUUUUUAUUCUUUGCUUGAAUAUAUUAUAGAUUGCUAGGGCUGGCCAUCCUGUUGCCGUAUGCAUUAGUUACAUAUAUACGAGGCAACCUGACUUUUUUCCUUGGAGGUAGUUCACUAUCUCGUUUUAUUGGUGCACCUAGCAAAGGUAUGGUUUUCGGAGUUCAUCAGUAGUUUAAUUAGAUGUGUGUCCAAGGUUCUUAGGGUCUUAAGCUUGCGUUGUAUUUGGGCUUAGGUUCUUGGGCUCCAGUCUACCCAAUUUGAUUCGAAAACUUUAUAUCAGUAAAUAAUAUGUUAUUUAAUUUUAAAUCUCAAUUUUAUUUGAAAAUUAAUAUAAAAUUAAAUAUUAUGUUUAUGGACAAAUUAGGCUUUGGUUUUGAAAUUUGCCUAUCUAGUACUGAUACCCAAUCCAACCUAGGCUAUAAAAACCUCUAAAAAAAUUUACCUUCCGCUAAAGUAUAGCAUUAAUUUUUUAUUUGAUAUUUUGGCAGGAACCCAGAUCAUUUGUGUUGCAAUAACAGGUAAAGCCCCACCAUUUACCAUGAAAGUUUAUGACUAUGUGACAUCAUAUUGUAGGACUAAAUAAAUAAAUAAAUAUAUAUAUAUAUAUAUAUAUAUUACAAUAAACACCAAAUUAACAUGAAUGUCAAAGAAAAGCAUGUCCAAGUAGGAGAAAAAAUUAUGGUUAAAUUUUGAAAUUAGUCUUUGUACUCUAUCAAAGUGAUGAAUUUAGUCUUUAUACAAUAAUUUGUAAAAAUUAAAUCUUUAUUUUUUUAAAAAUUGACAAUGUCACUCCAAUUGUUAAUAAUAUUAAAGUUUUUUCUAUUAUUUAUGUUGAUAUGGCAUUAAAUAUGAUGAUGUGACAUUUUUAUCUAUUUCAUAAUAUUCUUUUCACAAUUUUAAAUUAUAAAGCACAAAAAUUCAAUUAUUCUAUGUCUCAUAACAUUCUUUCCAUAAAUCCAAGAAACCUAUUUGUAUUUUUCAUUUGUUUCUUUUCCAAUCCCAUUUAAAACCAUUAGUUCAUGUUGAAUAAUUUCAUGUCCGCACUUAUAAAGUUCAUGUUAGUGCUUGGUUAUGUCAUAUCAGUACUACUAUUGCAUCAUUUGUGAAAUGUCACAUUAUUAUCGUUAUGUCAUUUGAUUUAAUAUCAUAUUAGCAAGAACAUAUCACGUCAACACAGACAAACGUCAUAUCAUUAUAGAUAACAGAAGAUUUUUAACACCUUAGACUAACAUUGUUAAUUUUUGAAAGUACAGGAACUCAAUUUUUACAAAUUAUUAUACAAAGUCUAAAUCCACCACUUUGAUAAAGCAUAAAGACUAAUUGCAUAAUUUAAUCAAAAAAAUAUAUUUUGUGCUAUAAAUAUUAUAUAUUUUAUUGUAGGAAAACAUGCGCAUUAAAAAAAUUGUGUAAAAACCUUUGUAUUGAUCAUACUUGUACUAGUCUUUUACCUUUUUAAGACUAACCUAGAGUAAAAUCAAGAUCUUGAUUCUAGACAUUUUACAAGCCUUUUGAUCUCUAAAAACUCAUUGUGGGAAACUACUACAAAAAUGAGUAGCAAUAUACUUUUCACAAUAUAAGAACCUUAGUCUAACAUUAUGUGGAGGGAGAGAAGUUUUUCUCUAGAACAAAAGUUUUAUGUUCUUAUAUUUUCAUAACAUUCUUAGGUUGUGUUUGGUAUGAGGAAUGUAUACCACAUUCCUGGGAAUAAUAUUCUUAUGUUUGGUAAGCAACAUUUUAGAGAAUGAUGCCUUACCAUGGGAAUGUUGUUCCCAUUGCAAAAGGAGGGAAAGUUUAUGUGAUGAUGGGUGUUAUGAACCCUUUGUUUGUAUUGCUGGUCCAUGUUUAUUGGUGGUUAUUUGUCUUGAUCCCAUACAUAGCCUAGGUUGAUUUUUUUUUUUUGAGUUGGUGUAUGCUUUUCUCUAUAGCUGCUUUCUCCGCAAAGCAGAUUUUUUACCCUUCAUGGGUAGCUUUUGUAAAAGCCUCUCUUGAAUCAAAUACAAUUUUAACUUUCAAAAGAAAAAAAACUUGAAUUUUGGAAGUUUUAUACUAGAAACUCAUUAGAGCCAACAUAGACACAUAAACCCUUUUAAAAAUUGUCUCAUGUGUCCUAGACUUAUUUAAACACAUCAAAUAUGAGUAUCUCAAUCCCACAAUGAGCAUACUUCAACCUCUUUUCACAUUGCAACUUAUAAUCAUAAUUAUAUCAUAGCCCUCAAAAGCAACAUAAUUGGUUGACCUUGAAUAUAGUGCAUUGAUGUAGUAUCAAAUAUCUUUCCCUUUGCCCCAAUACUACUUAUUUUAAAAAGAGCGUUUUCUCAAUAAUUUCCUAUAUAAUCGAAUCAUCCAUGAUCUUAAGUAGCAUACCCAAGUAGCAGAUAUUCAUUCUUCACUUUAUGAGAGUCAAAAGGCAUAAAGUGCAUAGUACAAGUUUUAUUAACCUCCUAAUUAAGACUCACACGAUGAAGAAGUAAAGAUCCAUUUUGUCACCUCCUAUAUCGAUUAUAAAGUGCAUGUAAUAUGAAGUACAUACUACAGUGAAGGGUUUGUCUCUAAGAGCAUACGUAAAACUCCUUAAAACUGUACAAGUCUUAGUCUAGUCGCUCUUUAAUAGCAUCUAACUUGAGUUUCCCAUUUGCUUGCCAUUUUAGGCGCCAAAUUAGGCCUCACAUCUAGCUUCCUCCACAGGUUACAUGGAUUAUGGGCUAGUUCAUUAUUGGUCCCUUAGUUAUUAUUUAUUAUAUGGACCUCAUCUUGGCUCCAACCAGGACAACAUUUCAAACUAUAUUUGUUAUCUAAAAGCUUUUGUAGUUUGUGUCUCAUUUUUGCUCGCCUUUAGAAAGGUUAAAUGCGAUUACGGGUAUAAGUGAGACAAUUUCGAACUUGUUGACAUAUCUUAUAUCUCUUGUCUGCUAAUUAAUAUAUAAACAUAAAUCCAUCUAUUAUGGAAAAAAAUUACAUAAACAUUUAAUAUCCCAAAGUUUCAAUACAUAAAAUAAAAAAAAUCAGCAUCUAUGAAGUCCUAAAGGCUUAACAUGAGUCACAGAGGCAUCCCUUAGAAUAAGUUUAGUCAAAGGAUCCACAGCCAUAUGACAAGUGGAAAUAUGUUUUAAGAUCAAGUCCUUUUGCAUUGUUAAAUCUCUAAUGAAGCUAUUUCACAUAUCAAUGUGUUUGGUUUUGUCAUGAUAUUUGUAUGCUUCAUGAAAGAAAUUGUUGUCAUACUAUCACAAUGAAUGGUCAUUGGAUUUAAGGCACAACUAAUUACAUCAAGAUUUUGAAAGAAUCGCCUCAACCAAAAUAUUUCUUGUACGACUGUUGAACAAGCUAAAAAUUCUACUUCCAUAGUUGGUAAGGCAAUGCAAGAUUGCUUCUUGUUGUUCUGUGAGAUAUCGCCACCAUUGAGCAAGAACGCAUAGCUUGAUGAUGAUAUUUGUAUGCAAGAUUGUUUCUUAUCACUUCCUCAAUCAACAUCAUUAUAAUCAAUGAGGUUCAAACUUGAACUAGAAUAACAUAAUUUAUAAUCAAUAUUUCUCUUAAGAUAGCACAAUAUCCUUUUAAUUGCUUUCCAAUGGACAGGUUCGAUAGGAAUUUACUUAUUGAACCAUUUGCAAAGUUGAUAUCAAGCUUGGUGCACAUCAUAACAUAUACAUAUAAUAACUAACUACACUUGAAUAAGAAACAUAAGCCAUCUACUUUUGUUUUUUGCAGUCUUAGGAGCUAUAUAAGGAUUCAAGGUUUUGAUUUUUGUAAUAAAAGUAUCAAUGCGUUUUUGCAAUUUUGCAUCUGGAAUCAUUUAAGAACUUUCUUGAUAUAUGUCUCUUAGGACAAACCAAUGUCUUUUUGAAUAAUCCUUUAGGAUCUUAAAUCCAAGUACAUAAUUUGGUUCAACCAUGUCAUUCAUCUUAAAGUUUGAGGACAACCACUUUUUAGUGGCAAUACCCAACCAAUAGUAUAUCAUCAACGUAUAAUGACAAUAUGAUGAAACUUCCUUUGAACCGUUUAACAUUCAAUAAUCACAAACCUAGUAUGAAUAAUGGUGUGAUGAAAUUUAAGAUACCAUUGUCUAGAUGAUUGCUUUAGCCCAUAGAUAGAUCAUUUAAGCUUGCAAACUUUGUGGUCUUGAGCUUUUGCAACAAAGCCAUUAGGUUGAUUCAUAUAGAUCUUUUCAUCUAGUUUUUCAUUGAGAAAUGUUGUUUUAAUACCCAUCUGGAAAAGCUUUAGAUCUAAAUUUGCAACUAAGGUUAGAAUUAAGCAUAUUAAGGCAAACCUAUCUACUGGUGAGAAGGUUUCCUCAUAGUCCACCCCUUUUUAUUGUGUGUACCCUUUCGCUAUUAGGUAAGCCUUGUAUCUUUCAAUGGAAUCAUCCGCCUUGCCUUUUGCUUUUAGAAUGCAUUUGUUCUCAAUAGUCUUACGCCCUAGUGGAAGUUCAAUUAAGUCUCAAACAUGAUUUGUCCUUAUAAAUUGUAGGGUUGUUAACGAGUAGGGUACCUGUUAAUUUUGAGAUAAUACCUGAAUCCUAUAACUACCUAAAUAUUUUUGAAAAUUAGUACCAUAAUUCAAACCCAAAUAUAUAAACACUGCUCGAUAAGUAUUCGUACCCGUUUUAAAACCUAUUAUGUACAAAAAUAUUAAAAUACUAAGAAAAGAAAGAAAAGACAAACCAAGAACAAAUUAAGCAAUUGAACAACGAUUUGAGCACUAACCAGAACAAUGAAUGACUAAGAAAAGAAAGAAAAGAAAAAGGAGUUGCUAGGGAGCAAGUUGAGCAUUGACCAGGACCAAGAACGACUAAGAAAAGAAAAACAAGACGAAAGAGCAGCAAAAGUAAGCGAGUUGAGCAAUGAGCAUUGACUAGAAGGUAUAGAACUAGGAACGACUAAGAAAAGAAAGAAAAGAAUAAGAGGCGGCUAGGGGAAGAAAAGAAAAAAAAAAAGAAAGAGUAUUGAGGGGAAGAAAAAAAAAGAAAAAAAAAGGGCUAGGAUUUAUAUAUUAAUAUAUUAAUAUUAUUAAAUUAUAAAAUCAACAUUAUUUUAUUGUUUAGUAAUUAUCAACAUAAUCGGGUUCAAGUAGUGGGUACCUAAGGGAUAACACUUGAGCCCUACCCGAACCUAAUACAAGUGGUGAAAUUACUAUCCAAACUUGUCUCAAACUCGAUUAUAAGAUACCCUAACCCUAUAUAAUCGAGUCGGGUACUCGCGAGUACCCUAUAACAGGGUACCCAUUGCCAUCCAUAAUAUAUUUUAUUUCAUAAUUCAUUGCAUUUUUUUACUCUUGUGUAGUAAAGGAAGAUAAAGCCUUUUGAAUAGUUGUCAGUUCAGCCUCCUUUUGUAGAGCAAUUAUGAAAGCUUUUCCUCAAUCUGAAACCGAUGAUAAGAGAUACAUAUACGUUUGUUUCUACGUAACUCAACUUGAGGAUCUUUAUCUAUUGUGAUAGAUGAACUUAAUGGUAAAUGGCUCUCUCUAUCCCCAAAAGUUUGAGGAAUUUCUUUCACAUUCUCAAUUAGGCUGCUUGGUGGGCCAAUAUCAAGACCUUCAAUUUCAUAAAGGUAUAUUUCAUUAUGAAUUUCUCCUUUGCUUGGGAAAUCUUCUUUUAAGAAAAUCACAUCUCGUGACUUAUGUUUGGUUAUGCUUCCAUUUCCAUGUUCUCAUAUGAACACAUAUCCCUUAGAGUGUUCAAAGUACCUUGUAAAGAUACAUAUUUUUGCUGUUAGAUAUAAUUUCCCAUCCUUAUACUAAGUAAUGUGUACAAAAGUAGCUAAACCCCAAGGUUGCAAAUUACCCAUGUUAUGUUUUCUGUUGGUCUAAAGCUCAUAUAGGGUUGAAAGUAUUGAUCUGUACGAUGCACAAUAAAGAACAUAAGAAAUAGUCAAAAGUACAUCCCCCAAAAAAGAUAAGAGAAUAUCUGUUUACAACAUCAUCGACCUAACCAUGUCUAAGAGGAUUCUGUCCAUUCUUUUCACUACACCAAUUUGUUGAAAAGUCUUUAGAAUCGUUAGUUGUUUGAGUAUCCUUUUUCAUGACAAAGCCUCUUAAAUUACUCAGAUAAAUAUUCACAACCUCGGUUUGUUCUUCCAGGCUUAAGCUUUGGUCUAGUUGAUUCUCAAUCAAGGUUACAUAGUGUAUUUUUGAACUUAUGGCAAAUCAAGUAGACAUUACCAAACACGUAUAGCAAUUUAUAAAUGUAAUGAAACAAGGAGCACCAUGGCUUGCCUUCACAUUCAUUGGGCCACAAAUGUCUGAAUGGAAUAUUUGUAAUAGAACAAAUACUCUUUUGGCUUUUCCAAAAUGGUUUUUUAAUUGCUAUUCUAUAAAAAAUGUUCAUAGGUUGGCGAAGAAACUUUAGCGAAUGGGCCUAAAAGACCUUUUUUAGCUAAUCUAGUCAUUUUAUCUUGUCAAAUAUGGUCUAAUCUAGCAUGCCAUUUUACAAAAAUAUUACAAACAUUAUCAUGGGUAACAAUUAAAGAAAUAGAUCAUUGACAUGAUUAUAGCUAGCAUAAUUAGUGUUUAAAAUCAUCAAACCAUCUCGAAUAAAACCACAAUUAUAAUUAAUUGUUCCUAUAAAAAUACCAACGUGAUUUCCCUCAAAAGCAAACCUAAAACCUAAGUUUAACAUGAUUAUAACUGAAAAUAAGUUUUGCCAAAGUUUUGGAGUAUAAAUGACAUCAUGAAGAAGCAAGGUACAAUACUAUACAUUUCCAACUUGUAAAUGCCAAUGCCUAGUACCUCCAUGCUAGUAUCAUUCUCAUUUUUUAUGUUUUUAAAUCUAACUAGAAUUAGAUGGAACUCGAAAAAUCCAACUCUUUUCUUAGUCCACAAACCACAUCAGAAAAGGAUGAAUAGAUAAAGUUUUACUAGCCACAAAGCAAUCAAAAUGAGACAUACAAUUGGAAAGUACUUACUUUCACUUCAUGCACUACAAGCGAAAUGUCCUAAUUUUCCAUAGUUAUAACAAGUUAAUUUGGCUCUAUCUUUCUUACCACUAAGCUUGCAUUUAUGAUGCUUGGUAGUUUUUUCCUUCUUUGGUGCAAUCCAUUAUUAGUGUCCUUCUUAAAGACUCUUCUUCACUUAGACCAAGAUGCCUUGCAUGAACUAGGCUUUGCAACAUUGACAACAUUAAUUGUGGUAGAUUUUUGAACCUUCAAGCACUCAUCUUCCAACUCCAAAUGACAUAAUAUGUCAUCAAAAUUUUUUUACGCUAUCAUUAUAUGUCGCCUCUGUCUUCAUGUGCUCCCAAGAGUAAAAAAAAAAAAAAAAGGGAAUGACUACUUGAAUCUAUUGUUCAUCUGUUAAGACAAUCUCUACUGCCUUAAGCUAAUCAAGGUAGAUAUUGUUCUCAAAUGUUUUUUCAUUGAUUUAUAUGCCUUUUUCAUAUAAGUAUUGAACUUUAAGUUCAACUAGCACAACUUAGUUAGAUAAACCAUUCCAUAUUUGUUAUUAAAGGCUUGCCACAUCUCAUGAGUUGUCUAAUUCUACUCAAACUUGCCUAUCAAAUCCUUGUGCAUGGUGUCAACAUAGUAAAAGCAUGCACCAUAAUCCUUCUUACACCAAUUUUGCUAGGCUUUAAGAUCAUAAUUGUGUUGAUCAUUGUGCAUGUUACUCAACAUAGUAAAGAGUGCACAACGAUCCUUUUUGCAACAAUUUUGGUAGUCUUCAAGAUCACAAUGGUAUUGAGUUAUAUUUUCAGGUAUGCCUCUUGCAUAAUUUGGUCAAGGCAUUUGAAAACCCCUUGCUUAUUUAAGAGAUAUUGGAUUUUAUGACACUAAAUUCAAUAUGCUCGUAAUCAUCUCUAGUAUACAAGUAAUUAUUAACAUUAUUCAAAAUAAUUCGUAAAAUUUUAGUUUUAGGAGAAAAAUUCUAAAAAUUUCACUCAUACCAACACCUCCCACUUAUCAUGGCAUUUCUGGAUAUGACACUAAAUUGCAUAUUACUAGAGAACUUAGCAUGCUUAACAACUCAUAAAAUUAUAUCAUGCUAAACAUAUUUAAUUUCUGAAUAAUUUAAAUGUCAUCAUAUAAAUCAUGUAUCACAUGAAUGCUAUUCACUUAAAAUAUUAAAGACAUAACCUAAGUAUUUUUCUUAAUAAUUAAAAUUUCAAAAAGGUACAAAUUAUGGAGAAAAUUCUAAUUAUAGGUUCUAAAAAUUCAUAAAAUGCACACCAGACAUCUCUUUGUUGCACACAUUCCCAUAAGUGUAGCAUAAACUCUCACUGACCCAAAAACAAAGGCAUGUGGCUCCGCGUGCACGAAUGAGUCGCGAAAAUUUAAAGUUAUGUUUUUAGCAUAUUUUAAUUUUAAAAAUAUUUUUGAGAAAUGUUAAAAUUAUGAAAAGACUAUAAAAGAAAUAAAUAGCAAUAUUCUUGAAUUUUUAGUGAUAGUGUGUCAGAAGCGCACCUCCAUAGAGUCCUUACACGCCACCACACACCACCUAGGUGUGAGUGGGCAUCUUUUUCUACCCAAGAAAACUAUUUCAAUGCAAAUCAUUAUCCCUUGGUGGCAUGUGCAAUCCACGCACUGCUUCGUAGAAGCUUUUUGUCAUGUUCUUUAUGUUAGUUGGUUGAUCUUAGAAAAGAGAAUCCAUUAUGGUGGUCAAUGCUUCAACUGGAGUAUAGGGUGUACGACAUGCAUUAAGUCGAAAGUGGUUUGGGCUUUUGGUCUGUUUUUUUUUUUUUUUCAAUUUAGUCUCAAUUUCUUUUGCAAAGUUCUCUAAACAUACAAAUCCAAAUGAUACAAAUAAUAUACUGAUGGAAAGUUUAUCAAGAAAGGAUAUUAUUAGUAUAAAAUCGUAAAUAAAAAAACAUAGGAUAGAGAGAAAAUAUAAUCAAAGUUUCAGAUCAAACUUUUAAUUUUUUUUUCAAUAUUUACUCAUCACAUGAAGCUUAAAUUGUCAAGAUUUCAUUAAGCACAUAUAAGUAUCAUAUGAUGAAAAAAUCAGUGUUGAGUUUUAGGUUGUCUACCAUUCUAUAUUUUAUUUGAUUAGGAUUGUUGUUUGUAUACAACAUUAAAUAGUUGCAUAGUUUUAAGCUUUUUGUUCUACAUUGAGUCUUAAUCACAUUAUACUUAGACUUUUAUAUUAUAAAAGUGGAUCUCUGAGCUUUGAGAAAGGGUUUAAAAUAGUGAGCAGUGCUUUGAGAACUCUAAAGAGGGAACAUUUUGUAACUCUAUCUUUUGCUCUAGGUGAAGCUAGAGUGGUUUGGGUUAAUAUUCUUGGGAGGUUAUUGUAAAAGGGUGUGUAAGGGAUCUUAAAUUGGUUUUGGAAACUAUAGAGGUCAAUUUAUUAUACUUUAAUUUCUCAAUAAUAGAAAAACGGUUUCAUUCUGUAGAUGUAGGUAAAAGGCCAAACCACGUAAAUUCUUAUGCUUUUUCUGUUUGUUUGAUUUCUCUAAGUUUUAUUUUUAUUGUUUCUUGGACAAUUUUCACAAUAAACUGGUAUCAGAGCAUUGGGUUUGAGAAAAUCAAGAUUCAACAAAUAUGUCAAGAGUUACUAGUUCUACAAAUUUUUCAAUUGAAAAGUUUGAUGGGAAAACUAGUUCACGUAGUGGCCGAGAAGGAUGAAAGAUCUCCUUGUGCAACAAAGUUUGGUGUGUCCCUUGCUAAGAAAGGAGGAAAGGUAACUAGAUGACAUGAAGGAUGUUGAAUGGGCAAAGUUGGAGCAAAGGUGUGUGAGCACUAUUCGGCUUUGCAUUAGAGAUAACAUGCUUAACUAUGCUAUUGAUGAAGAUUCUGCUCCAAGGUUGUGGGCAAAAUUGAAAAAGAUUUACUUGACAAAAAAUCUUUCUAAUAAGUUGCAACUUAGGCGAAAGUUGUAUCGCUUAAAGAUAGAAGAGAAUGGAGACCUCAUGAAGCAUAUGAACGAAUUCGACGGGGAUCAUUGAUCAAUUGAAGAAGGUUGAUGUGAAGGUGGAGAAAGAUAAAAAGGUACUGUUAUUCCUAGCAUGGCUCCCAAACUCCUAUGAGGUAUUUGUGGAAUCUUUGAUAUGUGUGGUAGAUACAAUAACGUUAGAACAAGCACAAGCAACAUUAAUGUCUUGUGAAACUUGAAAGAAAAAUAAGAAAGGGGAUAGAGAUUCAAGUAGCUUGGCAUUGAUAACUGAGGUUUGUAGAAGGAAGUCAUUCGACAUGGGAUUUAAGGGUGGCAAGUCUAGAUCUAGCAAUGUUUAGUGCUUUCAAUGCAAAAGGUAUGGACAUAUUAAAAAGGAUUGUCCUACAAAAUAGGAUGAAAGUAACUUGAACAAAGGUGAGUGUGCUUUUGUUGCUGAAGGUGAUGAUUGUGAUGUCCUUGUAAUAUCAGAAAAUAUGGAUACAAAUUCUGAUUGGUAUUUAGAUUUUGCUUCUGCCAUUCAUGUAUGUUAUUAAAAGGAUUAUUUUGAUUUAGUUCAAGCAGGAGUGUCUGAGAAUUUGACUUUAGGUAACAAGUCAAUAAUGAAGGCCAUAGGUCUUGAAAUGGUGAAAAUCAAAAUGUUUGAUGAGGUUGUGCGCUCUUUAGGUGCUGUGGCCUAUGUCCUAGAGAUGCGUAAGAAUUUAAUAUCAUUGAGCUUGUUAGACUCCAAAGGGUGUAAAUAUUUUGCUUAUGAUGGAGUGGUAAAAGUCACACAAGGUGCCAUGGUCUUGAUGAGGAGAAAUUUGCAUAAUGGUUUGUAUCGUCUAGAAUGUGAGGUCUCGAAGGGAUGGGAACAGUGCACAAGUGAUGGUGGCUACUAAAGUGAGAUUUCAUUUGCCGAGAAGGUGAUGAAAGGUUCUCAUGGCAUAGACAGUGGUGAAAAGACGAAAAAUCUUACUAGUAGUGAAUUGGAAAGGUCAUUGAGGUCCAUUUUCGAAGUCAAUUAAUGCCAUUGACUUGACGGCUACACAGUUGCAUUGGCCAUUUUAUGAAAAUGAGUGUUGGACCAUGCUUGAUUUAGUAUGUGUAGUCGUGGUAAUUUUUAAGGCCAAUGGUUUGGAAAGUCUUGUACUUGGAGAGUUGUUUAAUGUGUAGGAAAGUAGGUGGAGUUAGGAGGUUGCAAUUAGGUGCGAUUGGUGGAAGAGCCUUAAAGAGUUUGAAUUCAAGUCAAAGGUGGAGAUUUGUUGAGUUUUAGGUUGACUAGAAUUCUAAAUCUUAUUUGAUUAUGAUUCUUAUUUGUAUACAACAUUAAGUAGUUGAAUGGUUUUAAACUUCUUAUUCCACAUCGAAUCUUAAUCACAUUCUACUUUGAAUUUUUAUAUUAUAAAAGUGGAUUUCUAGGCUUUAGAAUAGUGAGUGGUGCUUUGAAAGUUCUAGAAAGAUAACACUUUGUAACUCUAUCUUUUGCUCUAUGUGGAGCUAGAGUAGUUUGGGUGAGCGUUCUUGGGGGGUUAUUGAAAAAGGAUGUGCAAGGGAUCCUGGGUUGGUUUUGGGAACCAUAGAAGUCAAUUUAUUGUACUUUAAUCUCUCAAUAAUAAAAGAACGGUUUCACUCUUUGGACAUAGACAAGAGGCUGAACCACAUAAAUUCCUAUGUUUUUUCUAUUUAUUUGAUUUCUUUGGGCUUUUUAUUUAUUAUUUUUUGGGCAAUUUUCACAACAAUCAGACCUUAGAAACAUACCUUUCUACAAUUAUCAUUAAGAUGCCUUUGCCAUAUAAGCUUAAAAAAUAUGAUAAUCAUAAACUAAGCUAUAAUUAAUGAAUCUUAGCAUGUUAGUCAUGUUUUUCAGAGAUCAUAACAACAUGAAAAUCCUUGAUUCGGCUCUAAUAUCAAUGUAAGAAAACAUGCAGAUUACCAAAAAAUUACGAAAUAAUUUUUACUCCGAUCAUACUUAUGUCAGUUUUUUGCCUUUUCAAGACUAAUGCAGAGUGACUCCAAGAUCUUGAUUCUGGGCUUUUUACAACCCUUUUUAUCUCAAAAAUCUCGCAAUGGAAAUUAUUACAAAAAUGAGUAGUAACCACACUCUUCACAAUACAAGAACCUUAGCUUAACAAUGGAACAUGGAUGGUUUUUCUCUAGGGAGGAAAGUUUUCUACUCUUGUAUUUUUAGAAUAAUCUUGAUGAAUUGUUGGUGUGUCAUUUGGUGGAGCAUCCAAGCAUAUUUAUAAACCUUUUAAGAUCGCUUAAGAACUCUCAUCAAGAUAAUCCUGAAAAUAUUUUUUUACAAUAAAUAAUUUAACAUUUAAUUGAUUUUAGAUUAUUGUAUUCAUUAUAUUGGUUGUAUUUUUCUAUUAAUAUGAAAAAAACUUACAAAAUAAUCGCAUUGUGAAAGUAAUUGAAGUAGUUUUAUAUAUAUAUAUAUAUAAGUGCAUGUGUGUGUCUCCUUUUUCCCCUUUUCUCAAAAAGCACGUGACACAAUUUUGAGUGUCACUAAGUUACACUAUGCGAUAAGGUUAAAAUACACAUCCAUUAUCCCAAUAUACACAAGGAGCUAACUUGUUCUUCCCAUGAUGUUCACUAAUUGCCCUUUCAAUAACUAAUCCUAAGCAACUGCUCCUACUUGGUGUAUAUAUAAAAGCCUUGACAAUUCAUCAAGGAUACGUUGGAAAGUCAACAUACUCCUUCUUUAAGAUACUUUCUCAAACUCUCUCUUACUAAGGUCUUCCUUUGCCCCUUACUUUUUACCUAACUCUCUACCUUGGUCCAUCACUUCCCUAUAUUCUACCUCUUACCACAACACUCAGUGCUUUACCUAUAUCAAUCUCAUUCUUCGUCGCCUCUAUCACAUCUCAUUUUACUUGUUGCAAUACUACCACUCUCCCUAUCAAAGAAGAUUUCCUUCUACACGUAUGUUUAUUUUUUUUUUCAUUUCUUCUUCUCUUUUUCUUAUUUUAGUUAAUUAUCAUUAUAAUGUUAAAAUUAACCAAUCAAAGCUAAUUUGAAUUAUUCUUUUCUUGAGAAACAGGAAUUAUAUUAGCAAGAACAUUAUUGGGGAUAUUUGGCUUGAUUGCACUUGUUAUACACAAAUUAAGGAGAAGACAUUUAGCAAUGGAUGAUAUGAUAGAGAACUUUCUUCAGAGUCAAAACAAUCUGAUGCCUAUAAGGUAUUCUUAUUCUGAAGUAAAGAGAAUGACAGGAGAUUUCAAGAUUAAAUUAGGCCAAGGAGGAUAUGGCUCCGUGUUUAAAGGAAAACUUCGAAGUGGUCGAGAAGUUGCAAUAAAAUUGUUAAGCAAAUCAAAAGCUAAUGGACAAGAUUUCAUCAAUGAAGUUGCAACUAUUGGAAGGAUUCAUCAUGUUAAUGUGGUACAACUUAUAGGAUUUUGUGUGGAAGGAUCAAAACAGGCCCUUGUGUACGAUUUCAUGGUAAAUGGGUCCUUAGAUAAAAUUAUAUUUUCAACAGAGAAUAACACUUUAAGUUGGGAGAAAAUAUUUGAGAUUGCCCUUGGAGUGGCACGAGGAAUUGAUUACUUACAUAGAGGUUGUGAAAUGCAAAUUUUACAUUUUGAUAUCAAGCCACAUAACGUUCUUCUAGAUGAAAACUUUAGACCAAAAGUUUCAGAUUUUGGCCUUGCAAAAUUAUAUUCAGUGGAUGACAAUAUUGUCUCUCUUACAGCAGCACGAGGGACACUAGGAUAUAUUGCUCCUGAGUUGUUUUACAAAAAUAUUGGAGGCGUCUCAUAUAAAGCUGAUGUUUAUAGUUUUGGAAUGAUGUUGAUUGAAAUGGUGGGAAGGAGGAAAAACUUGAAUCCAUUUGCAGAACAUUCCAGUCAAAUUUAUUUUCCGUCGUGGAUCUAUGAUCAAUUUGAUCAUGGAGAUGAUAUAGAGCUUGGAGAUGUGACAGAAAGUGAAAACAAAAUUGUGAAAAAAAUAGUAAUAGUUGCCUUUUGGUGCAUACAGACGAAGCCCACAGACCGUCCUUCGAUGAGCAAAGUCUUGAAAAUGCUUGAAAGUGAACUUGAGCUCCCCGAAAUUCCUCCCAAGCCUUUUCUAUUCUCUCAAGAAAUGUCCACUAAAGAUCAUGCUAGUAAGAAUUCGAGAGAUGAGACAACUACAGAUUCCGAUAAUAUUGUGUAAUGUAAGUUGUGCAUGAAUUUUAGUACUUUAUCAUACUACCUUUAGUGUUUUACAGAUACAUUUCUAAUGAUUUGGGCAUUAGUUGUGGAAAUGAACAUGUGUGAGAAAUAGUAUUACUAAAAUGUAAGACAUUUAAGUUUGAUAUAAUGGUUAUUAUCUCUAUUUAUAUCAUGAAAAAUUUGGCAUUUAGCAAUGAAAAGUUUUUUAUUUAGUGUUACAAAAAAUUGUGAUGUAAAUAUUAUUUGUAGUAGUUUCUCUAACCCUUUUUUUUUUGCAUAUUUUUUGCCACAAAAUGGAGUUUGCAAUAGUCUAUCGUAGCAUAAGACUUUUUAUUUUGCGAAAGAUUAUUUUCAAUACUUUUUAAAUUUUUAUUAAAAAAUUUAGUUUCCAAAAUCUAGCAGUAUGUAUAAAACCUUUCUUUAUUGUAAAAAUAAUUAAAAUUUUGCAACAUUAUAAAAGGUGCUGCAAAAAAAUUGUUAAUAAAUGUAUAAUUUCGUUGAAUGUUAAUUAAAAUGUUUGAGAUUUGAAUUUAUUCUUCUCUUCAUAUAUGUUCCCAAAAAAAAUGUAAAAUGUGGACUCAAUUGUGUUUUUAAGGCCAUUGUAGUUGCUUUUUAGUCUUGGAUUAUUGUAACCUUUCUAUUGUGCAGGUUUAAUUCGAUGAACAACAAAGACUUGUUUUCUCUGAGUUCAAUUGCCAAGUUUGAACACGGAUUUUCUUCUUUCUUGUCUGAGUGGUCGUACCUGUCUACAGAAAUAUAAAGAAAGAUACCCACCGACUUUGGCUUUUUGGUUGUCACUCAUCAAUAGCUUUGGGUACAGCCUGUUUUAUGCUGUUUUGCCAGUUUUGGUGGUUGACUCAUGACUUUCGAUAUAAAUGUAUGGUAAUGUUAUUUAGCAGCCACAGAACAUGGCAGCAACAGUGAAGAUAAGGAACUUUCCUAGGUGCUUCUUUACUUGCCUCAAUUAAAUUACUCUCCCUUGGCUCUCUUUUUCUCUCCCACUGGUGAAAAUUUUGGAUGCUAAAGCGCAAAACUUUAAUCAUUUUGCCUCCUAGCUUUUGCUUUCUUAUAUGAAAAAAGAAUGUAACUUUAUUUUUCUCUUACUUUAUACAAAGAAAAUAUGUGGGUUCAAUUCUUUUUCAUACCUACCCACAAAAGUGAAAUCUUUACCACCAUAUAUAUCCAUGUUUAUCUCUCUUUAGUUGCAAUUAUAUUUCCCAAAUUCUCCUAACAAAAAUUGUAUAGACCUGCCAAAUUUUAUAAAAUUCUAUGCUAAUAAAAUAUUUUUAAUCACACAAGUUAAAAAAAAUUAAAUGCAAAUUUAUUGUAGUGUGUUUUUUCCACUUUGGUCUAGACUCCAGUCAAUUGAAUUUUCAAAGGCAGAUUUGCUUUCAUUUGCACCAAGAGAAUGAUUAGAAUGAUUGCCAGAGCAAUGAAAAUAAGAUAAUCCUAGGUUUUUUUAAUCUUCCUCCUUAGAAUUUUUUACACAUAUGAAAAGAAAAUGUAAAGUAUGGAACUGAUUAAGAAUCCAAAUCCUCUGUCGUAUUCGUUGACUUUUCAAAUGAAGACUUGGUUUUAAUAAUAAAGAUAAGAGAACAUCAUAGCGCUUUUUCACAAACUAAUCAAGCCCUUAAUCUCCUUCUCUCCCACGGAAACUGUAGGCUGCUGAGAGUAAAACUUCCAUUACUUUGCCUCUUGGCUUUUGCUUUUUCUCUACUCCUUGAUGCAUGCAUCGCUUGAGGCAAAAACAAGCACCGUGGCUUUUGUUUCUGUGGCUCUUUGUUUCUGCUGAAACAUUAACAUCAAUUACCCUUUCCGUUAAACUUAGAUUUGAUUUCCGUUGCAGCCAUAGAAAUAAUUAGCAAAGCAAUGAAGAUAACAUUGUGCUAAGAUUUAAUGUUUCUCGUUAAACUUUUUUAUGUAUAAUCCUCCAAAGAAACAUACUUUUUAAUACUUACAGAAAAAUAAAUGUAAAAUAUGAAAUUGAUCAAUUUUGUUUAGAAUUAUUAUUGUAUAUAUCUUGAAAUUUUGAAAUUCCAAAAUUUAUAAUAUUGUUUUUGACUCAUAUUAUACAUACUAUAUAUUAUUAAGGGAUUAUAUUAAUCUCCCUACUGUGUAGAUAUACUUGAAUGAAUUACAAAGAUUUAUUUUCUGUCAGUUUCACUGCCAGUUGGUUGGACACAUAUUUUAUUCAUUGUUGUUUGUUUGUGUGGAAAAUCACCCACGAGCACUAUGGCAGGCUUUGUGUUAAAUGUGUUUUACUGUUUUGGUUUUAAUUAGUUGAUUGACUUUUUAAACAAAGACUUGGUUAAGAAUAAAACUAAGUGAACAUCAUAGUGCUUCUUUACUUGCCUCUGUCAAAACUAGCACCUUAAUCUCCUUCUCUCCCACUGAAACUUUAGGAUGCCAGGCGCCAUACUUGCAUUACUUAUCCUCUUGGUUUUUGCUUUAUAUCUAUUCCCCGAUCCAGGCGUCGCUAGAGUCAAAUACAAGCACUGUGGCUCUUCUUUCUGUGGAAACGUUAACAUCACUUACCCUUUUCGAUUAAAAACCCAGCCUCGUAGUUGUGGUCACGAUAGUUAUGAACUAGUGUGCGAGAAUAACCGCACCAUUUUCCCCAUGAAAAAUGGGAAUUUCUAUGUCCAAGACAUCUCUUAUAGUGACGAAACCAUUAAACUUUUAGACGUGAGUCUUGGCAACGAUAACUGCUCCAUCCCUCAUAGUUCCUAUCCUUCGUACCCCCCUUUUUCGGAAGAUAACUCUGAAUUUAGCGUCAUGUAUCUUGUAAAUUGCACGAUGCGGAUCAACUACUCUUCCGUUUAUAUCGGUGCUUUUCGUUGCACCAAUGCCCCUUCCUCCUCUCAACCCCCUUACUCUUACUUUUUGGAUGAAAAUACAGCAAAGUCUGAUUUCUAUGAGUCAUGCACAGUUGAAGCCCAGGUUCCAAUCAUGCUUGCCAACAUCACCGGCCUCUCUGCUUUUGAUAUUUACACAAAGCUGUUAACGGGAUUCCAACUCUCAUGGGCCACUUCCUAUUAUGAUUAUGUUUGGCUGCGGUGGGACUCAAUUGGUAACGUGUGAGGAUUUUUAAGUACUCCGCAAUAUUUGGUGUUGUUUAGUUUUUGAAAAAUAUUUUUUAUUUUUAGCAAAAAUAAAUCUGAUAAAUUAAUAAAAAAAAUCAAAAUAUUUAGUUUUGAAUUCUUUUAAAUUACUUUUUUAAUUAUGUGUAUAAAUUUGCAUCAAAAAUUUUAAACUCGAUAUUUAAUGUAAAACUUAAAGAGAAGGAUUUAAAACAUUUUCAACAGUAAAAGUGCGCAUAUCAUUUGCCUUAUUAUUGAUUAAUGGUUUUGAUGUGCAUUUUUUAAUAUUAAUUAUAGAUUGCGAUCGUUGCUCUCGUUGUUGUUGCUUCCACUGAAGAUAUUUAUAAGAGGCAACGUUACUUUUUUUGAAGCAGAUCAUAUCGAUGGAUUUUAUAAAGGUAUUCUUUCGGUUCUGAGUUCAUUAAUAUUUUGAUUAUUAUUGGAUUUGCCUUUACUUUGAUAGUAUCUAUUUUCAUUUGUUUUCGAAUUGGUAAUAUCUUUGCAGGAAUCCAGAUUCUUUGUGUUGCAAUAACAGGUACUAAAUUCUACACUUAUUUAUUUACUUUUAAAUUCUAUAAUUGUUAUAAUGUAUGACAUCGUAAUGUAAAUCUAAGAUUCAAAUUGACAUUACUGAUUUAUUAUUAUAAUAAUAAAUAUAUUAAAAAAUUUUAAUUAUUUAAAAUAAUUUAAAUAAGUCUUUCUCUUUUUAUUUUGUUCAAUUAAACUCUUAUACAUUUAUGAUGAAAUAAAUAAGCUUUUAUAAUUAAUGGUUGACUAACUUUUAUUAAUUCAAAUUCAACUUAUCAUUCUAUACUCGUACUAGAGCAUUUGACUUAUUGGUUGAUGCAUAAUCCCCCUGUCUAAAGAAUAGAGUUCGAAUCCCCCCUCCUCCUAUUAUAAAAAAAAAAAAAACUUAUCAUUCUAUACUCACGUGAUGUUAACGUGGAGGGUAAAAAUGUCAUGUCAGCAUAACAUGUUUAUGUCACGUGACAUAAAAUAAUAAGUUGUAUUUUGAUUAAUAACUGGUAGUUAACCAUUAGUUAUAAUGAUUUAUUUGGUUUAAAAUAAAAGUAUAAGAACUUGAUUGUACGCAAUAAAAGCUUAAGAGUUUAUUUGAAUUUUUUAAAUAAUUCAAAGAAAUUUUGAAGUACUAUGCAUAUAUAUAUAUAUAUAUCAAUGUGAAAUUAAUUAAAUUUACACCUUUCAUAUUUUUUAUACAAUUUAUAUUUUGUUAAUCUAAUCGUUGUAUUCCAUAUAUACUCUAUUUACGUAGAUCAUGCAUGAAAAAUUUUAACUCAAUUGAAACUAUCUAAUUAUUUGUAUGAUAACAAUGAAAUUUUAAUUGUUAAAUAUAUAUUAAAGAACAAUAUUCUCCACCAAUGCUCUCUGAAUGUCAUUCUGACUAGAAACUUUAUAUGUAUGAUUAGGUGCAAACAAUGUUAGCUUGCUAAAAGUUAAUUGUAUAUGAAAUUAGAAAGGUGUAAAACUUAAUCAAUGCGUAAAUAUAUAUACAUAUAUAUAUAUAUAUAUAUAUAUAUAUAUUUAUUAUGNUAUAUAUAUCAAUGUGAAAUUAAUUAAAUUUACACCUUUCAUAUUUUUUAUACAAUUUAUAUUUUGUUAAUCUAAUCGUUGUAUUCCAUAUAUACUCUAUUUACGUAGAUCAUGCAUGAAAAAUUUUAACUCAAUUGAAACUAUCUAAUUAUUUGUAUGAUAACAAUGAAAUUUUAAUUGUUAAAUAUAUAUUAAAGAACAAUAUUCUCCACCAAUGCUCUCUGAAUGUCAUUCUGACUAGAAACUUUAUAUGUAUGAUUAGGUGCAAACAAUGUUAGCUUGCUAAAAGUUAAUUGUAUAUGAAAUUAGAAAGGUGUAAAACUUAAUCAAUGCGUAAAUAUAUAUACAUAUAUAUAAAUAAAUAUUUAUAUAUAUAUAUAAUUUUUAUGAACAUUGCAUAUAUGUAUAUUUUUGUAUAAAAGAGAUUCAAUAAAAGAUAAAAUAAUUAAAUAAGAGAAGAUCCACUAUAAAUGAUUCAUAAAUAAUAUUGAACGACAUUAAUUAGAUUUUUUAGUAACAUAUUUUAUGUUGUUACUAUGAUUUUUUGUUAAAAUAAAAAUUAUGUCCAAAUUUAACAUUUUACUUUGGUGAUAGACCAAAUUAUGAUCAUAUUUAAAUGAGAAUAAUUGGCACUAUACUUUUAAAUUGGUUAAAAAUGAUCAAAAGUUAUGAAAUAAACUCAAAAGUACAAUAAUGAAAGUUACACUCAUUCAAAAAUGAAUAGUAAAUUUGAUCCAUCAUGUUAAGUAGAUUGGUGGUAAAUUUGAACCUUAUCUCAAAUUAUUCUAUGAAGUUUGUUUGUGAAAAUAUGGCAGCUAGCACAUACCCAAAUUAAAUUUGUAAAUAACAUAUACAUGUUCUAUAAUCAUGUUUUCCAACUAAUUGAUUUACAUAUUGUUUUGUACCUUUUUUUUUUGAGAAACAGGAAUUCUUUUACUUAGAACUUUUUUGGGAAUAAUUUGCUUGAUUGUGUUGGUUAGACGAAAAUUAAAAAGGAGGCAUUUGUCGAUGGAUGACAUGAUUGAGAAUUUUCUUCAGAGUCAAAACAAUUUAAUGCCUAUCAGAUAUUCUUACUCUGAAAUAAAAAGAAUGACUGAUGGUUUCAAGAAUAAACUAGGUCAAGGAGGAUAUGGUUCUGUGUUUAAAGGAAAACUUCGAAGUGGUCAACUUGUUGCGAUAAAAUUGUUAAACAAGUCAAAAGCUAACGGCCAAGAUUUCAUCAAUGAAGUUGCAACUAUUGGAAGGAUUCAUCAUGUUAAUGUGGUAAGACUUAUUGGAUUUUUCGUAAAGGGAUCAAAACAAGCUCUUGUAUAUGACUUCAUGAAGAAUGGGUCCUUGGAUAAAAUUAUAUUUUCAGCUGAAAAUAACACUUUGAGUUGGCAAAAAAUGUUUGAGAUUGCAUUGGGAGUGGCUCGAGGUAUUGAAUAUUUGCAUAGAGGUUGUGAAAUGCAAAUUUUACAUUCUGAUAUCAAUCCACAUAACAUUCUUUAAGAUGAGAACUUUGCUCCAAAGGUUUCAGAUUUUGGUCUCGCAAAGUUGUAUUCAGUGGACGAUGAUAUCAUUUCUCUCACAGCAGCAAGAGGUACAGUAGGAUAUAUGGCUCCUGAAUUAUUUUAUAAAAAUAUCGGAGGUAUCUCAUAUAAAGCCGAUGUUUAUAGUUUUGGAAUGAUGCUAAUGGAAAUUAUUGGAAGGAGAAAAAAUUUGAAUGCCUCUGCUGAAUAUUCAAGUCAAAUUUAUUUUCCAUCAUGGAUAUAUGAUGGAUUAGAUGAAGGAGAUAUCAUGGAGCUUGGAGAUUUGAAAGAAAAUGAAAACAAAAUUAUGAGGAAAAUGGCAAUAGCAGCCUUAUGGUGCAUACAGAUGAAGCCCACGGAUCGGCCUUCAAUGAACAAAGCCUUGAAGAUGCUUGAAAGUGAAGUUGAGAUCCUUGAAAUGCCUCCCAAGCCUUCUUUCUCUCUAAAUGUCAACUAAAGGUAGUAAAGAAUUCUCCCCGCACACGUGGCAAUCGGCCUUCCUCAGCUACCUCGUGAUCAUAUGUAUACAUGCACGUCAAUGUAGGGUCAUGUGUAUCUCUUAAAUUGCAGGAUGAAGAUGAAUUCUUCGGUUUACAUUGAUGCUUUCCAUUGCACCAAUCGAUGUUCCUCUCCAGGUUAUUUUGUUUCUUCAGUCAAAUUAUUGUCUGGUUAACAACUAAUGGAAAUGUAAGGACAGAAUAUUAACGUGAUAUGUUACAUAAUUUAUACUAUAAUAUUUUAUCAUUGUUAACGGCACAAUUUGAUAAAAAGAUAAAAAAGAAGUCAUUUUAUUAUAUUAUGUGUAAAAUACAUGAAAAAAAAAGAUUACAAAUUUUAUUUGAUUACAUUACUGCAGAACUUACAAAAAUAAUUAUAGAAGCAUGGCUAAUGAUUAUAGGUAUUAUUUGAAUAGAUAUUUUUCUCAUUUUUCUUGUUUGACUGGUUGCAACUUGUCUUCAAAUUUUGAUAUCCACCAAAAAACUAUCCAAGAGCUUGAUUGUUUUAGAUAGUCAUUCAACAGCUUGACUGACUUUAUAUUUGUCUGUGCAACAAAUUUGAAUUUUUUUUUUAAAAAAGUCAAUAUUGAAUUUUAGACAUGCAUAAAUAGCAUAAUUUUUUAUUAUGCAGUGAAAAUAUAUGUAUAAAGUAUGAGGAAAGAUCUACUUAUACCGGUAUAAAAUUAAAUUAGUUUUACACUUUUUCAUGUCUUUUUAUUUCAUUUAUAUUUUGUUAAUCUAACCGUUCAUUUUAUGUUAUAUUCAUAUAAAUAUUCAUAGAUAGCAAAUUUCAAGUUAAUUGGAAAUGACUAACUACAUAUUUGAGAAAAAUAAAAUUUCAAUCAUUAAAUAUAUAUUGAAAAAAGGCAUUAUUCUCGGUUGAUGUAAUAAGAAUGUUGAAUUAAUAUGAGACUUUACGUGUAUGAUAAAUGCGAAUAAGUUGUUAAAUGUAAUGAUUCUAUUUGUUAAAAUAUUAAUUCCCUAAGAAGUUAUAGAAAAAUGUAAAGUACUUAGUUUUAGAGAUACAAGGCGAUUCCUCUUGGCCGGUAUAAAGUAUUGCUAUUUAGGCUUUUGUGUGCAAUUUUUUUUCAUAGCUAAUUGUUGUUGAAAAUGUGCAAUCUUUACUACUGUAUGCAUGUAAUAUUUUUGUCCAAAAUAUUAGCAAAAAAAAUGUUUUGAACUGUGAACUCCGUAAAAGUUCUAUACAAAAGGAUUUUAAACAACACUAGUUAAAGAAAAUAAAUAAAUAAAUGCAAAUUUAAUUAUUAUAGUGUGUUUUUUCCACUUGUUCAAAGUAAGAUUUGAUUUCAAUUGCAGCCCUAGAUAUAAUCAGCAAAGCAAUGAAGAUAACAUUAUCCAAAGAUUUAAUGUUUCUCGUUAAACUUUUUUAUAUAUAAUUCUCCAAAGAAAAAUACAGUUUUAUACUUAAAAAAUAAAUGUAAAAUAUGAAAUUGAUCAAAUUUUUUCAGAAUUAUUAUUUUAUAUAUCUUGAAAUUUUGAAAUUCCAAAAUUUAUAAUAUUGUUUAAGUCAUAUUAUAUAUAUUAUUGAGGGUUUAUAGUAAUAUCCCUACUGUGUAGAUUUACUUGGAUGAAUUGCAAAGAUUUCUUUUCCAUCAGUUCCGCUACGUACCAAUUGGCUGGGUACACGGAUUUUCUUCUUUCUUGUUUGUUUGCGUGGAAAAUCAUCAAAGAGCUCUAUGACAGGCUUGUCGUUAAAAGUGUUUUGCUGGCUGGCUUUAAUUAGUUGACUGACUUUUCAAAAGAAGACUUGGUUUUAACAAUAAAUGUAAGCACUGCUUCGCUUGCCUGUAUCAAAACUAGAACCUUGAUCUCCCACUGAAACUUUGGGAUGCUUUACGUCAUACUUCCAUUACUUUGCCUUUUGGCUUUUGCUUCAUUUCUAUUCCCCGAUCCAGGCCGCGUUACAGAAAAAUACAAGCACUGUGGUUCUUCUUUAUGUGGAAACAUUAACAUCACUUACCCUUUGCGAUUAAAAACCCAGUCUCAUAGGUGUGGUUACAAGGAGCUUGAACUAGUGUGCCAGAAUAACCGUACUAUUUUCCCCAUGAAACAUGGGAAUUUCUAUGUCCAACACAUCUCUUAUAGUGACGAAACCAUUCAACUUUUAGACGAGAGUCUUGGCAACGAUAACUGCUCCAUUCCUCAUAGUUCCUAUCCUUGGUACACCCCUUUCUCGAAAAAAAUAUAUCUCUAUGGAACCACCUCUGAAUAUAGCAUCAUGUGUCUCGUCAAUUGCACGAUGCAAAUCAACUACUCUUCCGUUUAUAUCGAUGCUUUUCGUUGCACCAACAAUACCCCUUCCUCUCGACCUGCUUACUUUUACUUUUUGGAUGGAAAUACAACAGCGUCUGAUUUCGAUGAGUCAUGCAGAGUUGAAGCCCAGGUUCCAAUCAUGCUUGCCAACAUCACCGGCCGCUCUACUUUUGAUAUUUACACAAAGCUGUUAACGGGAUUCCAACUCUCAUGGUCAACUUCCUAUUAUGAUUAUGUUUGGCUGUCGUGGGACUCAAUCGUUAACGUGUGAGGAUUUUUAAGUAUUCCGCAAUAUUUGGUGUUGUUUAGUUUUUGAAAAAUAUUUGUUAUUACUAUUAUUUUUUGGAUCGUAAUAUUUAUUAUUUUUAGCAUAAAUAAAUAUGAUAAAUAAACAAAUAUCAAAAUAUUUAGUUUUGAAUUCUUUUAAAUUACUUUUUUAAUUAUGUGUAUAAAUUUGUAUCUAAAAUUUAAACUCGAUAUUUUAAUGUAAAAUUUAAAGAGAAGGAUUUAAAAAAUUUUCAACACUAAAAGUGCGCAUAUCAUUUGCCUUAUUAAGGAUUAAUGGUUUUGAUGUGCUUUUUUGAAUAUUAAUUAUAGAUUUCUAUCCUUGCUCGGCCUGUUGGUGCUUCCGCUGGAGAUACUUAUAGUAGGCAACAUAGCUUUUUUUGGACGAUAUCAUAUCAAUGGAUUUAGUAAAGGUAUUCUUUCGGUUCUGAGUUCAUUAAUAUUUUGAUUAUUAUUGGAUUUGCCUUUACUUUGAUAGUAUCUAUGUUCAUUUAUUUUCCGAAUUGGUAAUAUCUUUGCAGGAAUCCAGAUUCUUUGUGUUGCAAUAACAGGUACUAAAUUCUAUACUUAUUUAUUUACUCUUAAAUUCUACAAUUAUUAUAAUGUAUGACAUCAAUAAAUAUAUUAUUAUAUAAAUGAAUCAAAAAAUUAUUAAAUUAUUUAAAAAAUUCCUAAACUAUUUUAAAGAAAUUCAAAUAAGCUUUUCUUAAUUUUUAUUACAUUCAAUCAAGCUAUUAUAUUUUUAUUUUGAACCAAAUAAACCCUUCUAAAUAAUAGUUAACUAAUGUUAUUAGUUCAAAUGUCACUUAUUAUUUUAUACUUAUGUGACAUUGAUAUGAUGCUGACAAGGAGGAUGAAAAUACCACGUAACCAUGUCAUAAUGCCAUAUACUAUGACAUGUCAACAUAAUAUAUCAAUGUCUUGUGACUUAAAAUAACAAAUGGUAUUUUAAUUAAUAACAGUUAGUUAUCCAUUAGUUAUAAUAGCUUAUUUGAUUCAAAAUAAAUGUUUAAGAGCUUGAUCAUACACAAUAAAAGAAUAAGAGUUUAUUUAAAAUUUUCUAAAUAGCUCAGGAAAUUUUUUUAAGUAUUAUGCAUGUAUGUGUGUGUGUGUGUAUGUGUAUAUACCAGUGUGAAAUUAAUUAAAUUUACACCUUUUCAUAUUUUUUAUAAGAUUUCUAUUUUGUUAAUUUAACCGUUGUAUUCCAUAUGUACUCAAUUUACAUAGAUCAUGCAUAAAAAAUUUUAAAUCAAUUGAAAAUAUCUAAUUAUUUGUAUAAUAAUAAUAAAAUUUUAACCGUUAAAUAUAUAUUUAAAAAACAAUAUUCUCUACCAAUGUGAUAUGGAUAUGGCACUGACUUGAAACUUUAUAUGUACUAUUGGAUGCAAAUAAAGUUAGCUUGCUAAAACUUAAUUGUAUAUGAAAUUAUAAAAUGGUGUAUAUAUAUAUAUAUAUAUAUGAGUAUUGCAUAUAUGUAUAUGUAUGUAUAAAGAGAUUCAAUAAAGGAUUAAAUAAGAGAAGAUCUACUAUAAAUGAUUCGUAAAUAAUAUUGAACUACAUUAAUUAGGGUUUUUUAGUGAGGUAUUUUAAUGUUGUUACAAUGUUUUUUGGUCAAGAUAAAAAUUAUGUCCAAAUUUAGCAUUUUACUUUAGACCAAAUUAUGAUCAUAUUUAAAUGAGAAUAAUUGGCACUUUACUUUUAAAUUGAUUAAAAAUGAUCAAAAGUUAUGAAAUAAACUAAAAAGUACACUCAUUCAAAAAAGAAUAGUAAAUUUAAUCCAUCAUUUUUUUAAAAGGUGAAUUUUUAUUAACCUCAACACUAUCAUGCCAUUUUGAGUCUCAAACAUAGAUUGCAAGAGACUCUCACGGCAUAAAUAGUUAGUGAGCAGCCUGUACAAUUUCCAAAAAGAAUAUGCUACUCAACAAGAUUUUGGUAGCAACUCAGGAUAAAGAAACUAACGUACCUUAAGUAGAUUGGUAAAUUUGAACCUAAUCUCAAAUUAUUCUAUGAAGUUUGUUUGUGAAAAUAUGGCAGCUAGCACAUACCCAAAUUAAAGUUGUAAAUAACAUAUACAUGUUCUAUAAUCAUGUUUUCCAACUAAUUGAUUUACAUAUUGUUUUGUAACUUUUUUUUUUGAAACAGGAAUUCUUUUACUAAGAACUUUUUUGGGAAUAAUUUGCUUGAUUGUGUUGGUUAGACAAAAAUUGAAAAGGAGGCAUUUGUCUGUGGAUGACGAUAUUGAGAAUUUUCUUCAGAGUCAAAACAAUUUAAUGCCUAUCAGAUAUUCUUACUCUGAAAUAAAAAGAAUGACUGAUGGCUUCAAGAAUAAACUAGGUCAAGGAGGAUAUGGUUCUGUGUUUAAAGGAAAACUUCGAAGUGGUCAACUUGUUGCGAUAAAAUUGUUAAACAACUCAAAAGCUAACGGCCAAGAUUUCAUCAAUGAAGUUGCAACUAUUGGAAGGAUUCAUCAUGUUAAUGUGGUAAGACUUAUUGGAUUUUGCGUGAAGGGAUCAAAACAAGCUCUUGUAUAUGACUUCAUGAAGAAUGGGUCCUUGGAUAAAAUUAUAUUUUCAGCUGAAAAUAACACUUUGAGUUGGCAAAAAAUGUUUGAGAUUGCUUUGGGAGUGGCUCGAGGUAUUGAAUAUUUGCAUAGAGGUUGUGAAAUGCAAAUUUUACAUUUUGAUAUCAAGCCACAUAACAUUCUUCUAGAUGAGAACUUUACUCCAAAAGUUUCAGAUUUUGGCCUCGCAAAGUUGUAUUCAGUGGAUAAUGAUAUUAUUUCUCUCACAGCAGCACGAGGUACAGUAGGAUAUAUGGCUCCUGAAUUGUUUUAUAAAAAUCUCGGAGGUAUCUCAUAUAAAGCCGAUGUUUAUAGUUUUGGAAUGAUGCUAAUGGAAAUUACUGGAAGAAGAAAAAAAUUUGAAUGCCUCUGCUGAACAAUCAAGUCAAAUUUAUUUUCCAUCAUGGAUUUAUGAUCGAUUAGAUGAAGGAGAUAUCAUGGAGCUUGGAGAUUUGACAGAAAAUGAAAACAAAAUUAUGAGGAAAAUGGUAAUAGUAGCCUUAUGGUGCAUACAGAUGAAGCCCACUGAUCGUCCUUCCAUGAGCAAAGUCUUGAAUAUGCUUGAAAGUGAAGUUGAGCUCCUUGAAAUGCCUCCCAAGCCUUCUUUCUCUGGAAAUGUCAACUAAAUAUAGUAAGAAUUCUCCCCGCACACGUGGCAAUCGGCCUUCCUCAGUUAUCUCGUGAUAUUUGUCAUUGGGACACCACUCAACAUUGUGAUCUUGCUAAAUCUGACAACUUCUUCUGUAUUUAGUUUUUUGAAUGGUACGUAGUUUUUGUUUCCACCUAGAUCUAGUAGGCAGUGUUUGUAUUUUCUCUACUACCUUGGUUUGUUUUGUUUCUGCUACUUCUCUAUUGCCCUGUAUGUGACCUCUGAUGGAAUAAAUCAUUUCCUCACUUGUAAAAAAAUUGCAAGAAAAUGUAAUUUUAUUUUUCCCUUAUUUUAUACUGUCAUCCCAAACUCGCAGCACAACAGACGCCACAUACCUGUAAGAUGUAAUCUUACAAACAUGCAAGGGUCCAAUACAUAUACCUUAAAACACUAACUGAAAGACACUAAAAUACCUGAAGAACAAAGUGAUUCAUAAUCGGUAGAAAUUCAAAAAUCAUAAUUCGACAAUAUUCAGAAUUAAGUCUCUAAAACUAUAAAGUUAACAUGUCAAGAUAAAACUCUGAAUACUAAUUUAAGAUAGUUUGAUGUUCAUAAUAUUUAAAUAAAUCCUAGACAACCUAAAUGCUAUUAGAUUAAAACAUCACUCCUUGAAAUUCUCACGUAGUUGACCAAAUCACAACCUAAAAAAAAAAUUGAAAGAAUGAGUGAGUCCAACUACUCGGUAAGUAACAAAUAUCUCACUUCGUACUACAAAAGCCCUCAAAUAUAUGACCAAAAAUGUUAUCGGAAUAUGGAGUUCCAAUGACCCAAAUUUGGAUUGUCAAAACAGUUGAAAACCAAGUUUCUAAUUAAUUUUAAAAAUUCAUAUUUUCUAAACCACAAAACUAAACUAGAUGCUACAAAAACCAUUGGAAAGAUCUUUUCAAGACCUUUCCAUUGGUAACCAUCAUGCCACCGAAAGGUCACCAGAAUAGUGCCGAAUUUGAAUAAAAGUUAAGAAAACAUAAAUAAUUUAGGGCUUUUGUGCCCAACUAUGGAAAUACAACCCUAAACAUACCUUAAUCAGAAAUCCCUUGAAUACUUUUCUCUUUUUUCUAUCUUUCUUCUUCUAUGGUGUUAAGCUUUUCUGACUACCUAUCGUUUGAGUCUGAUGAAAUAAACUGACAUGAGUUUUCUACCUUUUCUUUUAAACUUGUAAACUAACCUAACCUCCACUAUUUUUUUUUUAAACGUGGUUUAGUGAGUUGUGAUCAGGUAAAACAAAUUGACCUUAACCGCACUAACUUAAACAUGAUAAACAAAACUGACAUUAAUUAAACUUCUUUAUUUACUUAAAGACCCCUUUUUCUAUUUUUUAAUUAUUAAGACACUCAAGGUUGUAACUGUAAUUAAAUAAAAUACUAAAACAACAUUUAUUUAUUUAUUUUAUAAAACUAUAGCCUAAUAAAUCUAAAUGUUUUUAUAAUAUAUACUUUGUGAGGGGUAUUACAUCCUUCCCUCCUUAAAAAGGAGUUUAGUUCCUUAAACUCUUACCUUGGUCCUCAAAAAGGCAGGGAUACUUCUUUUUUAUAUUUUUUCUAAAUCCCAAGUCGCUCCUCAUUCUGUAUGAUUACUUCAUUAGAUCUUAACAUAAGGAAUAGUUCGCCUUCUUAGAACUUGCUUCUUUCUAUCCACAACACACAUAGGAUGCUCAUCAUAAGACAAAUCUUCUCUAAGUAUCAAAGGAGCUAACCACACCACAUGACUAGGAUCUGGAACAUAUUUUCUCAACAAAGAAACAUGAAACAUGUUAUGCGCUCUCGAUAAAGCAGGUGGAAGUGCCAACCUAUAAGCCACAUCACCAACCUUAUCCAAAAUCUCAAACGAACCCAUAUAACAAGAACUAAGUUUUCCUCGAAUCCUAAAUUGCAUUACUCCUCUAGUAGGUGAAACUAGCAAAAAGACAUGAUCUCCAACCUCAAAUUCUAUCUUCCUUGUUUUAUUGUUUGCAUAACUCUUCUAUCUACUUUGAGCCGUACGAAGAUGUUCUCUAACUAACUGAACCUUCUCAACUGCUUGUUGAAUAAGAUCUAGACCCAAUAAUUGUCUUUCACCCACAUCAUCCCAACAAAGAGGUGACCUGCACUUCUUACCAUACAAAGCUUUGAAUGAAGCCAUUUGAAUACUAGACUGAUAGCUAUUAUUAUAAGCAAAUUCCGUCCAUGACAAGUGUCGAUCCCAAAAACCUCCAAAAUCCAUGACACAAGCUCUCAACAUGUCCUUAAGAAUUUGAUUAAUUGUCUCGGACUGACCAUCUGUUUGAACAUGAAAAGUAGUACUAAAAUUAAGUCUAGUACCCAAAGAUUUAUGUAGACUCUCUCAAAAUUUCACCACAAAUCGAGAAUCUUGAUCAUAUACAAUGGACACUAGCACCCCAUGCAGUCUCACAAUCUGCUCCACAUAUAACUCCACUAACUUUUCCAAUGACAUUUCCGUACGAAUAGCCAAGAAGUGAGCAGACUUUGUUAAUCUAUCAACAAUCACCUAGAUGCCAUCAUUACCUUUUAGUGUUCUCGGCAACCAGAUAUAAAGUCCAUAGUAAUUCGUUCCCAUUUCCAUUCUAGAAUAAGAAAUGGUUGCAAUAACUCUACUGGCCUCUGAUGUUCAACCUUAAUUUGUUGACAUGUUAAACAUUUGGCUAAAAACUGUGCAAUCUCUCUCUUCAUAUUGUUCCACCAAAAAGUGUUCUUCAAAUCUCGAUACAUCUUGGUACCACCAAGAUGGAUUGUAUAAUUACUAUAAUGAGCUUUCAACAAAAUUUCUCUCUUCAAUUUUGCAUCAUUGGGAACACAAAUUCUAUCACCAAACCUCAAAGAGUCAUCAUCAUGAAUCCUAAAGUCUGGUUUCAAACCAGAAUUAACCCUAAGUUUAAUGUGCUGAAGUCGAAGAUCAUCUACUUGGGCUGUCUUAAUCCGGUGAAUUAAAGUUGGUUGUACUCAUAUGUUAGCCAAUAAUGCUCCAAAACCCUGUAUACAUACACCAAUAUCCAUCCUCCGUAAGUCCUCCAAUAUCUGUUUUUGGGAAGUAAUCAUUGUGGCCAUGUUCCCAAACGUCUUUCUACUUAGAGCAUCAGCAACUCUAUUUGCCUUACUUGGGUGAUAAUUGAUGGUCAAGUCAUAAUCCUUCAACAAUUCUAACCAUCUUCUUUGUCACAUAUUCAACUCCUUCUGCGUGAUAAGAUACUUUAAACUUUUAUUAUCUGUAAAGACCUCACAAGACUCACCAUUCAAAUAAUGUCUCCAAAUCUUUAAUGCGAAACCACUACUGCCAACUUUAAAUCAUGAGUAAGAUAAUUCUCAUCAUAAGGUUUCAAUUGCUUAGAAGCAUAAGCGAUCACCUUAUCAUCCUGCAUAAGAACACACCCAAGUCCCUUUUUGGAAUCAUCACUAUAAACAACAAAUCCCUUACCACUAAUAGGCCUGGUAUGCAUAGGAGCGAAUACUAAUCUUUUCUUUAUCUCCUCAAAGCUCUUUUCAUAAUCAUUUGUCCACUCAAAACAAAUCCCUUUCCAUAUCAAUUUGGUUAAAAGUAAGGCAAUACAAGAAAAAUCCUCUACAAAUUACCUACAGCAUCCUACUAAACCCAGAAAACUGUUAAUCUCAAAAACAUUAUGUGGUCUCUUUCAAUUCACCACUAUUUCAACUUUCUUUGAAUCCACUGAAAUCCCGUCUUUCAACACCACAUGCCCAAGGAAAGCAACACUAAAAAGUCAAAAUUCACAUUUCUUCAAUUUAGCAAAUAACUAUUUCUGCCUCAAAGUCUUCAAAACAACCCUUAGAUGCUCUUUAUGAUCUGCUGAGCUAGGGGAAUACACUAGAAUAUCAUCAAUAAAAAUAACCACAAAUUUAUCCAAAUAAGGUUUAAAAACCCUAUUCAUCAAGUCCAAAAAAGUAACUAGAGCAUUUGUCAACCCAAAAGGCAUAAUAAGGAACUCAUAAUGCCCAUAUCAGGUACGAAAAGUAGUUUUGGGAACAUCCUCAAUUCUCACCUUCAACUGGUGAUAACCAGAUAAAAGAUUAAUUUUGGAAAACACUUAAGUGCCCUUUAGUUGAUCAAAUAAAUCAUAUAUCCCAGGCAAAAGAUACCUAUUAUUCACGGUUGCCUUAUUUAACUCCCGAUAAUCAAAACACAACCUCAUACUCCCAUUUUUUUUCUUCACAAAUAACACUGGCGCUCCCCAAGGAGAUAUACUACAUCUAAUAAAGCCCUUAUCAAGAAGUUCUUGCAACUGCUCUUUCAACUCUUUUAAUUCUAUAAGAGCCAUUUUAUAAGGAGCUUUAGAAAUAAGGUCAGUUUUUGGAACCAAAUCAAUAGAGAAAUCAAUUUCUCUAUUAGGAGGUAAACUAAGUAGAUCUUUAGGAAAAAAUUAGGAAAUUCCCCCAUAAUAAGAACAUCUUCAAUCAUUAACUCCUUCAUUCUAGUGUCUAUAACAGUUGCCAAAAAUCUUUUGUAACCACUAGUAAGCAAUCACCUAGCUUUCAAAGCAAAGAUGACUCGCAAAGGAGUGUAAGAACCACUACCACGAAAAGAAAAAGGUGUUUCCCCGGGAAUCUGAAAGUCUACCCUUUUCCCUCGAUAAUCAACUUUAGCAAAAUUUGCAACUAACCAAUCCAUCCCCAGAAUUAUAUCAAAAUCUUACAUAUCUAAAACAUGAAGAUCUGUAAGCAAUUCUCUAUCUUCAAUCCUUACCACACACAUCUUAUAAAUCUGAUCAGAGAUAAUAUCACCUCUAACUAGAGUGUCUACGCAUAGUUCAUAAUCUAGAAGCAUACAAGGCAAAGCAAACUUUCGAAAAAAUGUAGCAAAUACAAAAGAACGAGAUGCAUUGGUAUCAAACAAUACAUGAGUAAAAGCUGAGGCAACUAGCAGUGUACUUGAGACAACGGUGUUGGAUGCCUCUACAUCCGAUUGAGUGAUAGCAUAAGCACGCCCCUGGGUGCAAGGUCUUCCCACUUUUUGAUGUUCAAAAGAAGGUGUUUGCGUAGUCUAAACAACAUGAGUGGGUUGAGUCCUUUGCGUUGCAGUUUCAAAAGUUCGAGAGUUUUGCGACCUCUGCACAGAUUGAGAUUCUUGAAGGACUAAAGGACAAUUAGCAAUACGAUGGCCCUAUUGUCUACAUUCAGCAGCUCGAUGUCCUCCACCACACACUGAACACCUAGGCUUUUGUGCCCAAACUAUGAAAAUACAACCCUAAACAUAACUUAAUCAGCAAUCCCUUGAAUAUUUUUCCCUUUUUUCUGUCUUUCUUCUUCCUUGGUGUUAAGCUCUUCUGACUGCCUAUCGUUUGAGUAUGAUGAAAUAAACUUGUAAACUAACCUAACUUUCACUAUUUUUUUUUAAACAUGAUUUAGUGAGUUGUUGUCAGGUAAGAUAUACUAACCUUAACCCCACUAACUUAAAUGUGAUAAAUAAAACUGACAUUAAUUAAACUUUUUUAUUUACUUAAAGACCCCUUCUUCUCUUUUUUAAUUAUUAAGGCACCAAAAGUUAAAACUGCAAUUAAAUAAAAUACUAAAAGAACAUCUACUUAUUCAAAAAUGAAUAGUAAAUUUGAUCCAUCAUGUUAAGUAGAUUGGUGGUAAAUUUGAACCUUUUCUCAAACUAUUCUAUGGAGUUUGUUUGUGAAAAUAUGGCAGCACAUGCCCAAAUUAAAUUAGUAAACAACAUACACAUAUUCUAUAAUCAUGUUUUUCAUCUUUGGGUUGGCAAAGAAUGUUUGAGAUUGCAUUGGGAGUGGUUCGAGGUAUUGAAUAUUUACACAGAGGUUGUGAAAUGCAAAUUUUACAUUUUGAUAUCAAGCCACAUAACAUUCUUCUAGAUGAGAACUUCAUCCCGAAAGUUUCAGAUUUUGGCCUUGCAAAGUUGUAUUCAAUGGAUGACAGUAUUGUCUCUCUUACAGCUGCAAGAGGUACAUUAGGAUAUAUGGCUCCUGAAUUGUUCUAUAAAAAUAUUGGAAGCAUUUCAUAUAAUGUUUAUAGUUUUGGAAUGAUGUUAAUGGAAAUUGUCGGAAGGAGAAAAAAUGUGAAUGUCUCUGCUGAACAUUCAUGUCAAAUUUAUUUUCCAUUUUGAAUUUAUGAUCGACUUGAGGAAGGAGAUAUCAUAGAACUUGGAGAUGUAACGGAAAAUGAAAACAAAAUUAUGAGGAAAAUGGUAAUAGUAGCCUUUUGGUGCAUACAGAUGAAGCCCACAGAUCGUCCUUCAAUAAGCAAAGUCUUGGAGAUGCUUGAAAGUGAAGUUGAGCUCCUUGAAAUGCCUCCCAAGCCUGCUUUCUCUGAAAGGUCAACCAAACCAUUAGUUGUAUUAUAAGUAAUAUUUAAUGUUGUACGUUAAGCAAUGUUUCACUACUUUAUCAUACUACUUUUAUAAUUUUUAUAGUAGAAACCUUAAGCUUGAGGCAUAAUCUUCUCUCUUCCAAAAAAAACCAAAAAAAAAAAACAAUAUAGAAUGGUGAGGAAGAAAGUAUAGCAAGGAAAAGAAGGAUACUGAGUUGGAGUUUUGAGCGUGCGAAGGUGUUAUUUUAGAAGAGUUGUAAUGGUAUCUCGUAAGUAUUUUGUCUAUAUAAAAAGUCUUUUGCUCAUAUAAAGAAUAAAGACUUUAAAUAGCAUUAUCGAUAUAUUAUUGCAAAUAAUUAACUUACGUUUUAAAAAAAUUAAAAAUAUUCCUCAACCAUGCUUGGAAUUAUAAUUUUUAUUUAAAAAAAUAAAUUAUUUGAGUUUUAUUUUAAAAAAAUAAAUUAUUUGAGUUUUCUCUCUUAAUUAAAAAGUCAAAUUUUAUCCAAUUCAAAAAUUUAUUUAAAAUGAUUUGAAAUCAAAUUCAACUUAAUUCAAAUUAAAUGACAAAAAUUAAAAAUUUCAAUAUGAAAAUACGUGAAUUUAAAAUGAUAUUAAUUUAAUCCGACACAAUUCAAUGUUAACAUGACUCGAAUCUAAAACGAACCGAGCUCAUAAUGAUCAAAAAUCCAAGAUUUAUUGGAUCCAAAACUUACAAAAACUUAAAUUUAUAACUCCCAAAAAUCCAAAUUAUAAUUAAAUAAUUUUAUUUAAUAAUUAAAUAAGUAAAUGAUUAAUUUUUAAGUGAAAAUUUUAAGACACACAAGCACCUUUUUCUCGUCAAUGCUUCUUCGUUACUCAGAAACAGCUCAUAAGAAUGGCAUGGUCAACUACUCUGCUUCACCUUCACUUCAAAUCCCCUCCGGUUUCUUCUCACCAAUUCCCACAUUCCCCCCCAAAAAUCCCCGAUCUUCCUAAACCCUAACCCUAUAAUUCCCAAACCCAAACCCCCCAAAAUGCAAUUCCUUCACAGGCCCAACGCGUUUCCAGGCCACGGCGCAGUAUCAAGAGCCAUGGACAUCAUCCAAUCCUCACCGCCCACGUGGGAAUCGGCCUUCCUUACCAACAUCCUGAUCUUCGUCGUCGGGACUGCACUUUUAGUAGCGGGGCUUUCUCUCUCCGAAAUUUUCGCUUCCUUCUUGCUUGGCACUCUCACUUGGCGAGCUUUCGGGUCUUCUGGAUUCCUCCUCAUUGCUUCUUACUUCGUUAUAGUGAGUCACUAAAAAGUCUAUGAAUUUUAUUUGAAUUAUGGGAUUUACGUUAAAAUUGGAAAUGGGUUCUGAUUUUCGCUCCCAUUUGGUAUAAAGUUUAUGCUCUGGAUGACAAGUUUCAUUGUUUGGUAUUUUGGCAAAGGAAAAAAAAUUUAGUUUAUGUCAAAAAGAUUUAACGUGAAGUAUUUAGUUAUUUAAGUGUGAUUUGUUUUUAUUUCAAGAAUUGGAUUACACUAGGUGAAAACAGGUCAAAACUAUAACCAAAACAUUUUUCCAAAAUUCUUUUUUAUUUUCAUUUGUUUUCUUCUUGGUGGGGGCAGGUGAAGGGAGAUUUUAUUUGCUUUUGACAUGUUUCUUAAGUAUAAAGUUGAAGUAGAAGAUAAACUGAAUAAAAAAAUAAAAAAAGUUAAAUUAGAUAGAGAGGGUGAAUAUUUACCUAUUAAUGAUAUUUGUGAAAAGAAAGAAAUAAUUUAUAAAAUUACUCUCUCAUAUUCUACUGAAUCAAAUAGUGUAGUUGAAAGGAAAACUAAAACAUUAAAAGAAAUGAUGAAUUAUAUGCUUAUUAGUUCUAAUGCACAUGAAAAUUUGUAGGGUGAAGUUAUAUUAUUUGCAUGUCAUAUUCAAAAUAGAAUUCACUGCAAGAAAACUGAUAAGACACCUUAUGAAUUGUGAAAAGUCUAUUCUUCUAACUUAAAAUAUUUAAAAGUAUGAGAGUGUUUAGCUAAUGUUAUGCUUCUUGAUUUUAAGAAAAGAAAAAUUGACUCUAAGAUGUCCGGUUGCAUGUUUAUUGGCUAUACCAAAUAUAGUGCUGCAUAUAAAUUUCUUGUACUAAAAAAUGAUGUUUUUGAUAAUAAUACAAUUAUUAAAACAAAAAAUGUUGAAUUUUUUUGACAUAUUUUUCUAUUGAGAACUGAUACAAUUUUUCUUCCAUCUUUUAGUGAAAAUGUUUUUUUAAAUGCAAAAUGAUGAUUUGAGAAGAAGUAAAAGACAAAAGAAAGAAAUUUCUUUUUGUAAUGAUUUUUACACUUAUCUUGUAGAUAAUGAUCUUUUAAAUUAUGCUAAUUCAAUUUCUUCUAAAGAAUGUCCAUUUUGAAAAGACGUUAUACAAAAUGAGAUUGAUUCUAUUUUACAAAAUCAAACCCGGGAAUUAAUUUAUUUACCACCUGAAGCUAAGCCAAUUGGUUGUAAAUGGAAUUUUUAAAAAAAAUUUAAUCUUGAUUAUUUUAUUGAUAAAUACAAAAUUAAAUUAGUUGCUAAGGGUUUUACCAAAAAAUAAAAUAUUGAGUAUUUUGAUACUUUUGCUCUAGUAACAAGAAUUUCAUCUAUUUGUAUUUUAAUUGCCUUAGCUUCGAUUUACAAACUUUUUGUUCAUCAAAUGAAUGUUAAAACAGUUUUUUUAAAUGAUGAUUUAGAAGAAGAAAUUUAUAUGACACAACUCGAGGGAUGUGUACUUCUUGGUCAAGAAAACAAAAUUUGUAAAUUAAUUAAAUCUCUAUAUACUUAAAACAAGCACCAAAAUAAUGGUAUGAGAAAUUUGAUUAAAUUCUUGUUAAUAAUAGAUUUUUUACUAUUGGAGUUGAUAAAUGUGUGUACACAAAAACUAUUGAUAACGAAUAUAUGAUUAUUAGCUUAUAUGUUGAUGAUAUGUUUAUUUGUGGUACAUGCAUUGAUGUGGUAAAUAAAACAAUAUGUUUCUUAACUUAUAAAUUUGAUAUGAAAGAUUUGGGAGAAACCAAUAUUAUUUUGGGUGUUAAAGUCAUAAGAUGUGAGAGUGGCCUAAUGUUAACACAAAAACAUUAUAUUGAGAGGUUACUUAAAAAGUUUAGACAUUUUAAUGUCACACUUGUGAAUACUCCUUAUAAUGUUAAUACCCAAUUAAAGAAAAAUAGAGAUGAUAGUAUGGCUCAACCUUAGUAUGCAUAGAUUUUUAAAAGUUUGAUGCAUUUGAUGAAUUAUACUUGACUUGGUAUAGCUUAUGUUAUGUGUAGACUGAGUAAAUAUACAUAAAGUCUCAAUCAAGAUCAUUGAACUGUUUUGAAUAGAGUAAUGAAAUAUUUGAAAUGUACCAUAAACUAUGAUAUUUUAUAUAAUAGAUUUUCCGUUGCAUUAGAAAGGUACAAUAAUGUUAACUUAAUCUCAUAUUCAGAUGAGACAAAAUUCAUGAGUGAUUAUGUAUUCACCAUUGGUGUGGAUGCUGUUACUUAGAAAUUAGUCAAAUAAAUAAUAAUUACUAAAUCUACAGUGGAAUCAGAAUUUAUAGUUUUAGAAUUAACUAGUAAUGAGGUUGAAUAGUUAAGAAACCUCUUAACAGAUAUUUCAUUAGAAAUGAAACCAACACCUUCUGCGUCUAUGUAUUGUGAUUGUCUAACGGCAAUAAACAUUGUGAAGAAUAAAACUUUCAAUGGUAAGAAUAGACACAUUUGUUUAAGAUAUGAUGUGGUAAAAUAAUUACUUAGAGAUGAAAUUAAUGUCCAUUAAUUAUACGAAGUCAUAUACCAAAAAAUAUAAAUUAUGAAACCGAUGAAUCCUUUUAGAACUAUUAUUUUGCAUUUCAAUAAGUCCAUGGUGGAAUUUUAAGACUGCACAAAUGAAUUCAUAGGAUUGUUUAAGUGAUUUUAUUUAUAUGUUAUUGCAGACAGAUUACAAAAAUUCCUUUCCUGUUAGUUUCGUUAUCAAUCAGUUCAUACGUUAUUUUCUUCAUUAAUUCUUGUUUGAGUGGAAAAUCAUCUCAGAGCUAUGAUUGGCUUGUGUUGAAGUUGUUGGAUUGAAUUAAUUAGUUGACUGGACUGACUUUUCAAACGAAGACGAGUGAGGGAGAAAGACCGCACCAUUAAAAGUUGACUGACUUUUCAGUUACCGCAUGAAACCGUACAACUCUCAGACGUGAGUCUGAAAAAUGUGCAAUUUUGCUAAUAUAUGCAUGUGAUAUUUUUGUCCAAAAUAUUAUCAAAACAAAUUGUAUAGAACUGUGAAAUCCGUAAAAGUUGUUUGCAAAAAGGUUUUUAACAGCACAAGUUAAAGAAAAAAGGUCAAAGGAAGAUUUGAUUUCAAUUACAGCCACAGAAAUAAUUAACAAAGCAAUAAAGAUAACAUUAUCCUAACUCUUAUUUAAUCUCUCUCGUUAAACUUUGUUAUACUUAAUUCUCCUAAAAAAAACUUUUUUAUACUUACAAAAAAUAAAUAUAAGAUAUGGAGAUUGAUCAAUUUUAUUUAGAAUUAUUAUUUUAUAUAUUUGCAAUGAAAUUUUGAAAUUCCAAAUUUCAUAACAUUAUUUAAGUCAUAUUAUAUAUCUACAUAUAUAUAUAUUAUGUUAAGGGGUAUAUUGAUCUCACUAAUGUGCAGAUAUACUUGGAUGAAUUACCCAUGAGUGCUAUGGUAGGCUUUGUGUUAAAUGUGUUUUCUGGUUUGGGUUUAAUUAGUUGUCUGACUUUUCAAAAGAAGACUUGGUUUUAACAAUAAAUAUAAGAGAACAUCAUAGUGCUUCUUCACAAACUAAUUAAGCCCUUAAUCUCCUUCUCUCCCACUGAAAUUUUAGGAUGCUAAGAGCAAAGCUUCCAUUAUUCGGCCUUCUGGCCCUUGCUUUAUCUCUAUUCCCUGAUGCAUGCAUCGCUAGAGGCAAACACAAGCACUGUGGCUCUUCUUUCUGUGGAAACAUUAAUAUCACUUCCCCUUUUCGAUUAAAAAGUCAGCCUCGAAGUUGUGGUUACAAUCGUUAUGAACUAGUAUGCGAGAAUAACCGCACCAUUUUCCCCAUGAAACAUGGGAAUUUCUAUGUCCAACACAUCUCUUAUAGUGACGAAACCAUUCAACUGUUAGACGUGAGUCUUGACAAGGAUAACUUUUUUAUACAAUGAAUUUAUAAGAUUGCUUGAAUGAUUUUAUUCCUAUUUGAGUGGAAAAUCAGCUAAGAGCUAUGAUUGGCUUGUGUUAAAGUGGUUGGCUUUAAUUUGUUGACCUGACUGACUUUUCGAACGAAGACAAGUGAGCAAGAAUAACCACACAUUUUCCCCAUGAAAUAUGAGAAUUUCCAUGUGGAAAAAGCCAUAUAAGUCUUAGAGGUGAGUCUUACCAAGCCACUCGGUAGGAGAUAGGGUAUACAUCUCCCUCAUCAUAAGUAUCCAUGCACGUCAAUAUAGGGUCAUGUGUAUCUCUUAAAUUGCAGGAUGAAGAUGAAUUCUUCGGUUUACAUUGAUGCUUUCCAUUGCACCAAUCGAUGUUCCUCUCCACGCUAUUUUGUUUCUUCAGUCAAAUUAUUGUCUGGUUAACAACUAAUGGAAAUGUAAGGACGGAAUAUUCACGUGAUAUGUUGCAUAAUUUAUACUAUAAUAUUUUAUCAUUGUUAACGGCACAAUUUGAUAAAAAGAUCAAAAUGAAAUCAUUGUAUUAUAUUUUGUGUAAAAUGCAUAAAAAAAAAGAAUUCUAAAUUUNNNNNNNNNNNNNNNNNNNNNNNNNNNNNNNNNNNNNNNNNNNNNNNNNNNNNNNNNNNNNNNNNNNNNNNNNNNNNNNNNNNNNNNNNNNNNNNNNNNNNNNNNNNNNNNNNNNNNNNNNNNNNNNNNNNNNNNNNNNNNNNNNNNNNNNNNNNNNNNNNNNNNNNNNNNNNNNNNNNNNNNNNNNUCUAUACUUAACAAAAGAUAAAUGUAAAAUAUAAAAUUGAUCAAUUUUGUUUAGAAUUAUUAUUUUAUAUAUUUUGAAAUUUUGAAAUUUCAAAAUAUAUAAUAUUAUUUAAGUCGUAUUAUAUAUUAUAUUAUUGAAGGCUUAUAUUAAUCUCCCUACUGUGCAGAUAUACUUGGAUGAAUUAUAAAGAUGUCUUUUCUAUCAGUUUCGCUACGUACCAAUUGGUUGGACACAUAUUUUAUUCUUUCUUAUUUGUUUGUGUUAAAAGUGUUUUGCGGUUUGGGUUUAAUUAGUUGACUGACUUUUCAGAAGAAGACUUGGUUUUAAUAAUAAAUAUAAGAGAACAUCACAGUACUUCUUCACAAACUAAUUAAGCCCUUAAUCUCCUCUCCCGCUGAAAUUUUAGGAUGCUAAGAGCAAAACUUCCAUUAUUUUGCCCCUUGGCUUUUGCUUUAUCUCUAUUCCCCGAUGCAUGCAUGGCUAGGGGCAAAAACAAGGACUGUGGCUCUUCUUUCUGUGGAGAAGUUACCAUCAAAAAGCCCUUUCAGUUAAAAAGCCAACCUCUCAGGUGUGGAAACCGUGGGCUUGAAGUCGAGUGUGACGACAAUAACCGCACCACUUUCCCCAUGAAAUAUGGGAAAUUCCUUGUCCAAGACAUCUCUUAUAAUAACGGCACAAUUCAUAUUAUAUUAUAUUUUUAUGUAUGUUUGUAUCUAUAGUAUUAGUUGUUUAAACUUUUUGGGUGCAAUUCUUUUUCAUAUAUAAUUAACAGCUUUUAUAAAACAGCAGUCUUUGUCACUAUAUAUGCUUGUAAAUCUCUCUUUAACUGCAAUUUUUUUGUCCAAAAUACUUCUAAUAAAAGAUUGUAUAGAGCAGCCAAAUUUGUAAAGUUCUAUCCUAAUUAAAACACUUUCAAUAACAUCUUAAAAAAAUUAAAUGCCAAAGUUAUUGUAGUGUGUUUUUCCCCUUUGGCUCUAGACUCUAGUUUAUUAAAUUUUCAAAGGAAGAUUUGCUUUCAUUUGCAGCCACAGAAUGAUAAGCAGAGCUACCAAGAUAAGAUUAUCUUAGUUCUUAUUUAAUCUUUCUUUUCAAACUUUUUUAUGCAUAUAAAAAAAUGUGAAAUAUGGACGGAUUAGUUCUUUUAGACUUAAUAGGUUGAUGGUGAAAUUUUAAGACUACACAACAUAUUUAUAGGAUUGUUUUUUAUUUAUAUUUUAUUGGGGGUUAAUAUUAGUCUCCCAACUUAGACGAAUAACAAAAAUUCCUUUGCUAUCAAUUUCGUUAUCAAUCAGUUGCAUACGUUAUUUUCUUCACUUAAUUUCUAUGUGGAAAAAGCCAUAUAAGUCUUAGAGGUGAGUCUUGACAAGGAUAACUGCUCCAUUCCUUAUAGUUCCUAUCCUUGCUACAGCCCUUGUGGAAAAAGCCUAUCACUUGGUAGAAGAUAUGGUAUACAUCUCCCUCGUCAUAUGUAUACAUGCACCUCAAUAUAGGGUCAUCUAUCUCUUAAAUUGCAGGAUGAAGAUGAACAUUUGGUUUACAUCGAUGCUUCUCAUUCCACCAAUCGGUGUUCCUCUACAUCUUCUUUUGUUUCUUCGGUAUUUUACAUUGUUAAUGGGACAAUUUGAUAAAAAGAUCAAAAUAAAAUUGUUUCAAAAUAUUAUACACAUGAAAAAAUAUUACGAAUUUAAUUUGAUUACUUUAUUGCGAAAGUUGCAAAAAUAAUUGUAGAAGCAUGUAUAAUGAUUAUGGGCAUUAUUUGAAUAGAUAUUUUUCUCCUUUUUCGCGUCCGACUGAUCGUAACUUAUCUUCAAAUUCAAAUAAAAAAGAAAAAAAAUUCAAGACUGAGAGUAUUUUAGAUAGUCAUUCAAGAGCUUGACUGAUUUCAUAUUGGUCUGUGCAACAAAUUUGCAAAUUUUUUAAAAGACAACUUUGAACUUUAGACAUGCAUAAUUUUUUUAAUACACAGGGAAAAUGUAUAUAUAAAGUACAAGGAAAGAUAUAUCUAUAUAAAUUAAAUUAAUUUUACACACCCUUUUAUAUUUUUUUAUACAAUUUAUAUUUUGUUAAUCCAAUCAUUGAUUUCAAAUUAUAUUCACAUAAAUCAUGCAUAACAGAUUUCAAAUUAAUUAAAACUGAUUAACUAUUUAUUUGAUAAAAAUAAAAUUUCAAUUGUUAAAUAUAUUGAAAAAAUAAACAUUUUACCAAAUUGACUUUGAAAUUACAUGAUAAGUACAAGUUGUUAAAUCUAACAAUAAAAUAUUAAUUUUUAAAGAAAUUAUAAAAAAUGUAAAACUAAUUAGUUUUACGCAAAAAAAUUAAUUUAUUGUUAUUUAGGCUUUUGUGUGCAAUUUUUUCAUAUUUAACAGUAGUUGAAAAUAUGCGGUCUUUACUAAUAUAUGCAUGUGAUAUUUUUGUCCAAAAAUUACCAAAAACAUAUAGAACUGCGAAAUCCGUAAUGUUGUAUGGAAAAGGAUUUUUAACAACACAAGCGAAAGAAAAAAUUUAAUAAAUACAAAGUUAAUAUAGUUUGUUAUUUCCACUUAUUCAAAGGAAGAUUUGAUUUCAAUUGCAGCCACAGGAAUAUUUAGCAAAGCAAUGAAGGUAACAUUAUCCUAACUCUUAUUUAAUCUUUCUGGUUAAACUUUUUUUUACAUAAUAUUCCCAAAAAAAAACUUUUUAUACUUAUAAAAAUUAAAUAUAAGAUAUAUGGAGAUUGAUCAAUUUUACUUAGAAUUAUUAUUUUAUAUAUUAGCAAUGGAAUUUUGAAAUUCCAAAUUUUAUAACAUUAUGUAAGUCACAUUGUAUUUAUUUAUUUAUUGAGGGGUUAUAUUAGUCUCCCUACCGUGCAGAUAUGCUUGGAUGAAUUAGAAAGAUUUCUUUUCUGUCAGUUUCGUAAUGUAUCAAUUGGUUGGACACAGAUUUUCUUCUUUCUUGUUUGUUUGUUUGCGUGGAAAAUCACCCAUGAUUACUAUGAUUGGCUUUGUGGUAAAAGUGUGUUGCGGUUUGGGUUUAAUUAGUUGACUGACUUUUCAAAAGAAGACUUGGUUCUAACAAUAAAUCUAGGAGAACAUCAUAGUGCUUCUUCACAAACUAAUUAAGCCCUUAAUCUCCUUCUCUCCCGCUGAAAUUUUAGGAUGCUAAGAGCAAAACUUCCAUUAUUCGGCCUUCUGGCCCUUGCUUUAUCUCUAUUCCCUGAUGCAUGCAUCGCUAGAGGCAAACACAAGCACUGUCGCUCUUCUUCCUGUGGAAACAUUAACAUCACUUACCCUUUUCGAUUAAAAAGCCAGCCUCAUAGGUGUGGUUACAAUGAGCUUGAACUAGUGUGUGAGAAUAACCGCACCAUUUUCCCCAUGAAAUAUGGUUAUGGGAAUUUCUAUGUCCAACACAUCUCUUAUAGUAACAAAACCAUUCAAAUGUUAGACGUGAGUCUUGACGAGGAUAACUGCUCCAUUCCUCAUAGUUCCUACCCUUUCUACGUGGAUGCACUAAAUAUAUAUUCCUAUCAAACUACCACUGAACCUAGCAUCAUGUAUCUCGUAAAUUGCCCGAUCCAGAUCAACAACUCUUGGGUUUAUAUUGAUGCUUUUCGUUGUACCAAUACCCCUUCCUCUCGACCUCCUUACUUUUACUUUUUGGAUGAAAAUACUGCAAUGUCUAAUUUCCAUGAGUCAUGCACAGUUGAAGCGCAGGUUCCAAUCAUGGUUGCCAAUAUCACUGGCCUCUCUACUUUUGAUAUUUACACAAAGCUGUUGGAGGGAUUCCAACUCUCAUGGUCUUCGUAUGAUGAUAUGUCAAGGUGAGACUCAGUUUUUAACGCGUGAGGAUUUUUAAGUAUUCCAAACUAUUUGGUGCAUUUUAGUUUUUGAAAAGUAUUUAUUAUUUUUAGUUUUUAAUUUUUAAAUUACCUUUUUAACUAUGUAUAUAAAUUUUUAUAAUUAGAAUCACAAAUUUUUAUUACUGUAGUAUCUUCUUCAGACUUUGAUUAUUUACUUUUACUCUAAAUUUGUUUAAUGUAAAAUUUAAACAGAAGCAUUUAAAAUAUUUUAAACAGUGAAAGUGCGCAUUUCAUGGCCUUAUUAAGGAUAACGGUUUUGAUGUGCUUUCUUGAAUAUUAAUUAUAGAUUGCUCUGGCUGUUGCUGCAUCCGCUGCAAAUAUAUAUUCAAAGCAUCAUGGCUUUGUUUCAACCAGAUUAUUUCUAUGCACCUUAUAAAGGUAUUCGUUCUUUUUUGAGUUCAUUAAUAAUUUGAUUCUUAUUGGAUUGGCCUUUACUUUCCUGUAUAGUUGACUUGACUCUUUACGUGCAUCAUAAGUAAACUGUUAAAUUUAAUAGUUGGUUUAUUAAAAUAUUAAUAGUAUACGAAGUUAUAAAAAAUUUAUAAAAAUUAAUUAAUUAAUUUUAUAGUGGUGUUGUGUGAGUAUCGCAUAUAUGUAUACGUAUGUAUCCAAGUGACUACAUAAAAGAAGAUCCAUCAUAAAUGAUUCAUAAAUAAUUUUGAACUACAUUAAUUGGGUAUUUUUUAACUAGGUAUUUUUAUGAUGUUGUGAUUUUUUUGGUCAAAAUAAAAAUUAUGUGGAAUAAGGUCUAAAUUUACCAUUCUAUAUAUUUCGGAUAAUGGAUCAAACUUGUCAGCAUCUUUGAACGGGUGUAAUUUUGCCAUUAUACUUUUAAAUUAGUUAAAAAUGUAAUCAAAAGUUAAGACUAAUGUUAAUUUUUGACCAUUUUUGAAGUAAAUUAAAAUGUAUAAUGGUAAAAAUUGCACUUGUUUAAAAAUAAAAUAAUAAAUUUGAUCCAUCACCUUAAAUAAACUAGUGUGUGUAAAUUUAAAUUUUAUCCCAAAUUAUGUUAUGAAUUUUGUUGGGGAAAAUAUGGCAGCACAUACCCAACUUAAAUUGGUAAAUGACAUAUGCAUAGCAUAUAAUCAUGUUGUCCAACUAAUUAAUAUAUAUAUUGUUAUGUAAUUUUUUUUUUGUGAAACAGGAAUUAUAUUGCUAAGAACACUUUUGGGGAUAAUUUGCUUGAUUAUAUUGGUUAUACGCAAAUUAAAAAGGAGGCAUUUGUCGAUGGAUGACAUGAUUGAGAAUUUUCUUCAGAGUCAAAACAAUUUAAUGCCUAUAAGAUAUUCUUAUUCUGAAAUAAAAAGAAUGACGGAAGGUUUCAAGAAUAAACUAGGACAAGGAGGAUAUGGCUCUGUGUUUAAAGGAAAACUUCGAAGUGGUCAAUUUGUUGCGGUAAAAUUGUUAAACAAAUCAAAAGCUAAUGGUCAAGAUUUCAUCAAUGAAGUUGCAACUAUUGGAAGAAUUCAUCAUGUUAAUGUAGUAAGACUCAUUGGAUUUUGUGUGAAGGGAUCGAAACAAGCUCUUGUAUAUGACUUCAUGCAAAAUGGAUCCUUAGAUAAAAUAAUAUUUUCAACUGAAAGUAACACUUUGAGUUGGCAAAAAAUGUUUGAGAUUACAUUGGGAGUGGCUCGAGGUAUUGAAUAUUUACAUAGAGGUUGUGAAAUGCAAAUUUUACAUUUUGAUAUUAAGCCACAUAACAUUCUUCUAGAUGAGAACUUCAUCCCGAAAGUUUCAGAUUUUGGCCUUGCAAAAUUGUAUUCGGUGGAUGAUAGUAUUGUCUCUCUCACGGCUGCAAGAGGUACAUUAGGAUAUAUGGCUCCUGAAUUGUUUUAUAAAAAUAUUGGAAGCAUCUCAUAUAAAGCUGAUGUUUAUAGUUUUGGAAUGAUGUUAAUGGAAAUUGUCGGAAGGAGAAAAAAUGUGAAUGUCUCUGCUGAACAUUCGAGUCAAAUUUAUUUUCCAUCAUGGAUUUAUGAUCGACUUGAAGAAGGAGAUAACAUAGAGCUUAGAGAUGUAACGGAGAAUGAAAACAAAAUUAUGAGGAAAAUGUUAAUAGUAGCCUUUUGGUGCAUACAGAUGAAGCCCACAGAUCGUCCUUCAAUGAGCAAAGUCUUGAAGAUGCUUGAAAGUGAAGUUGAGCUCCUUGAAAUGCCUCCCAAGCCUGCUUUCUCUUGAAAUGUCAACCAAAUCAUUUGGUGUUGUAUUAUAAGUAAUAUUUAAUAUUGUAUGUUAAGCAAUGUUUCACUACUUUAUUAUAUUACUUUUAUAAUUUUUAUAGUAGAAACCUUAAGCUUGAGGCAUAAUCUUCUCUCUUCCAAAAAAAAACAAAAGAAACAAAAACAAUAUAGAGUGGUGAUGAAGAUAGUAUAGCAAGGAAAAGAAGGAUACUGAGUUGGAGUUUUGAGCCUGCGAAGGUAUUAUUUUAGGAGAUUUGUAAUGGUAUCUUGUUAGUAUUUUGUUUAUAUAAAAAGUCUUUUGUUCAUACAAAGGGCAAAGACUUUAAAUAGCAUUGUCUAUACAAUCAUUAUGUUAAUGCAAAUAGUUAACCAAGUUUUUAAAAAAAUUAAAGAUUUUUCUAAACCAUGUUUGGAAUUAUAAAUUUUUUAUUUAAAAAAUGUAAAUUAUUUGAGUUUUCUCUCUUAAUUAAAAAAGUCAAAUGUUAUCGAAUUCAAAUAUUUAUUUAAAACGAUUCAAAAUCAAAUUCAAUUUAAUUCAAAUUAAAUGACAAAAAUUAAAAAUUUGAAUCCAAAAAUAUGUGAAUUUAAAAUGAUAUUAAUACAAUCUACCUUCAACAUAACUCGAAUCUAAAACGAACCGAGCUCAUAAUGAUCCAAAACCCAAGAUUUAUUUGAUCCAAAACUUAUAAAAACUUAUAUUUAUAACUCCAAAAAAUCCAAAUUAUAAUUAAAUAAAUUUAUUUAAUAGCUAAAUGAGUAAAUGAUUAUUUUUUAAGUGAAAAUUUUAAGACACACAAGCACCUUUUUCUCGUCAAUGCUUUUUCUUUGCACAGAAAAAGCGCAUAGGAAUGGCAUGGUCAACUACUCUGCUUCACCUUCACUUCAAAUUCCCUCCGGUUUCUUCUCAUCAAUUGCCACAUUCCCUCCCCAAAAAAUCCCCAAUCUUCCUAAACCCUAUCCCUAUAAUUCCCAAUUCCAAACACCCCAAAAUGCAAUUCCUUCACAGACCCAACGCGUUUCCAGGCCAAGGCGCAGUAUCAAAAGCCAUGGACAUCAUCCAAUCCUCUCUGCCCACGUGGCAAUCGGCCUUCCUCAGCAACCUCGUGAUCUUCGUUGUCGGAACCCCACUUUUAAUAGCGGGACUAUCUCUCUCCGGAAUUUGCGCUGCCUUCUUGCUUGGCACUCUCACUUGGCGCGCUUUUGGGUCUUCUGGGUUCCUCCUCGUUGCUUCUUACUUCGUUAUAGUGAGUCAUUACAAAGUCUAUGGAUUUUAUUUGAAUUAUAGGAUUUAAGUUAAAUUUAGAAAUGGGGUUCUGAUUUUUGUUCCCAUUUGGUAUAAAGUUUACGCUUUGGAGGACAAGUUUCAUUGUUUGGUAAAUAUGGCAAAGGAAAAGAAAUUUAGUUUAUGUCAAAAAGAUUUCAUGUGACGUAGUUUGUUAUUUAAGUGUGAUUUGUUUUUGUUUAAAGAAUUGGAUUACACUAGGUGAAAUCAGGUCAAAACCAUAACCAAAAUAUUUUUUCCAAAAUUUCUUUAUUUUCAUUUGUUUUCCUCUUGGUGGGGGGCAGGUGGAGGAGCCAGGGAGAAUUUAUGGGUUCUCGCAGUUUUAGACUAGUUUGAAACGAUAUAGUAUUGUUUUUCCUGCUUUCCUUUCUGAUAAUGGCUUGUUUUACUUGCAAAAUGAAUCUUGAAUUAGUUCCUCCUUCCCUCUUCUGAUUUUCCCUACCCAUAUUUCUAGUUGAAGAUAAUAGUUUCAAAUCAUGCUUGAAAACUAUAUUACAAAAUACUUGUAAUAUCAAACAAUUUUGUGUGGCAUUCGAGUUUCUAAUUUGAAUGGAGAAAUAAUUGGGAUGGAAGUGGUAUUAAAUUUAGAGGAAAGAAACAAGAAUGCCUUUUGCAACAUUACAAAGAAAAGAAAAGAAAACCUAGUAUAAAACUUCGGAAGAUGCUUGAUUAUAAGGUGCUGGGCUUUUGAGGACCUGAGACUUCAUAAUACUUUAUAAUUCUCUAGAUCUUCAGGCAAUCUUACAGCUCUUUGUCAUGCCUCUAAAACAAAUGCGGUAAAACCAUGCUCAAUUGUUCAAAUUGUUAUGCUCAAUUGAGAACUCCUGACCUGUUAUGUGUGUGUGGAGAUGAUAACACCAAUGAAUGGCCUUGUUAUACGGAUGACCGCUCAUGAUAAUUGCUACUUCAAAAAUUAUUGGCUUAGAUUUUGCUGCUGUGUUUUGAAACUUGUUGGCAUGCCUCACGAAUGCUGCGAAAUGUGCAGAAGGUUUCUGAGAUCUUGCUGCCAUCUAAGAAGAAAGAAUAGGUGAAAUUGUACAGGUACUAUGAAUAUGAUGUAAUGUUUAGCUUUUUUAUAGGGACUUCCUUUUUGUAUAGUGAACUUGGUUGCAUUGGAAUGAGUCUGUUCUCUGGGAAGAAUCACUGUUCUGAAAUUUGUUAAGUCUGAUCACAAUUGCAACCAGGAGCGGCAUGCCUUGCUUUUCUUCUCAUAGGGCAUGAGGGUAUCCCAUCAGGGUUCUUUUUGUGAACCCCUCUUAUGAAAUAACAUCUUCUAUGCCUUUCCAAAAAAAAAAAAGUAACAAUCACAUGGCAUAAUUUUUUCUUACAAUAUGAGAGUACUACAUCAGAGUUUCUUAAUGCACUAAGAAAAGUUAGAGAUAAGGUCUAAGAAAAUAUCAAUUUCAAGAAGAAACAAAUAACACUAGAAUCAUAUUUUACAAAAAUAUCAUAAUUGAGUCAUGUAUAUAAAUAAUUUUGAUGUAUGAGGAAAUUAUUAAUUUAUAUAUCAAGUGAGAUCUAUGUGUUUUUUUUCAAAAUGUAUUAUCUUAUUAAUUUAACAAAUUAUUAAUUUAUCAUGUUGAUCUCAAAUCAGGACCAACCAAAAUUAAUAUUUAUUCAAAAUUAUUAAUUUAUCAAGUAUUAUUUAUAGAAGAUUUGUUGUACUUCUUUGUAAUUCACUCUAAAUAAAAGGGUAUGUUGAAACAAGCGGAAUUUAGAUCCCUUAUGGUUCUUGCUACAUUUAAGUACUAUUAAUGUCAUUUAUGCUGGUUAUAAAGAUCUGACAUUUUAUUUAGAAACAAAAUUUGUAGAGUGUCAAGCUUUAAUAGCUUUUUUUUUUUGUUGCUUUUUAAUGUUUAUAUUCGUUGCUAUAUACUAUUUUUUUCCCUAUCAAACCAUUCUUUCAUGCUUACAAAUUUAAAUUUGUGGUGUGCAAAAAUUGUUGGUGUAUUUUCAAAAAUCAAAGGUUAUGUCACAUAAUCAAAAGCUAUCUUAGCUCAAAGGUUUGUCACAUAAAGUGACAUAGUGUGACUAUUGGAUUGUAGACAGGUUAUNUUGGUGUAUUUUCAAAAUCAAAUGUUAUGUCACAUAAUAAAAAGCUAUUUUAGCUCAAAGGUUGUCACAUAAAGUGACAUAGUGUGACUAUUGGAUUGUAGACAGGUUAUUGUUUCAUUAGAUAUGAAAAGUUAUUGUUUCAAAUUAUAACUCAAAGAUUAUGAUUUAUGGAAUGAAUAGUUGUCCUUUCAUUAGAUGAUUAUUGAAACAAUACAUUUAUCUUAAAGUUGUGUCUAGCAAAAUGUAAAGAUGUCUUUUAGACAAAAUGGUGUCUUAAUAAAAGGGUUGUGUCCUUGAAGAAGAGACACUUGCAAGCCUAUGUAAAGGGCUUGUUGCCAACCAUUUUUACACAUCAAAUCAAAAACAAAACAAGAACAGAAAAUCAAGAGUAAGAAAGUGUUGUGUUCUAUUAACAUAAACACUUAAGUUCCCAUCAACUACAAAAGCAUCAAAAUUUCUUAUAAUCUACUUGUUGUAGAAAGUAAGCUCUAAAGCCAAACAACUUUGCAAACCCUUAGAUAUAUCUAGUGGUCUACUCUCGUAAAGUGCAAGACAAAGUUAAACGUUAGCUUCAUUGUAUCCUUAAAACUAUUCGCAUUAUUUCUCUUUGCAUACUGAGUGGUGGGGAUGAAAUAAGUUUUAAAAAUAAUGUCUAUUGAAAAGCUCGCCUUAAAAUCAAUUUUGUUGGUUCUUAAAUUUCAUCUAAACCUCAUUUGCACCAACAAAAAUGAACAGGUACCUACUUUACUUUAUUAUUCUACUUUUAUUAUAUAAUUUUUAUAGUCUCCUUUUUCAUCUUAUAUACGGAAUCAGAUCCAUAUAGAAACCUUAAGCUUGAGGCAUAAGCUUCUCUCUUAUGAAAAUAAAAUAAAAUAAAAUAAAAUAAAAAUCAAGAGCAGUAUAUAUACCAUUGUGAAUGAAUAAAGUAUAAAAUCAUAGUGCCUUUUGAGAUACAAAACAUUGUGAAUGCGACAAGAAGUAUUAGUUGUAAUGUGUUAAUGGUCAUUUUUAAAUCAAAUUAAAAAUGUUACUAUUAGCAAUAUCAAGAAUUGCCAAGGAGAAAUUCAUUGAUAAAAUGACAAAUACCCGAAUUCUCUUCAUUGGCAACUUUACUAAAAAUCACUUUCAACGAAAAAAAAUUAGUAAAAGAUCUUCCAUAUUAUCUCUAUAUAUAGUAUAAUAUCAAAAUUUAGUAUUCUAAAAAUUUUAUUUUAUGCUGUUUUAGUACUAACAUAUUUUAAACAAUAUCAUUGUUUAUAUUAUUAUUACACGGACACUACUUACAUAUAAUAUAUAUAUAUAUAUAUAAAAGAUAAUAGCAUUGUUAGCUUUAUUAGAAUGAAUAAUUGAUUUUUUUUAAAAAUAGAAUGAAUAAUCUAACGAGAUGAAUUGGAUUUUAAAAACUUUUUUUGACAAAAUAAAAUCUAAAAAAAAAACACAUCAAAUAAUAAAAUCAAAACCAUUAAAUAAAUAUUUAACUGAAAAUAAAUGUAAUAAAAAUAAAUAGUAUAGGGUAAAAAUAUUUGCAAGAACCAUUUAUAAAGGUUCAAUCUUGUCUCUUGGUAUUUAUGUCACAAGUCUACUUUCUAAUCCAAAAGACAUGCAUAUUAAGUAAAGAUAGACAUUUAUUUAUAAAUCCAAGACUCAACUCAUCUCUUAUUAAUGUAAGAUCUAUCACAUUCUACCUCACCUAAUUGUUCAAUACGUUCGUUGCAUCGGCUCCUUUACUCAUAGAGGAGAGGGACCGUAUCUUGAUCUAAGUCUACCUCGAACCUGAUAUCUUUUAUAAAAGUUUCAUACUAGUUAAGAGUUAAGUUUGCUCUAAUACCACUAAUCACGAGUUCACAUUUCUAAUCCAAAAAAUAUACAUAUUAGAUAGAGAGAGGCCCUUAUUUGUAAAUCAAGACCCACCCAUAUGACACUUACAUUCUCUCUCUUAGUGUAGUAAAGAGUUCAAUACACUACUUAAUUCAACCAAUACAAAUACUAUUUUCUUGCGUAUCCAAAACAUGCAAAAAAUGCUCUACUUCCCUAUGUGAUACCUCAGAUGAAAUAAAUUAUUUCCUCAUCUUUAAAAGAAAAUACAAUAAUUGUAAAUUUUAUUUUUCUCCUAUUUUAUGUAACAGCCUCAACUUUGACUAAGGUUAUAAAUUACUUGUGUUGAACCAUUUGAUAACUUGCCAUGAGAUUUAAACAUAUGUAUUAAAUAUAUGAACAAAUGACAAUGUGUUUAAGGAUCUUGAAUGAUAAACUAUUAGGGUAAAAUACCCUUACCCCUCUAAGUUUUGAUUGAAAUUACAUGGAGGUCCAUUAGUUUUCAAAAUAGACACUCCGCCCCAAAAAAAUAUUUUUCACUGGACAUUUAGGUCCAGUUGUUAGUCAACCAUUAGUGUUUCCGUCAAUUUGAUGAUGUGAUAAGGGUAAAAACAUAAUUUCACCAUUGAUUAAUUUUUAAAAUUACUAUUAUAUAAUUUUAUUAAUUUUUUAAUUAAUUAAAAUAAAAAAGCUCCUCAAGGAGCAUUAAAGCUCCCUGGGAAGCACCAAUCGGGUGCUCCCCUCCCUUGAGGAGCACGAUGCUCUCUUUUUUAAAAUUUUUUUAAACAUAUAAUAUAAUUUUUAAAAUUUAUAUAAAAAAAAGAAAAGACAUUUUAGUCUUUUCCUAAUCUCUAUUAACGGUAUUUUCAUUUUUAGGACAAAGUGUCCAUUUCAAAAACUAAUAGACCUGCUUAAAAUUUGAACUAAAACUUAAAAGGUAGGGGUAUUUUACCCUAAAAUAUUAUGUUUUUGAUUAGAUUUUAGACCUUAAGCUAUGUGUUGAUAUGUUUUGACACUGAAUAUUGGUUAAUGUGGUGCAUACUAGUUGCAUUAAGAUGAAUAUUGAAAUAACAAAUCGUUUUGGAAGUCCAAAUUUGGAGUUAGGUAGUUUGAAGUGUUGAAAGUUUGCCUUUAGGAGAAAAUGUAUUGAUAAAUUCCUUGAUCUAUCAAUACAUUCAUGGCAGAAUGCCUUGGCAAAGCUUUCUAUCAAUACAUUCUAGAAUGUUUCGAUAGAUUUGGGCCAGGAGGCAUUCUAUAUGAAAACUCUCGAACAUUACAAGAACGUAUUGAUAGAUUUAAAAAGAUGGAUAUUUUGUAAAAAAGGUAUUUAUAGAUUUUCUUGAUCGAUCGAUACAUUUCAAGCAUAAAGCAUUCUUUUAAAUUUACUUCAAUAUGUUGGUACAUGUAUCGAUAGAUCUGAUGAAAAUUCGUGAAAAUGUAUCAAUGCAUGAUUGUAAGUCAGCAAAAAUAAAAGAGACUUUGGGCAUUCCACCCAUUUGAAAACACAAGGAAACAAAAGCUUUCCCUCCUUGCCUUUGAAACCCUAAAACCCCCUAGUAGAUUGGAACUAAUUUGGAGUACUUGGAAGCUUGGAAAUUCAUACUUAAGGUAAGAUCAAGCUUCCUAACAUUUUGAAUUACAUUUUAAUCGGUUCAAAAAUGAGAAUUUGACUAUGGUUUCAUCUCAAUUAUCUUCUCCUUGAGUUGUUGGGAUUUUGGAGUCUUAAGGGCUUAGAAUAGCUGCCAAGGUGAGGAAACCUAACUGUUUUGAACAUUGGAAACAAUGAAACCUAUGAUUUGGAUUGGUAGUUGGAUUUAGAAGCUCAGUUAGGCUUAGAAAAUCUGUGCAUGCUUUGAAAAAAGCUAAAGGUCUAGAAUUUAUGGAUUUGUUAGGUGAAGUGGGAACUUAGAGCUGUUGAUGAACUGAAAUUCUAUGUGGAAUGAUGGACGCAGUGUUUAGCUGAGUGUGAUGUCUUGGCUUCUUCUUGGAAGAAUGUUGCAGCACUAAAACUUUACUAUUUAGCAAUGUGAGUUACGUUAGAGAUAUUCUAGGUCAGUGGGGCAUUUUAUCUAGAAAUUAAGAUUUGAUGUAUGUAUGCACAAAUGUAUGCAUGUGCACUGCCAUGAAACAUGAUUGGUUGAUAAAAUGCUUAGAUGAACUAUGCAUAGGCCGAUGGGUUGAUUGAGCUCUAUUAUAGCUAUGUAUGUUAAUAAUAAAAACCUGUUUGAUAUUGGGUGAGCCAUGUGGUGGUGAUUGAGCUUGACUGUCUUAGUAUUCGCGACUAAAAAGUCUAUUGACCAUGCCUCUGCGCUUGUAUAAAACUUAUAACUUGAUACCUUUUUCUGUGGUAGCGUAUGAUUAUUGCUAAUUCUACGAAAUAAUGUUAUUAGUGAACUAUGGAAAAUCUGAAUUAUGAAAGUUGAUUGAGUUGCAUUCGUAAUUAUGCAUGUAUGAUGCCAAAUGGCUAUGUUAAUGACUUUUGCACAUGUAAUGGCGACACAAUUCCUAAUGGUAAUUGGUUUCGUCUUACGAGUGCUUUCUGGACGAUGAUAUGGUCUAGUUAGAAGGUGUCAUAGUCCCUGUGGUCUUGCUUACCAUUAGCAGUUUAGGCGUUGGACGUGUUUUGUUUACUUGGGAAGACCCUUCUCUUGUUACCAUCUUGAUGAUAACACAAUUUAAUUAGUUGACUUGACUGUCUUUUCAAUCCAAGACAAGUGAGCGAGAAAAACUGCACCAUUGCUCCAUGAAACCUUACAACUCUUAGACGUGAGUCUUGACCUCAUCGAUAGUUCCUAUCCUUGCUACACUCCUUGUGGAAAAAGCCUACCACUCGGCAGAAGAUAUGGUAUGCAUCUCCCUCAUCAUACAUGCACCUUAACAUAGGGUCAUGUAUCUCUUAAAUUGUAGGAUGAAGAUGAAGUCUUCGGUUUACAUUGAUGCUUUCUCAUUGCACCAAUCGAUGUUCCUCUCCACAUUAUUUCAUUCUUCAGUCAAAUUAUUCAUUGUUAACAACUAACGGAAAUGUAAGUGUGGAUUAUUCACGUGACAUGUUAAAUAAUUUUUACCAUGAUAUUUUAUUACUGUUAACAGUACAAUCUGAUAAAAAGAAUAAAAUGAAACCAUUUUAAAAUAUUAUGUGUAAAAUAUAUGAAAAAAGAUUAUAGAUUUAAUUUGAUUACAUUGCUGCCGGACUUACCAAAAUAAUUGUAGAAGCAUGUCUAAUGAUUAUAGGCAUAGCUCUUCAAAGAAAAAUACUGUUUUAUACUUAACAAAAAGAUAAAUGUAAAAUAUAAAAUUGAUCAAUUUUGUUUAGAAUUAUUAUUUUAUAUAUUUUGAAAUUUUGAAAUUUCAAAAUAUAUAAUAUUAUUUAAGUCGUAUUAUAUAUUAUAUAAUUGAAGGGUUAUAUUAAUCGCCUUACUGUGCAGAUAUACUUGGAUGAAUUAUAAAGAUUUCUUUUCUAUUAGUUUCGCUACGUAUCAAUUGGUUGGACACAUUUUAUAAUAAAUAUAAGAGACCAUCAUAGUGCUUCUUCACAAACUAGGACCUUAAUCUCCUUCUCUCCCGCUGAAAUUUUAGGAUGCCAAGAGCAAAACUUCCAUUAUUUUGCCUCUUGGCUUUUGCUUUAUCUCUAUUCCCCGACUGAGGCUCUUCUAUCUGUGGAAAUGUUACCAUCAAAAAGCCCUUUAAGUUAAAAAGCCAACCUCUCAGGUGUGGAAACCGUGAGCUAGUAGUCGAGUGUGACGAUAAUAACCACACCAUUUUCCCCAUGAAAUAUGGGAAAUUCCUUGUCCAAGACAUCUCUUAUAAUAACGGUACAAUUCAACUUUUAGACGAGAGUCUUGGCAAUGAUAACUGCUCCAUUCCUCAUAGGUCCUAUCCUUUGUACAUCCCUUUUGCGAAAAAACAACGUCUCUAUGAAGAUACCACUGAAUUUAGCAUCAUGUAUCUCGUAAAGUGCACGAUGCAGAUCAACUACUCUCGGGUUUAUAUCGAUGCUUUUCGUUGCACCAAUACUCCUUCCUCUCUACCUCCUUACUUGUAUUUUUUGGAUAAAAAAACAGCAAAGUCUGAUUUCCAUGAGUCAUGCAGAAUUGAAGCCCAGGUUCCAAUCAUGGUUGCCAGUAUCACUGGCCUCUCUACUUCUGAUAUUUACACAAAACUGUUGACGGGGUUCCGACUCUCAUGGUGGGAUUAUGCUUAUCAGUUUGGCUGGCUGCGGUGGGACUCAAUUGUUAACGUGUGAGGAUCUUUAAGUAUUCCAAAAUAUUUGGUGCUGUUUAGUUUUUGGAAAUGUUAACUAUUUUUAUUAUAAAUAAACAAAUAAGAUAAAAAUUUUAGUCUUUAUUUCUUUUUAAAAAGUUGACAACAUUUUUAAAUUACUAUUUUAACUAUGUAUAUUAAUUUGUUAUCUAAAAUUUAAACUCGAUAUUUUUAAAGAAUUACAGACUUUAAUUCUAUUAAUGUAGUGUCUACUUCAGACUUCAAUUAUUUCCUUUAAAUAUGUUUAGUGUAAAAUUUAAAGAUAAGGAUUUAAAGCAUUUUUAACAGUAAAAGUGUGCAUUCCAUUUAACUUAUUAAGGAUUAGCGGUUUUGAUGUUCUUUCUUGAAUAUUAAUUAUAGAUUGCUAUGGGUUUUAAAAAAAAAAGGAAGUAUAGAUUGCUAUCCUUGGUCAACCUUUUGCUGGCUCCGCUGUUUAUAUUUAUUGAAAGCAACGCGGCUCUUCUGCUAGGCAUCCCAACAGAGGAUUCAUUGGUAGAUAACAAAGGUGUUCUUUCUUUUCUGAGUUUGUUACUAUUUUGAUUAUUAUUGGAUUUACCUUUACUUUCCUAGGAUCUAUUAACACUUAGUUCUCGAAUCGGUAAAAUCUUAGCAUGAAUCCAGAUUUAUAUUUAUAUAUCAUUAAUUUAACAAUUGUAUUUCGUAAUCUAUUUACUUAUAUCAUGCAUGAUAAAUUUUAAGUUAAUUGAAAAUAUUUAAUUAUUUAAAUGAGAACAUUAAAAUUUUGACCAUUAAAUAUAUAUUAAAAAACCAAUAUUCUUGAGCAAUACGAUAUGGAUUAUCACAUUGAUUUGAAAUUUUAAAUGUAUGAUGAGUACGAAUAGUGUAUGAAAUUAUAAAAAGGUGUAAAACUUAAUUAAUUUUUAACUUGAGCCCUCAAAUUUAUAUAGUUUGUAUGAGUAUUGCAUAUAAAGUAUAUGUAUGUACAAAGAGAUUCCAAUAAAGGAUAAAAUUAUUUAAUAAGAGACGAUAUACUAUAAAUAAUUCAUGAAUAAUAUUGAACUACAUUAAUUGGGUUUUUUUCAGUUAGGUAUUUCUAUGUUGUUACGAUUUUUUUGGUCAAAAUAAAAAUUUUGUCCAAGUUUAUCAUAUUACUUGAAUGAGUACAAUUUUGUCAAUAUACUUUUAAAUUUGUUAAAAGAGAUCAAAAGUUACAAAAUGAACUAAAAUGUACAAUGAUAAAUAUUACACUCGUUAAAAAAAUAAAUAGUAAAUUUGAUCCAUCACCUUAAGUCUAGUGGUGAUAAAUUUAAACCUUAUCUCAAAUUAUUUUAUGAAGUUUGUUUGUGAAAUAUGGCAACAUAUACACAAAUUAAGUUAGUAACUAGCAUGUACAUAUUCUAUAAUCUUGUUGUCCAACUAAUUGGUUUAUAUAUAUGUUUUGUACUCUCUUUUUUUUUUUAUGAGAAACAGGAAUUAUAUUGUUAAGAACUUUUUUGGAGAUAACUUGCUUGAUUGUAUUUGUUAUACACAAAUUAAAAAUGUGGCAUUUGUCUAUGGAUGACAAGAUUGAGAAUUUUCUUCAGAGUCAAAACAAUUUAAUGCCUAUAAGAGACUCUUAUUCUGAAAUAAAAAGAAUAACAGAUGGCUUCAACAAUAAAUUAGGUCAAGGAGGAUAUGGCUCUAUAUUUAAAGGAAAACUUCGAAGUGAUCAACUUGUUGCAAUAAAAUUGUUAAACAAAUCAAAAGCUAACACCCAAGAUUUCACCAAUGAAGUUGCAACUAUUGGAAGGAUUCAUCAUGUUAAUGUGGUAAGACUUAUUGGAUUUUACGUGAAGGGAUCAAAACAAGCUCUUGUAUAUGACUUCAUGAAGAAUGGGUCCUUGGAUAAAAUUAUAUUUUCAACUGAAAAUAACACUUUGAGUUGAGAAAAAAUGUUUGAGAUUGCAUUGGGAGUGGCUCAAGGUAAUGACUAUUUACAUAAAGGCUGUGAAAUGCAAAUUUUUCACUUUGAUAUCAAGCCACAUAACAUUCUUCUAGAUGAGAAUUUUACUCCAAAAGUUUCAGAUUUUGGCCUCGCAAAUUUGUAUUCAGUGGAUGAUGAUAUUAUUUCUCUCACAGCAGCACGAGGUACGCUAGGAUAUAUGGCUUCUGAAUUGUUUUACAAAAAUAUCAGAGGUAUAUCAUAUAAAGCUGAUGUUUAUAGUUUUGGAAUGAUGAUAAUGGAAAUUAUCGGAAGGAGAAAAAAUUUGAAUGCCUCUGCUGAACAUUCAAGUCAAAUUUAUUUUUCAUCAUAGAUUUUUGAUCAAUUAGAUGAAGGAGAUACCAUGGAGCUUGGAGAUGUGACAGAAAUUGAAAACAAAAUUAUGAGGAAAAUGGUAAUAGUAACCUUAUGGUGCAUACAGAUGAAGCCCACAGAUCGUCCUUCAAUGAGCAAAGUCUUGAAGAUGCUUGAAAGUGAAGUUGAGCUCCUUGAAAUGCCUCCCAAGCCUUCUUUCUCCGGAAAUAUCAACUAAAGAUAGUAAAAAUUCUCCCUGCACACGUGGCAAUCGGCCUUCCUCAGCUACCUCGUGAUUUUCGUCGUUGGGACACCACUCAACAUCGUGAUCUUGCUAAAUCUGAUGCCCUUAAGUCGAUUACUUUUUCUGUAUUUAGUUUUUUGAGUGGUACGUAGUUUUUGUUUCCACCGAGAUCUAGCAGGCAGUGUUUGUAUUCUCUUUACCACCUUGGUUUGUUUUGUUUCUGCUACUUCUCUAUUUCCCUGUAUGCGACCUUUGAUGAAAUAAAUCAUUUCCUCACUUAUAAAAAAAUUGCAAGAAAAUGUAAAUUUUUUCCCUUAUUUUAUAAAAAGAAAAUGUGUUAUAUCUUAUAUUAUAUUUUUAUGUACCUAUGUAUCUAUAGUAUUAGUUGUUUAAACUUUUUGGGUGUAAUUCAUUUUCAUAGAUAAUUAACAGCUUUUAUAAAAGUGCAGUCUUUGUCACUAUAUAUGCAUGUAAAUCUCUCUUUAACUGCAAUUGUUUUGCCCAAAAUACUUCUUAUAAAAGAUUGUACAGAGCAGCCAAAUUUGUAAAGUUCUAUCCUAAGUAAAAUAUUUUUAAUGACACAAAUUAAAAAAAUUAAAUGUCAAAUUUAUUGUGGUGUGUUUUUCCCCCUUUGACUCUAGACUCUAGCUUAUUAAAUUUUCAAAGGAAGAUUUGCUUUCAUUUGCAGCCAGAGAAUGAUUAGCAGAGCAACCAAGAUAAAAUUAUCUUAGUUCUUAUUUAAUCUUACUUUUUAAACUUUUUUAUACAUAUAAAAAAAUGCAAAAUAUGGACUGAUUAGUCCUUUUAGACUUGAUUGGUCGAAGGUGAAAUUUUAAGACUAAACGGUGAAUUUACAAGAUUGCUCGAAUGAUUUUAUUCCUAUUUGAGUGGAAAAUCAGCUAAGAGCUAUGAUUGGCUUGUGGUAAGGUGGUUGGCUUUAAUUAGUUGACUUGACUGACUUUUCGAACGAAGACAAGUGAGCAAGAAUAACCACACAUUUUCCCCAUGACAUAUAUAUGAGAAUUUCUAUGUGGAAAAAGCCAUAUAAAUCUUGGAGGUGAGUCCUGACAAAAAUAACUGCUCUAUUCCUCAUAGUUCCUAUCCUUGCUACACCCCUUGUAGAAAAAGCUUACCAUGCCACUCGGUAGGAGAUAGGGCAUACAUCUCCCUCAUCAUAUGUAUGCAUGCACGUCAAUAUAGGGUCAUGUGUAUCUCUUAAAUUGCAGGAUGAAGAUGAAUUCUUCGGUUUACAUUGAUGCUUUCCAUUGCACCAAUCGAUGUUCCUCUCCACGUUAUUUUGUUUCUUCAGUCAAAUUAUUCUCUGGUUAACAACUAAUGAAAAUGUAAGGAUAGAAUAUUCACGUAAUAUGUUACAUAAUUUAUACUAUAAUAUUUUAUCAUUGUUAACGGCACAAUUUGAUAAAAAGAUAAAAAAGAAAUCAUUUUAUUAUAUUAUGUGUAAAAUACAUGAAAAGAAAAGAUUACAAAUUUUAUUUGAUUACAUUACUGCAGAACUUACAAAAAUAAUUAUAGAAGCAUGGCUAAUGAUUAUAGGUAUUAUUUGGAUAGAUAUUUUUCUCAUUUUUCUUGUUUGACUGGUUGUAACUUGUCUUCAAAUUUUGAUAUCCACCAAAAAACUAUCCAAGAGCUUGAUUGUUUUAGAUAGUCAUUCAACAGCUUGACUGACUUUAUAUUUGUCUGUGCAACAAAUUUGAAAAUUUUUUUUAAAAAAGUCAAUAUUGAAUUUUAGACAUGCAUAAAUAGCAUAAUUUUUUAUUAUGCAGUGAAAAUAUAUGUAUAAAGUAUGAGGAAAGAUCUACUUAUACCGGUAUAAAAUUAAAUUAGUUUUACACUUUUUCAUGUCUUUUUAUUUCAUUUAUAUUUUGUUAAUCUAACCGUUCAUUUUAUGUUUUAUUCAUAUAAAUAUUCAUAGAUAGCAAAUUUCAAGUUAAUUGGAAAUGACUAACUACAUAUUUGAGAAAAAUAAAAUUUCAAUCAUUAAAUAUAUAUUGAAAAAAGGCAUUAUUCUCGGUUGAUGUAAUAAGAAUGUUGAAUUAAUAUGAGACUUUACGUGUAUGAUAAAUGCGAAUAAGUUGUUAAAUGUAAUGAUUCUAUUUGUUAAAAUAUUAAUUCCCUAAGAAGUUAUAGAAAAAUGUAAAGUACUUAGUUUUAGAGAUACAAGGCGAUUCCUCUUGGCCGGUAUAAAGUAUUGCUAUUUAGGCUUUUGUGUGCAAUUUUUUUUCAUAGCUAAUUGUUGUUGAAAGUGUGCAAUCUUUACUACUGUAUGCAUGUAAUAUUUUUGUCCAAAAUAUUAGCAAAAAAAAUGUUUUGAACUGUGAACUCCGUAAAAGUUCUAUACAAAAGGAUUUUAAACAACAAUAGUUAAAGAAAAAAAAUAAAUAAAUGAAAAUUUAAUUAUUAUAGUGUGUUUUUUCCACUUGUUCAAAGUAAGAUUUGAUUUCAAUUGCAGCCCUAGAUAUAAUCAGCAAAGCAAUGAAGCUAACAUUAUCCAAAGAUUUAAUGUUUCUCGUUAAACUUUUUUAUAUAUAAUUCUCCAAAGAAAAAUACAGUUUUAUACUUAAAAAAUAAAUGUAAAAUAUGAAAUUGAUCAAAUUUUUUCAGAAUUAUUAUUUUAUAUAUCUUGAAAUUUUGAAAUUCCAAAAUUUAUAAUAUUGUUUAAGUCAUAUUAUAUAUAUUAUUGAGGGUUUAUAGUAAUAUCCCUACUGUGUAGAUUUACUUGGAUGAAUUGCAAAGAUUUCUUUUCCAUCAGUGCCGCUACGUACCAAUUUGUUAGGUACACGGAUUUUCUUCUUUCUUGUUUGUUUGCGUGGAAAAUCAUCAAAAAGCUCUAUGACAGGCUUGUCGUUAAAGGUGUUUUGCGGGUUGGGUUUAAUUAGUUGACUGACUUUUCAAAAGAAGACUUGGUUUUAACAAUAAAUGUAAGAACUGCUUCACUUGCCUCUAUCAAAACGAGGACCUUAAUCUCCCACUGAAACUUUAGGAUGCUUAGCGUCAUACUUCCAUUACUUUGCCUCUUGGUUUGGCUUCAGUGCAAAUCUCCAAUCCAGUCGUUACAAAAAAAGACAAGUACUGUGGCUUUUCUUUCUGUGGAAACAUUAACAUCACUUACCCUUUUCGAUUAAAAAACCAGCCUCGUAGUUGUGGUUACAAUAGGUUUGAACUAGUGUGCCAGAAUAACCGCACCAUUUUCCCCAGGAAAUAUGGGAAUUUCUAUGUCCAACACAUCUCUUAUAGUGACGAAACCAGCCGACUUUUAGACGAGAGUCUUGGCAACGACAACUGCUCUAUUCCUCAUAGUACCUAUCCUCGGUCCACCCCUUCUGCAAAAAAACUAUAUCCCUGGCGUACCUUUUCAUGGGAAGAAAGAAAUUUCUAUCAAACUACCCCUGAAUUUAGCGUCAUGUAUCUCAUAAAUUGCACGAUGCAGAUCAACUACUCUUCCGUUUAUAUCGAUGCUUUUCGUUGCACCAAUACCCCUUCCUCCUCUCAACCUCCGUACUUUUACUUUUUGGAUGAAAAUACAGCACCGUCUGAUUUCCAUGAGUCAUGCACUGUUGAAGCCCAAGUUCCAAUCAUGGUUGCCAGUAUCAUCGGCCUCUCUACUUUUGAUAUUUACACAAAGCUGUUAACGGGAUUCCAACUCUCAUGGUUCACUUCCUCUUAUGAUUAUGUUUGGCUGCGGUGGGACUCAAUUGUUAACGUGUGAGGAUUUUUAAGUAUUCCGCAAUAUUUGGUGUUGUUUCGUUUUUGAAAAAUAUUUAUUAUUAUUAAUUUUUUUUGGAUCGUAAUAUUUAUUAUUUUUAGCAUACAUAAAUAUGAUAAAAAAACAAAUAUCAAAAUAUUUAGUUUUGAAUUCUUUUAAACUACUUUUUUAAUUAUGUGUAUAAAUUUGUAUCUAAAAUUUAAACUCGAUAUUUUAAUGUAAAAUUUAAAGAGAAGGAAUUAAGACAUUUUCAACACUAAAAGUGCGCAUAUCAUUUGCCUUAUUAAGGAUUAAUGGUUUUGAUGUGCUUUUUUGAAUAUUAAUUAUAGAUUGCUAUUCUUGCUCAAGCUGUGGUCGGUUCUGCCGAAGAUACUUGUACAAGGCAACAUAGCUUUUUUUGAACCAGAUUCUAUCGAUGGAUUUAGUAAAUGUAUUCUUUCGGUUCUGAGUUCAUUAAUAUUUUGAUUAUUAUUGGAUUUGCCUUUACUUUGAUAGAAUCUAUUUUCAUUUAUUUUCUGAUUUGGUAAUAUCUUUGCAGGAAUCCAGAUUCUUUGUGUUGCAAUAACAGGUACUAAAUUCUAUACUUAUUUAUUUACUCUUAAAUUCUACAAUUAUUAUAAUGUAUGACAUCAAUAAAUAUAUUAUUAUAUAAAUGGAUUAAAAAAUUAUUAAAUUAUUUAAAAAAUUCCUAAACUAUUUUACAACAAUUCCAAUAAGCUUUUCUUAAUUUUUAUUGCAUUCAAUCAAGCUAUUAUAUUUUUAUUUUGAACCAAAUAAACCCUUCUAAGUAACAGUUAACUAAUGUUAUUAGUUCAAAUGUCACUUGUUAUUUCAUACUCAUGUGACAUUGAUAUGAUGCUGACAUGGAGGAUGAAAAUGCCACAUAACCAUGUCAUAAUGCCAUAUACUCUGAUAUGUCAACAUAAUAUAUCCAUGUCAUAUGAUAUAAAAUAACAAAUGGUAUUUUGAUUAAUAACAGUUAGUUAACCAUUAGUUAUAAUGACUUAUUUGGUUCAAAAUAAAUGUUUAAGAGCUUGAUCAUACACAAUAAAAGAAUGAGAGUUUAUUUGAAUUUUUCUAAAUAGCUCAAGAAAUUUUUAAGUAUUAUGCAUUUUUGUGUGUGCGUGUGUGUAUAUGUACCAGUGUGAAAUUAAUUAAAUUUACACCUUUUCAUAUUUUUUAUAAGAUUUAUAUUUUGUUAAUUUAACCGGUGUAUUCCAUAUAUACUCAAUUUACAUAGAUCAUGCAUAAAAAAUUUUAAAUCAAUUGAAAAUAUCUAAUUAUUUGUAUAAUAAUAAUAAAAUUUUAACCAUUAAAUAUAUAUUUAAAAAACAAUAUUCUCUACCAAUGUGAUAUGGAUAUUGCACUGACUUGAAACUUUUUAUGUACGAUUGGAUGCAAAUAAAGUUAGCUUGCUAAAACUUAAUUGUAUAUGAAAUUAUAAAAUGGUGUAUAUAUAUAUAUAUAUAUGAGUAUUGCAUAUAUGUAUAUGUAUGUAUAAAGAGAUUCAAUAAAGGAUAAAAUAAUUAAAUAAGAGAAGAUCUACUAUAAAUUAUUCAUAAAUAAUAUUGAACUACAUUAAUUAGGUUUUUUUAGUAAGGUAUUUUUAUUUUGUUACGAUGUUUUUUGGUCAAAAUAAAAAUUAUGUCCAAAUUUAACAUUUUACUUUGGUGAUAGACCAAAUUAUGAUCAUAUUUAAAUGAGAAUAAUUGGCACUAUACUUUUAAAUUGGUUAAAAAUGAUCAAAAGUUAUGAAAUAAACUCAAAAGUACAAUAAUGAAAGUUACACUCAUUCAAAAAUGAAUAGUAAAUUUAAUCCAUCAUUUUUUUUAAAAGGUGAAUUUUUAUUAACCUCAACACUAUCAUGCCAUUUUGAUUCUCAAGCUUAGAUUGCAAGAGACUCUCAUGACAUAAAUAGUUAGUAAGCAGCCUGUACAAUUUCCAAAAAGAAUAUGCUACUCAAUAAGAUUUUGGUAGCAACUCAGGAUAAAGAAACUAACGUACCUUAAGCAGAUUGGUGGUAAAUUUGAACCUUAUCUCAAAUUAUUCUAUGAAGUUUGUUUGUGAAAAUAUGGCAGCUAGCACAUGCCCAAAUUAAAGUUGUAAAUAACAUAUACAUGUUCUAUAAUCAUGUUUUCCAACUAAUUGAUUUACAUAUUGUUUUGUAUUUUUUUUUUUUUGAGAAACAGGAAUUCUUUUGCUAAGAACUUUUUUGGGAAUAAUUUGCUUGAUUGUGCUGGUUAGACGAAAAUUAAAAAGGAGGCAUUUGUCGAUGGAUGACGUGAUUGAGAAUUUUCUUCAGAGUCAAAACAAUUUAAUGCCUAUAAGAUAUUCUUACUCUGAAAUAAAAAGAAUGACUGAUGGUUUCAAGAAUAAACUUGGUCAAUGAGGAUAUGGCUCUGUGUUUAAAGGAAAACUUUGACGUGGUCAACUUGUUGCGAUAAAAUUGUUAAACAAGUCAAAAGCUAACGGCCAAGAUUUCAUCAAUGAAGUUGCAACUAUUGGAAGGAUUCAUCAUGUUAAUGUGGUAAGACUUAUUGGAUUUUGCGUGAAGGGAUCAAAACAAGCUCUUGUAUAUGACUUCAUGAAGAAUGGGUCCUUGGAUAAAAUUAUAUUUUCAACUGAAAAUAACACUUUGAGUUGGCAAAAAAUGUUUGAGAUUGAAUUGGGAGUGGCUCGAGGUAUUGAAUAUUUGCAUAGAGGUUGUGAAAUGCAAAUUUUACAUUUUGAUAUCAAGCCACAUAACAUUCUUCUAGAUGAGAACUUUACUCCAAAAGUUUCAGAUUUUGGCCUCGCAAAGUUGUAUUCAGUGGAUGAUGAUAUUAUUUCUCUCACAGCAGCACGAGGUACAGUAGGAUAUAUGGCUCCUGAAUUGUUUUAUAAAAAUCUCGGAGGUAUCUUAUAUAAAGCCGAUGUUUAUAGUUUUGGAAUGAUGCUAAUGGACAUUAUUGGAAAAAGAAAAAAUUUGAAUGCCUCUGCUGAACAUUCAAGUCAAAUUUAUUUUCCAUCAUGGAUUUAUGAUUGAUUAGACGAAGGAGAUAUCAUGGAGCUUGGAGAUUUGAUAGAAAAUGAAAACAAAAUUAUGAGGAAAAUGGUAAUAGUAGCCUUAUGGUGCAUACAGAUGAAGCCUAUAUGGAUCGUCCUUCAAUGAGCAAAGUCUUGAAUAUGCUUGAAAGUGAAGUUGAGCUCCUUGAAAUGCCUCCAAAGCCUUCUUUCUUUGGAAAUGUCAACUAAAGAUAGUAAGAAUUCUCCCCGCACAUGUGGCAAUCGGCCUUCCUCAACUAUCUCGUGAUAUUCGUCAUUGGGACACCACUCAACAUCAUGAUCUUGCUAAAACUGACAACUUCUUCUGUAUUUAGUUUUUUGAGUGGUACGUAGUUUUUGUUUCCACCUAGAUCUAGUAGGCAGUGUUUGUAAUUUCUCUACUACCUUGGUUUGUUUUGUUUCUGCUACUUCUUUAUUUCCCUAUAUGUGACCUCUGAUGGAAUAAAUCAUUUCCUCACUUGUAAAAAAAUUGUAAGAAAAUGCAAUUUUAUGUUUCCCUUAUUUUAUACUGUCACGGCCCAAACCCGAGGCACGACAGACGCCACAUACCUAUAAGAUGUAAUCUUACAAACAUGCAAGGCUCCAAUACAUAUACCUUAUAACACUAAUUGAAAGAGACUAAAAUACCUGAAGAACAUAGUGAUUCAUAAUCGGUAGAAAUUCAAAAGAUCAUAAUUCGACAAUUUUUAGAAUUAAGUCUCUAAAACUAUAAAGCUAACAUGUCAAGAUAAAACUCUGAAUACUAAUUUAAGAUAGUUUGAUGUUCAUAAUAUUUAAAUAAAUCCUAGACAACCUAAAUGCUACUAGAUUAAAACAUCACUCCUCGAAAUUCUCACGUAGUUGACCAAAUCACAAUCUGAAAAAAAAAUUAAAGGAAGGAGUGAGUCCAACUACUCAGCAAGUAACUAACAUCUCACUUCAUACUACAAAAGGCCUUAAAGAAAUUAUCAAAAAUGUUAUCGGAAUAUGGAGUUCCGAUGACCCAAAUUUAGGUUGUGAAAAUAGUUGAAAACCAGGUUUCCAAUUAAUUUUAAAAAUUCAUAUUUUCCAAACCACAAAACCAAACGAGAUGCUACAAAAACCAUUGAAAAGAUCUUUUCAAGACCUUUCCAUUGGUACCCAUCAUGCCAUCGAAAAGUCACCAGAAUAGUACCGGAUUUGAAUAAAAGUUAAGAAAACAUAAAUAAUUUAGGGUUUUUGUGCCCAACUAUGAAAAUACAACCCUAAACAUACCUUAAUCAACACUCUCUUGAAUACUUUUCUCUUUUUUCUAUGUUGCUUCUUCCAUGGUAUUAAGCUUUCUUGACUGCCUAUCGUUUGAGUCUGAUGAAAUAAACUGACAUGAGUUUUCUGCCUUUUCUUUUAAACUUGUAAACUAACCUAACCUCCACUAUCUUUUUUUUUUAAAAUGUGAUUUAGUGAGUUGUGGUCAGGUAAAACAAACUGACCUUAACCCCACUAACUUAAACAUGAUAAAUAAAACCAACAUUAAUUAAACUUCCUUAUUUACUUAAAGACCUUUUUUCUAUUUUUUUAAUUAUUAAGGCACUCAAGGUUAUAAUUGCAAUUAAAUAAAAUACUAAAACAACAUUUACUUAUUUAUUUUUAUAAAACUAUAGCUUAAUAAAUCUAAAUAUUUUUAUAAUAUAUACUUUGUGAUGGGUAUCACAUCCUCCCCUCCUUAAAAAGGAGUUUAGUUCCUUAAACUCUUACCUUGGUCCUAAAAAGGUGGGGAUACUUCUUUUCGAUAUUUUCUUAUAAAUCCCAAGUCGUUUCUCGUUCUGUAUGGUUACUCCGUUUGACCUUAACAUAAAGAAUAGUUCACCUUCUUAGAACUUGCUCUUUUCUAUCCACAAUACGUAUAGGAUGCUCAUCAUAGGACAAAUCUUCUCUAAGUCUCAAAGGAGCUACUUCCACCACAUGACUAAGAUCUGGAACAUAUUUUCUCAACAAAGAAACAUGAAACAUGUUAUGCACUCCCGAUAGAGUAGGUGGAAGUGCCAACCUAUAAGCCACAUCACCAACCUUAUCCAAAAUCUCAAAUCAACCCACAUAACGAGGACUAAGUUUUCCUCGAAUCCCAAAUCGCAAUACUCCUCUAGUAAGUAAAACUAGCAAAAAGACAUGAUCUCUAACCUUAAAUUUUAUCUUCCUUCUUUUAUUGUUUGUAUAACUCUUCUGUCUACUUUGAGUCGUACGAUGAUGUUCUCUAACUAACUGAACCUUCUCAACUGCUUGUUGAAUAAGAUCUAGACCUAAUAACUGUCUUUCACCCACAUCAUCCCAACAAAGAGGUGACCUGUACUUCUUACCAUACAAAGCUUCGAAUGAAGCCAUUUGGAUACUAGGCCGAUAGCUAUUAUUAUAAGCAAAUUUCGUCCAUGACAAGUGUCGAUCCCAAGAACCUCCAAAAUCCAUGACACAAGCUCUCAACAUGUCCUUAAGAAUUUAAUUAAUUGUCUCGGACUGACCAUCUGUUUGGAGAUGAAAAGUAGUACUAAAAUUAAGUCUAGUUCCCAAAGAUUUAUGCAGACUCUCCCAAAAUUUCACCACAAAUCGAGAAUCUCAAUCAUAUACAAUAAACACUAGCACCCCAUGCAGUCUCACAAUCUGCUCCACAUAUAACUCCGCUAACUUUUCCAAUGAUAUUUUCGUACGAAUAGCCAAAAAGUGAGCAGACUUUGUUAAUCUAUCAACAAUCACCUAGAUGCCAUCAUUACCUUUUAGUGUUCUCGACAAACCUGAUAUAAAGUCCAUAGUAAUUCAUUCCCAUUUCCAUUCUGGAAUAGGAAAGGGUUGCAAUAACCCUACUGGCCUCUGAUGUUCAACCUUAACUUGUUGACAUGUCAGACAUUUGGCUAAAAACUAUGCAAUCUCUCUCUUCAUAUUGUUCUACCAAAAAGUGUUCUUCAAAUCUCUAUACAUCUUGGUACCACCAAAAUGGAUUGUACAAUUACUAUAAUGAGCUUCCAACAAAAUUUCUCUCUUCAAUUCUGCAUCAUUGGGAAUACAAAUUCUAUUACCAAACCUCAAAGAGUCAUCAUCAUGAAUCCUAAAGUCUGGUUUCAAACCAGAUUCAACCCCAAGUUUAAUGUGCUAAAGUCGAAGAUCAUCUACUUGGGCUAUCUUAAUCCAGUGAAUUAAAGUUGGUUGUACUUGUAUGUUAGCCAAUAAUGCUCCAAAACCCUGUAUACAUACACCAAUAUUCAUCCUCCGUAAGUCCUCUAAAAUCUGUUUUUGGGAAGUAAUCAUUACGACCAUGUUCCCAGACGUCUUUCUACUUAGAGCAUCAGCAACUCUAUUUGCCUUACCUGGGUGAUAAUUGAUGGUCAAGUCAUAAUCCUUUGAUAAUUCUAGCCAUCUUCUUUGUCGCAUAUUCAACUUCUUCUGCGUGAAAAGAUAUUUCAAACUUUUAUGAUCUGUAAAGACCUCACAAGACUCUCCAUAUAAAUAGUGUCUUCAAAUUUUUAAUGCGAAAACCACUGUUGCCAAAUCUAAAUCAAGAGUAGGAUAAUUCUCUUCAUAAGGUUUCAACUGUCUAGAAGCCUAAGCGAUCACCUUAUCAUCCUGCAUAAGAACACACCCAAGUCUCUUUUUGGAAUCAUCACUAUAAACAACAAAUCCCUUACCACUAGUAGGCAUGGUAUGUAUGGGAGCGAAUACUAAUUUUUUCUUUAACUCCUUAAAGCUCUUUUCACAAUCGUUUGUCCACUCAAAAUGAAUCUCUUUCCAUACCAAUCUGGUUAAAAGUAAGGCAAUACGAGAAAAUCCUCCACAAAUCGCCUAUAGUAUCCUACUAAACCCAGAAAACUACGAAUCUCAUCAACAUUAUGUGGUCUCUUUCAAUUCACCACUGCUUCAACUUUCUUUGAAUCCAUCGAAAUCCCAUCUUUCGACACCACAUGCCCAAGGAAAGCAACACUAGAAAGCCAAAAUUCACAUUUCUUCAAUUUAGCAAAUAACUGUUUCUGCCUCAAAGUCUUCAAAACAACCCUUAGAUGCUCUUUAUGAUCUGCUGAGUUAGAGGAAUACACUAGAAUAUCAUCAAUAAAAACAACCACAAACUUAUCCAAAUAAGGUUUAUAAACCCUAUUCAUCAAGUCCAAAAAAGUAGCCGGAGCAUUUGUCAACUCAAAAGGCAUAUCAAGGAACUCAUAAUGCCCAUAUCGGGUACAAAAAGCAGUUUUGGGAACAUCCUCAAUUCUCACCUUCAAUUGGUGAUAACCAGAUUGAAGAUUAAUUUUGGAAAACACUUGAGCGCCCUUUAGUUGAUCAAAUAAAUCAUCUAUUCGAGGCAAAGGAUACCUAUUCUUCAUGGUUGCCUUAUUUAACUCCCGAUAAUCAAUGCACAACCUCACACUCCCAUCCUUUUUCUUCACAAAUAACAAUGGCGCUCCCCAAGUAGAUACACUAGGUCUAAUAAAGCCCUUAUCAAGAAGUUUUUGCAACUGCUCUUUCAACUCUUUUAAUUCUAUAAGAGCCAUUCUAUAAGGAGCUUUAGAAAUCGAGCCAGUUCUUGGAACCAAAUCAAUAGAGAAAUCAAUUUCCCUAUUAGGAGAUAAACUAGGUAGAUUUUUAAGAAAAACAUUAGGAAAUUCCCCCAUAAUAAGAAUCUCUUUAAUCAUUAACUUCUUCAUUCUAUUGUCUAUACUAGCUGCCAAAAAUCCUUUGCAACCACUAGUAAGCAAUCACCUAGCUUUCAAAGCAAAGAUGACUCAUAAAAAAGUGUAAGGACCACUACCACGAAAACAAACAGGUGUUUCUCCAGGAAUCUCAAAGUCUACCCUUUUCCCUCGAUAGUCAACUUUAACAAAAUUUACAACCAACCAAUCCAUCCCUAGAAUUACAUCAAAAUCUUACAUAUCUAAAACAUGAAGAUAUGCAAGCAAUUCUCUAUCUUCAAUCCAUACCACACACAUCUUACAAAUCUGAUAUGAGAUAAUAUCAUCUCUAACUGGAGUGUCUACGCAUAGUUCAUAAUCCAGAAGCAUACAAGGCAAAGCAAACUUUUGAACAAAUGUAGCAAAUACAAAAGAACGAGAUGCAUCGGUAUCAAACAAUACAUAAGCAAAAGCUGAGGCAACUAGCAAUGAACUUGAGACAACGGUGUUGGAUGCCUCUACAUCAGACUGAGUGAUAGCAUAAGCACGGCCCUAGGUGCAAGGUCUUCCCACUUUUUGAUGUUCAGAAAAAGGUGUUUGCGUAGUCUAAACAACAUGAGUGGGUUGAGUCCUUUGCGUUGUAGUUUCAAAGGUUCAAGAGUUUUGUGGCCUUUACACAGAUUAAGAUUCUUGAAGGACUAAAGGACAAUCAGCAAUACAAUGGCCCUGUUGUCCACCUCUAAAACAAGCACCAGUUACAUGCCUACAUUUAGCAGCUCGAUGUUCUCCACCACACACUGAACACCUAGGCUUUUGUGCGCAAACUAUGAAAAUACAACCCUAAAUAUACCUUAAUCAGCAAUCCCUUGAAUACUUUUUCUUUUUUUCUGUCUUUCUUCUUCCUUGGUGUUAAUCUCUUCUUACUACCUAUCGUUUGAGCCCGCUGAAAUAAACUGACAUGAGUUUUCUGCUUUUUCUUUUAAAAUUGUAAACUAACCUAACUUCCACUAUCUUUUUUUUUUAAACAUGAUUUAGUGAGUUAUUGUUAGGUAAGAUAAACUGACCUUAACCCCACUAACUUAAACGUGAUAAAUAAAACUGACAUUAAUUAAACUUUUUUAUUUACUUAAAGAUCCCUUCUUCUAUUUUUUAAUUAUUAAGGCACCAAAAGUUAUAACUGCAAUUAAAUAAAAUACUAAAAGAACAUCUACUUAUUUGUUUUUAUAAAACUAUAGCUUAAUAAAUCUAAAUGUUUUUAUAGUAUAUACCUUGUGAAGGGUAUUACAUAUACAAAGAAAAUAUGUGAUAUCUUAUAUUUAUAUUUUUAUGUAUGUACGUAUCUAUAGUAUUAGUUGUUUAAACCUUUUGGGUGCAAUUCAUUUUCAUAUAUAAUUAACAGCUUUUAUAAAACUGCAGUGUUUGUGACCAUAUAUGCAUGUAAAUCUCUCUUUAACUGCAAUUGUUUUUUGUCCAAAAUACUUCUAAAAAAAGAUUGUAUAGAGCAGCCAAAUUUGAAAUAAAAUAUUUUUAAUAACACAAGUUAAAAAAAUUAAAUGCCUUAGUUCUUAGUCAAUCUUUCUUUUUAAACUUUUUAUACAUAUAAAAAAAAUCUAAAAUAUGGACUGAUUAGUCCUUUUAGACUUAAUAGAUCGACGGUGAAAUUUUAAGACUACACAAUAAAUUUAUAGGAGUACUCGAAUGAUUUUAUUUAUAUCUUAUUGGAGGCUUAUAUUAAUCUCUCAACUCAGACAAAUUACGAAGUAAGAUUCUUUUUAUGUCAGUUUCGUUACCAAUCAGUUGCAUACUAUAUUUCUUCACUUAUUUCUGUUUUAGUAGAAAAUCAGCUGAGAGCUAUGAUUGGCUUUGUGUUAAAGUGGUUGGCUUUAGUUAGUUGACUUGACUGACUUUUCGAACGAAGACAAGUGAGCAGGAAUAACCGCACCAUUUUCCCCAUGAAGUAAGAGAAUUUCUGUAAAAGUUAUAUGCAAAUGGAUUUUUAAAAACACAAGUUGAUGAAAAAAUUAAUAAAUGCAAAUUUAAUUAUUAUAUUGUGUUUUUUCCACUUGUUCAAAGGAAGAUUUGAUUUCAAUUGCAGCCACAGAAAUAAUUAGCAAAGCAAUAAAGAUAACAUUAUCCUAACUCUUUUUUAAUCUUCCUCGUUAAACUGUUUUAUACAUAAUAUUUAAAAAAAAAUGACUUUUUUAUACUUACAAAAAAUAAAUAUAAGAUAUGGAAAUUGAUUUUUUUUUUGAAGAGGAAAUUGAUCUAUUUUAUUUAAAUUAUAUUUUAUAUAUUUGUGAUGAAAUUUUGAAAUUCCAAAUUUUAUAACACUAUUUAAGCGAUUAAAUAUAUAUUUAUUUAUUGAGGGGUUAUAUUAAUCUCCCUACUGUGCAGAUAUACUUGGAUGAAUUAGAAAGAUUUCUUUUCUGUUAGUUUCGCUACCAAUUGGUUUUAACAGAUUUUCUUCUUUCUUGUUUGUUUGCGUGGAAAAUCACCCAAGGGUCAUUGAGUACUAUUAUAGGCUUUGUGUUAAACGUGUUCUGAGGCUUGGGAUUUAAUUUGUUGAUUGACUUUUCAAAAGAAGACUUGGUUUUAACAAUAAGUCUAGGAGAAGAUCGUAGUGCUUCUUCACAAACUAAUUAAGCCCUUAAUCUCCUUCUCUCCCCUGAAAUUUUGGGAUAAUAAGAUCAAAGCUUCCAUUAUUCGGCCUUCUGGCCCUUGCUAUAACUCUAUUCCCUGAUGCAUGCAUCGCUAGAGGCAAACACAAGCACUGUGGCUCUUCUUUCUGUGGAAACAUUAACAUCACUUACCCUUUUCGAUUAAAAAGUCAGCCUCGAAGUUGUGGUUACAAUCGUUAUGAACUAGUAUGCGAGAAUAACCGCACCAUUUUGCCCAUGAAACAUGGGAAUUUCUAUGUCCAACACAUCUCUUUUAGUGACCAAACCUUUCAACUGUUAGACGUGAGUCUUGACAAGCAUAACUGCUCCAUUCCUCAUAGUUCCUGUCAUUGGGCCAGCGUUUGUCCCAAAAAACUAUAUGAUUGGUCCAUCCCUUCUGCGGUAAAACUAUAUCCUUGGCGCCCCUUUUCAGCGGAAGAAAUAAAUUUCUAUCAAACUAUCCCUGAAUUUAGAGUCAUGUAUCUCGUAAAUUGCAUGAUGCAGAUCAACGACUCUUGGGUUUAUAUCGAUGCUUUUCGUUGUACCAAUACCCUUCCUCUCGACCUCCUUAUUUUUACUUUUUGGAUGGAAAAACAGCACCGUCUGAUUUCCAUGAGUCAUGCACAGUUGAAGCCCGGGUUCCAAUCAUGGUUGCCAACAUCACCUUCCUCUCUACUUUUGAUAUUUACACAAAGCUGUUAGCGGGAUUCCAACUCUCAUGGUCAACUUCCUAUUAUCAUUAUGUUUCGCUGCGGUGGGACUCAAUUGUUAACGUGUGAGGGUUUUUAAGUAUUCCGCAAUAUUUGGUGUUGUUUAGCUUUUGAAAAAUAUUUAUUAUUUUUAGCACAAAUAUGAUAAAUAAAUAAAUAUAAAAAAAAUUUAGUUUUUAAUUCUUUUUUAAAAAUUUAAAUAUUUUUAAAUUACAUUUUUUAGUAUGUAUAUAAAUCUGUAUUUUAUUCAUUCUAAAAUUUAAACUCGAUAUUUUUUUUAAAAUUAGAAUCGCAAUUUUUUAUUAAUGUAGUGUCUACUUCAGACUUUAAUUAUUUACUUUUACUCUAAAUAUGUUUAAUGUAAAAUUUAAACAGAAGGAUUUAAAACAUUUUCAACAGUAAAAGUGCUAAUUUCAUUUGCCUUAUUAAGAAUUAACGUUUUUUAUUUGGUUUUUUGAAUAUUCAUUAUAGAUUGCUAUCCUUGCUCCAACUGUUGUUGCUUCCGCUGGCGAUAUAUAUAAAAAGCAACCUGGAUUUUCUGCGGGGCACCUUAACAGAGGAUAGUUUAGUUCCUAAUAAAGGUGUUCUUUCUUUCUGAGUUCAUUACUAUUUUGAUUAUUAUUUGGUUUGCCUUUACUUUCUUGUAUAGUAUCUAUAUAUUAACACUUAAUUUUCGAAUUGGUGAUAUCUUAGCAGGAAUCCGGAUUCCUUGUGUUACAAUAACAGGUACUAAAUUCUACACUUAUUUAUUUACUCUGAAAUUCUAGAGUUGUUACAAUGUACGACAUCGUAAUGUAGUAGGAAUCUAAGAUUCAGAUUUACAUUUGUAAUUUAUUAUUAUAAUAAUACAUAUAUUAAAAAAUUCAAAUAAUUUUUUUUAUUUCGUUCAAUCAAAUCAUCAUAUUUUAUUUUGAUUCAAAUAAACUUUUAUAAUUAACGGUUGACUAAUUGUUAUUAUUUCAAAUGUCACUUGUCAUUUUAUAUUCACGUGAUGUUGAUAUGAUACUGACAUGGAAGGUAAAAAUAGCACGUAAUUAUGUCAGCAUGUCACAUACUAUGACAUGUAAACAUGAUAUAUUAACGUCACAUGACAUAAAAUGACAAAUGACAUUUUAAUUAAUAACAGUUAGUUAACUAUUGAUUAUAACAAUUUAUUUGUUCCAAAAUAAAUGUUUAAUACUUGAUCAAACACAAUGAAAGAAUAAAAUUUAUUCAAAUUUUUUUAAGUAUUAUAUAUAUAUAUAUAUAUAUAUAUAUAUAUAUAUAUAUAUCAGUGUCAAUUAGUUAAAUUUACACCUUUUCAUAUUUUUUAUAUGAUUAAUAUGUUGUUACUUUCACUGUUGUAUUCCAUAUAUGCUCAAUUUACAUAGAUCAUGCAUGAAAAAUUUUAAAUCAAUUGAAAAUAUCUAAUUAUUUAUAUGAUAACAAUAAAAUUUUAACUGCUAAAUAUAUAUUAAAAAAUAAUAUUCUCUACCACUGUGAUACGGAUAUAUAUUACACUCCUUGAAACUUUAUAUGUACGAUUGGAUACAAAUAAAGUUAGCUUGCUAAAACAUAAAUGUAUAUUAAAUUAUAAAAUGGUGUAAAACUUAAUCAAUGUGUAACUUGAGCCCUCAUAUAUAUAUAUAAAAUUUUUAUGAGUAUUGCAUACAUGUGUAUGUAUGUAUAAAAGAGAUUCAAUAAAGGAUAAAAUAAUUAAAUAAAAGAAGAUCCACUGUAAAUAAUUCAUAAAUAAUAUUGAACUACAUUAAUGUUUUUUAGUCAAAAUAAAAAUUAUGUCCAAAUUUAUCAUUUUACUUUGGAUGAUGGACCAAAUUAUGAUCAUAUUUGAAUGAGUAUAAUUUUGUCACUAUACUUUUAAAUUGGUUAAAAAUAAUUAAAAGUUAUGAAAUAAACUAAAAAGUACAAUAAUAAAAAUUACACCUAUUCAAAAAUGAAUACUAAAUUUGAUCCAUCAUGUUAAGUAGAUUGGUCCUUUCAAAAAAAAUGUUAAGUAGAUUGGGGGUAAAUUUGAACCUUAUCUCAAACUACUCUGUGAAGUUUGUUUGUGAAAAUAUGGCAGCACAUACCCAAAUUAAAUUAGUAAAUAACAUAUACAUAUUCUAUAAUCAUGUUUUUCAAUUUUUUUUGUUUUUUCUCACCCAAGAAAAAGGUGUAUUAAAUCAAUAAAAGUACAAGAUUGGUGUAUUAAAUCAUGGUGUCCAACUAAUUAAUUUAUAUAUUGUUAUAUAUUUUUUGUUGUGAAACAGGAAUGAUAUUACUAAGAACAUUUUUGGGGAUAACUUGCUUGAUUAUAUUGGUUGUACGCAAAUUGAAAAGGAGGCAUUUGUCGAUGGAUGACAUGAUUGAGAAUUUUCUUCAAAGUCAAAACAAUCUAAUGCCUAUAAGAUAUUCUUAUUUUGAAAUAAAAAGAAUGAUGGAUGGUUUCAAGAAUAAAUUAAGACAAGGAGGAUAUGGCUCUGUGUUUAAAGGAAAACUUCGAAGUGGUCAACUUGUUGCGACAAAAUUGUUAAACAAAUCAAAAGCUAAUGGCCAAGAUUUCAUCAAUGAAGUUGCAACUAUUGAAAGAAUUCACCAUGUUGAUGUGGUAAGACUUGUUGGAUUUUGCGUGAAGGGAUCAAAACAAGCUCUUGUAUAUGACUUCAUGCAGAAUGGGUCCUUAGAUAAAAUUAUAUUUUCAACUGAAAGUAACACUUUGAGCUGGCAAAAAAUGUUUGAGAUUGCAUUGUGAGUGGCUCAAGGUAUUGAAUAUUUACAUAGAGGUUGUGAAAUGCAAAUUUUACAUUUCGAUAUCAUGCCACAUAACAUUCUUCUAGAUGAGAAUUUUAUCUCAAAAUUUUCAAAUUUUGGCCUUGCAAAGUUGUAUUCAGUGGAUGACAAUAUUGUCUCUUUUACAGCUACAAGAGGUACAUUAGGUAUAUGGCUCCUGAAUUGUUUUAUAAAAUAUUAGAAGCAUCUCAUAUGAAGCCGAUGUUUAUAGUUUUGGAAUGAUGUUAAUGGAAAUUGUCGGAAGGAAAAAAAAUGUGAAUGUCUCUGCUUAACAUUCAAGUCAAAUUUAUUUUCUAUCAUGGAUUGAUGAUCGACUUGAAGAAGGAGAUAUCAUAGAGCUUGGAGAUGUUACAGAGAAUGAAAACAAAAUUAUGAGGAAAAUGGUAAUAGUAGCCUUUUGGUGCAGAGAGAUGAAGCCCGCAGAUCGUCCUUCAAUGAGCAAAGUCUUGGAGAUGCUUGAAAGUGAAGUUGAGCUCCUUGAAAUGCCUCCCAAGCCUGCUUUCUCUUGAAAUGUCAACCAAAUCAUUUAGUGUUGAAUCAUAAGUAAUAUUUAAUAUUGUAUGUUAAGCAAUGUUUCACUACUUUAUUAUACUACUUUUAUAAUUUUUAUAGUAGAAACCUUAAGCUUGAGGCAUAAUCUUCUCUCUUCCUAAAAAAACAAAAAAAAAAAAACAAUAUAGAAUGGUGACGAAGAAUGUAUAUCAAGGAAAAAAGGAUAUUGAGUUGGAGUUUCGAGUGUGUGAAGGUGUUAUUUUAAGAGAGUUGUAAUGGUAUCUUGUAAGUAUUUUGCCUAUAUAAAAAGUCUUUUUGCUCAUAUAAAGGAUAAAGUCUUUAAAUACCAUUAUCUAUACAAUCAUUAUAUUAAUGCAAAUAAUUAACUUACUUUUUAACAAAAUUAAAAUAUUUCUGAACCAUGUUUCAAAUUAUAAUUUUUUUAUUUAAAAAUAUAAAUUAUUUAAGUUUUCUCUCUUAAUUAAAAAAGUCAAAUUUCAUCCAAUUCAAAAUUUUAUUUUAAUUGAUUCGAAAUCAAAUUCAAUUUAAUUCAAAUUAAAUAAAAAAAUUAAAAAUUUAAAUUUGAAAAUACAUGAAUUUAAAAUGAUAUUAAUUUUAGACGAUCCAAGUUCAACAUGACUCAAAUCUAAAACGAACAGAGCUCAUAAUGAUCCAAAACCCAAGAUUUAUUCGAUCCAAAACUUAUAAAAACUUAUAUUUAUAACUCCAAAAAAUCCAAAUUAUAAUUAAAUAUUUUUAUUUAAUAACUAAAUGAGUAAAUGAUUAUUUUUUAAGGGAAAAUUUUAAGACACACAAGCUCCUUCUCUCGUCAAUGCUUCUUUACUCAGAAACAGCUCGUAGGAAUGGCAUGGUCAACUACUCUGCUUCACCUUCAAUUCAAAUUCCCUCCGGUUUCUUCUCACCAAUUGCGAUGUUCCCUCCCCAAAAAAUCCCCAAUCUUCCUAAACCCUAACCCUGUAAUUCCCAAUUCUAAACCCCCCAAAAUGCAAUUCCUUCACAGACCCAACGCGUUUCCAGGCCACGGCGCAGUAUCAAGGGCCAUGGACAUCAUCCAAUCGUCGCCGCCCACGUGGCAAUCGGCCUUCCUCAGCAACCUCGUGAUCUUCGUCAUCGGAAGCCCACUUUUAGUAGCGGGGCUAUCUCUCUCCAGAAUUUGUGCUGCCUUCUUGCUUGGCACUCUCACUUGGCGCGCUUUUGGGUCUUCUGGGUUCCUCCUCGUUGCUUCUUACGUAAUAGUGAGUCCUCACAAAGUCUAUGGAUUUUAUUUGAAUUGUGGGAUUUAAGUUAAAUUUAGAAAUGGGGUUCUGAUUUUUGUUCCCAUUUGGUAUAAAGUUUACGCUUUGGAGGACAAGUUUCAUUGUUUGGUAAUAUGGCAAAGGAAAAGAAACUUAGUUUAUGUCAAAAAGAUUUCAUGUGAAGUAGUUUGUUAUUUAAGUGUGAUUUGUUUUUGUUUAAAGAAUUGGAUUACACUAGUGAAAUCACGUCAAAAUCAUAACCAAAAUAUUUUUUCCAAAAUUUCUUUAUUUUCAUUUGUUUUGCUCUUGGUGGGGGGCAGGUGGAGGAGCCAGGGAGAAUUUAUGGGUUCUCGCAGUUUUAGACUAGUUUGAAACGAUAUAGUAUUGUUUUUCCUGCUUUCCUUUCUAAUAAUGGCUUGUUUUACUUGCAAAAUGAAUCUUGAAUUAGUUCCUCCUUCCCUCUUCUGAUUUUCCCUACCCAUAUUUCUAGUUGAAGAUAAUAGUUUCAAAUCAUGCUUGAAAACUAUAUUACAAAAUACUUGUAAUAUCAAACAAUUUUGUGUGGCAUUCGAGUUUCUAAUUUGAAUGGAGAAAUAAUUGGGAUGGAAGUGGUAUUAAAUAAUUUAGAGGAAAGAAACCCGAAUGCCUUUUGCACCAAUACAAAGAAAAGAAAAGAAAACCUAGUACAAAACUUCGGAAGAUGCUUGAUUGUAAGCUGCUGGGCUUUUGAGGACCUGAGACUCCAUAAUACUUUAUAAUUCUCUAAAUCUUCAUGCAAUCUUACAGCUCUUUGUCAUGCCUCUAAAACAAAUGCGGUAAAACCAUGCUCAAUUGCUCAAAUUGUUAUGCUCAAUUGAGAACUCCUGACCUGUUAUGUGUGUGUGGAGAUGAUAACACCAAUGAAUGGCCUUGUUAUACGGAUGACCGCUCAUGAUAAUUGCUACUUCAAAAAUUAUUGGCUUAGAUUAUGCUGCUGUGUUUUGAAACUUGUUGGCAUGCCUCACGAAUGCUGCAAAAUGUGCAGAAGGUUUCUGAGAUCUUGCUGCCAUCUAAGAAGAAAGAAUGGUGAAAUUGUACAGGUACUAUGAAUAUGAUGUAAUGUUUAGCUUUUUUAUAGGGACUUCCUUUUUGUAUAGUGAACUUGGUUGCAUUGGAAUGAGUCUGUUCUCUGGGAAGAAUCACUGUUCUGAAAAUUGUUAGGUCUGAUCACAAUUGCAACCAGGAGCGGCAUGCCUUGCUUUUCUUCUCAUAGGGCAUCAGGGUAUCCCAUCAGGGUUCUUUUUGUGAACCCCUCUUAUGAAAUAACAUCUUCUAUGCCUUUCCAAAAAAAAAAAAAGUAACAAUCACAUGGCAUAAUUUUUUCUUACAAUAUGAGAGUACUGCAUCAGAGUUUCUUAAUGCAUUAAGAAAAGUUAGAGAUGAGGUCUAAGAAAAUAUCAAUUUCAAGAAGAAACAAAUAACACUAGAAUCAUAUUUUACAAAAAUAUCAUAAUUGAGUCAUGUAUAUAUAUAAUUUUGAUGUAUAAGAAAAUUAUUAAUUUAUAUAUCAAGUGAGAUCUAUGUGUUUUUUUUCAAAAUGUAUUAUCUUAUUAAUUUAACAAAUUAUUAAUUUAUCAUGUUGAUCUCAAAUCAGGACCAACCAAAAUUAUUAAUUUAUCAAGCAUUAUUUAUAGACGUUUUGUUGUACUUCUCUGUAAUUCACUCUAAAUAAAAGGGUAUGUUGAAACAAGCGGAAUUUAGAUCCCUUAUGGUUCUUGCUACAUUUAAGUACUAUUAAUGUCAUUUAUGCUGGUUAUAAAGAUCUGACAUUUUAUUUAGAAACAAAAUUUGUAGAGUGUCAAGCUUUAAUAGCUUUUUUUUUGUUGCUUUUUAAUGUUUAUAUUCGUUGCUAUAUACUAUUUUUUUUCCCUAUCAAACCAUUCUUUCAUGCUUACAAAUUUAAAUUUGUGGUGUGCAAAAAUUGUUGAUAUAUUUCAAAAUCAAAUGUUAUGUCACAUAAUAAAAAGCUAUUUUAGCUCAAAAGUUGUCACAUAAAAUGACAUAGUGUGACUAUUGAAUUGUAGGUAGGUUUUCAUAUGAAUGGUUAUGUCUCUAGGUAAAAUGACAUUCAAAAAUUAUGAGACAAAUUGAAAAAAUACUAUAGCUCAAAAGUUUAAGAGCUUGUUUGGCCUAGUUUUUUUUUAACUUAAAAGCUAUUAUUAAGCUCUUAUGAAAAAUAAUAGCUUUUAAAAAUUAAGCUAAAAUUAUUUGAUAAAUUGUUUAACAAAAUAAAUUAUAUAAGCUCUAAUUUCGGUUAAAAUUACCAUAAAGGGUAUUCAUGCUAUCUUCAAUCACCUAAUAAGCUAUAAUGUAAUGCUUCAAGUUUGUAUAUAAUUUCAGAUAUUAAAAUCGAAGAAAUCAAUAAAAAAAUGAAUAAUUUUCAAACUUAUAUAGUAGCAAUAGUAUUAGACUUUUGUUGAUCUAACAAGCAAUCGGACCAUGAUGCUUCAAUUCCCAAAAAAGAAGAAAAGGGAGGAAACGGUGUAUUUAAUAUUAAAAUCUUUUUUAGUGAAAAAAAAAAUAGAAAACCUUUAAAUAGUUUUUGAAUGCAGUUUUGAAUUUUAGAUUUUUUUUCUCUCAAUUUUUGUAAGAACAAAAAAAUUUUAAAUUUUGUUAUUCAAUGGUUGGUCUUCUGUUUUUAAUUUUUUAGUAGUCUUUAGAGAGGUAGAGGAGAGGGAGAUAGUAAUUUUACGUUGGAGAAUGGUAAUUUGCAGAGGGAAGAAGAGGAGAGGGAGAUUAAUUUAGAGAUGGGUAUUUCCUGAAAUUAAUGUAUUUUUAAAAGAAGAAAAAAAAAAGCUCUUCCUUGGAGCUUUUUUUUAAAGCUCUUUUUUUUUUUUUUAAAUUUUGUUCUUAAAAAAAAACUGUUUUUUUUUUUAAGAGCUUCUCAAAAAAGCUUUUGGUUUUAAAAGGUAGAUAAGGUGAAAAAAAACAGGCCAAACAUGUACUAAAUAUGAAAAGUUAUUGUUUUAAAUUAUAACUCAAAGAUUAUGUUUUAUGGAAUGAAUAGUUCUCCUUUCAUAAGAUGAUUAUUAAGUGCUUGUUUGGCCUAGUUUUUUUUCAGCUUAUCUAUCUCUUAAAAAUAAAAGUCAGGCCAAACAUAAAAUUUUAAAAAGCUCUUAAAAAAAAGUAGCUUUUAUUAAAGAACAAAUUUUUGAAAAAAGAGCUUCAAGGAAAAGCUCAUAUUAAGAGUUUUUUCUUCUCUUUUUUUAAAAAUGCAAGAGAAUUUUUAUUUUUGUUCCAAAAAUAUCAUCAUCUGUUAAAAUAAUUACAAUAUUACCCUCUCAAAAAAAGAAAUACCCUUUAUGAUAAUUUUAACAAAAAUUUAUAACUUAUAAAAAGAAAUUUACUAAAUAAUUUUAGCUUAAUUUUAAAAGCUAUUAUUAUUCAUAAGAGCUUCAUAAGAGCUUUUAAGCUAAAAAAAAGCCAGGCCAAACAAACUCNUCAGGCCAAACAUAAAAUUUUAAAAAGCUCUUAAAAAAAAGUAGCUUUUUUUAAAGAAUAAAAUUUUGAAAAAAAGAGCUUCAGGAAAAGCUCCUAUGAAGAGCUUUUUCUUUUCUUCUUUUAAAAAUGCAAGAGAAUUUUUAUUUUUGUUCCAAAAAUAUCAUCAUCUGUUAAAAUAAUUACAAUAUUACCCUCUCAAAAAAAGAAAUACUCUUUAUUAUAAUUUUAACCAAAAUUAUAACUUAUUAAAAAAAAUUUACCAAACAAUUUUAGCUUAAUUUUAAAAGCUAUUAUUUUUCAUAAGAGCUUUAUAAUAGCUUUUAAGCUAGAAAAAAGCCAGGCCAAACAGACUCUUAAACAAUACCUUUAUCUUAGAGUUGUAUCUAGCAAAAUGUAAAGAUGUCUUUUAGACAAAAUAGUGCCUUAAUGAAAGGGUUGUGUUCUUGAAGAAGAGACACUUGCAAGCCUAUAUAAAGGGCCUGUUGCCAACCAUUUUGACAUAUCAAAUAAAAAACAAAACAAAAGCAGAAAAAUCAAGAGUAAGAAAAGUGUUAUGUUCUAUUAACAUAAACACUUAAGUUCCCAUCAACUACAAAAGCGUCCAAAUUUUUUAUAAUCUACUUGUUGUAGAGAGUAGGCUCUAAGUCCUAACAACUUUACAAACCCUCGAGUGUAUCUAGUGGUCUACUCUUGUAAAGUGCAAGACGAAGUUAGACAUUAGCUUCAUUGUAUCUCUAAGGCUAUUUGCAUUAUUCCCUUUUGCAUACCGAGUGGUGGGGACUAAAUAAGUCUUAAAGAUAACAUCUAUUGAAAGACUCGCCUUAAAGUCAAGUUUUUCGAUUCUUAAAUUCCAUCUAAACCCCAUUUGCACCAACAAAAAUGAGCAGGUACCUACUUUACUUUAUUAUUCUACUUUUAUUAUAUAAUUUUUAUAGUCUCCUUUUUCAUCUUAUAUAUGGAAUCAAAUCCAUAUAGAAACCUUAAGCUUGAGGCAUAAGCUUCUCUCUUAUGAAAAUAAAAUAAAAGUCAAGAGCAGUAUAUAUACCAUUGUGAAUGAAUAAAGUAUAAAAACAUGGUGCCUUUUGAGAUACAAAACAUUGUGAAUGCGACAAGAAGUAUUAGUUGUAAUGUGUUAAUGGUCAUUUUUUAAUCAAAUUAAAAAUGUUACUAUUAGCAAUAUCAAGAAUUGCCAGGGAGAAAUUCAUUGAUAAAAUGACAAAUACCUAAAUUCUCUUCAUUGGCAACUUUACUAAAAAUCACUUUAAAAAAAAAAUUAGUAAAAGAUUUUCCAUAUUAUCUCUAUAUAUAAUACAAUAUCAAAAUUUAGUAUUAUAAAAUAUUUUAUUUUAUGCUUUUUUAGUACUAACAUAUUUUAAACAAUGUCAUUGUUUAUUUUAUUAUUACAUGGACACUACUUAUGUCAAACCCUGUUCUAUAUAAUAAUUACGACAUCAUUUACAUGCUCAAUAGAAUAGUUGCAUAUUUAGGAAGUUUGAGAAAUCGUUAAAAGACGAUAUUGCCCCUAAUGGUAUCAUUAAGUCGAUUAAGCCUCGAACUAGUUCAAAUAGGAAUUUUAAGGUGAAAUUCAAAAUUUUACAGUCAAAGAAUGACUUAAAAUGGUGAUUUGGAGUUCGAGGAUCAAUUUGGAGUCAAAUCGGAAUUUUUGCUAUCUAGGGGCAAAAUGGUCAUUUGCCACCUAGAGACAAAAUGAAAAUUUUUAGAAAAGAUUUUUUUGGCCCCAUUUGACUCAUUGGAGUAUGAUUUGAGUAUUGGAGUAUGAUUUGAGGUUUAGAAGUGAAAAAUUUUAAUUUCGGUAUAGUUUAGAGUAUAAGGGUAAAAUGGUAAUUUUACCACCCUAGGGGCAAAACAGUAAUUUUUCACCACCAGGACACUUGUCCAGCACAUGGUCUUCCCUUAUCCUCAUUUUGACCUUUGACUAAUCAUGUGGUGGAGAUAAAAGGUUUAAAAUUUUUAAAGUUUUAAAAAUGGACCAAUGGAAACAUGCCACGUGUCAAGCAAGGAUAUUUUAUUAUUUUCUAUAAAAAUCAGCCCAUAUUUAUCCCAUUCUUCUUCUCCAUAUUCGGCCAAGACAAAAGGAAAGAAAGGAAAAACAAGAACAAAACCUAGGUGGAGGAUUUCAAGAGAAAAAGUGUGGAAAAUCAAGGAAAACAAGUGAAAAAGGUAAGAUUUUUCAAUUUAAACUUGAAAUCUAUUUUCCUUACGCAUUUCUCUUUAUUUUUCAUGCUUAAAUUACAUGUUUUCAUGAUGAAUUCAUGACUGAUCAAAACGGGUAUGGAGAGAGAAAGAUGUUGGAUUGAAUUGAUUUUAAGAUAUGUUAGUGUUUUUAGUUAGUUUAGCAUAUUUAGAAGCAAAACAAUAAGAAAAGAAUCCAUUUUUCCCAUGAAUCAUCAUUGGCCGAAUCUUCCUUCAUGUGUGUGGGUGGUGGAUUGUUAUUAUUUCAAGAGAAAUGGCUUAGAAAAUGAUGAAUAAUGGUGAAAAAAAUUAAGUAGGAAAAAUCACUGUGUUAGUGCACUGUAAUGGCCGAAUUUUUCCAUGAAGAAAUGGGAGGGUUUUGAUGCUGAAAUUGGUGUUAUUUGAAUAAUGUUUGGUGAAUUGAGGUAUUAGAAAUGAAAUGGAGCAAUUUGGAGCCAAAUCGGACACAAUUGUCAUUUAAUCGGGUAAUAGGCCGAAUUAGGUCAACACCGCAUUUAAGCGGUAGUCGGAUAAGUUGCAUAUCAUAUCAUGCAUAUACACUGAGCCUGAAUUGAUUUUAUAAUGGUCAAGCAUUAAUGUGGUGAAUUAUGUAUUGUACAUUGUGGAUAGGUAGUGAGCAUAUUACACUAGUAAAAGUACAAAGAUUGUGCUUGAAGACUGGGAUUAGGAGUACAUCGACUCCUAGAACUGUGAGUAAACUUAUUAUUGUCUUAAUUAUCUAGAGUAGUUUUAUACAAUUAUGUGAUUUUAUAGAAAAUGAGUUUAAAUGGUAAAUUGCUAUGUUUUAGGAGAAAUUGUGAUUUUAUAAAAUGAUUUUAUAAAUUUUUUGAAAAAUUGAAUACUAGUUUUGAAAAUAGAGUAAUUGGAAACUGCCUGCUUGUGUUAUAAAUUGUGUUUUAAAUUAUAUGGCUUAUAGCAAUAUGUGAGCAUGAAUGGCAAAGUCAGUAUUUGUAUUAAAAUUAUAUAUACUAUGUAUUCAGCCUUGAAAUGCUAGAUUUUGAUAAAUUACCAUGUCAUGCAGAUAAGGAUUUUAUAAAUUAUAUGGUAGAUAAAAUAAUCCAUAAUCCCUACAGUGGAGGUUUUGUGGACCAGCCUAAGAGAGGGGGCACAGAAUCAGAUAUACCUUACCUCGAUCGGAGAGCCGUGUGAAGGGUGUCUCUGGAGGUAAAGAUUUGAGUGCACUUUACGUGGACCAUCACGUGAGAGUGAGACUCAGCCAACGCCAAGGCAUGGCUAGAAUUUCAAAUGUAAAGACAUUUAACAGCCUUGGUGGUCUCGGUCAGAUGCUUAAGCCAAGGCAUCCCCGGGAAUGAUUUUGGCAGAGCCAAGUUUUGUGAGAUAGAUAAGCCAUGUUGAAUUAUUGAGUAAACUGAAUAUUCAUGUUAUGAAACAUAUAUUGAAAAAAUAUGUAAAAACCCUUAAAUUUUUAUUCUUUUAUUAUAACUAAACAAGUCGCAAACUCUUAAUUUUAAUAAAAAAUUUAACAAUCAUCAAAUUUAUUAUCAAUUGAUAUUUUUUUUGUCUAAUUAAUAUAUGAUAUGAUAAUUAAUAUAAUUGCGUGAUGGUAGACAUAACCCCAUAAAAAUUAAUGUGAAAUGAGUCAUGCUAUCAUGUCAUCAAGUUAUGCCGACAAGAAAAUGUCAACUAAAUUUUAAAAAAUGAUUGGAAUUUUUAAUCUUCCUCAGAAUUUUUUAUACAUAUGAAAAGAAAAUGUAAAGUAUGGAACUGAUUAAGAAUCCCAAUCCUCUGUCACAUUCGUUGACUUUUCAAAUGUAGACUUGGCUUUAAUAUUAAAGACAAGAGAACACUUUUUCACAAACUAAUCAUGCCCUUAAUCUCCUUCUCUCUCACGGAAACUUUAGGCUGCUGAGAGCAAAACUUCCAUUACUUUGCCUCUUGGCUUUGGCUUUUUUUCUUCUCCUUCAUGCAUGCAUCGCUUGAGUCAAAAACAAGCACUGUGGCUUCUGUUUCUGUGGCUCUUGUUUCUGCGGAAACAUUAACAUCAAUUACCCUUUCCGUUAAACUUAGAUUUGAUUUCAAUUGCAGCCACAGAAAUAAUUAGCAAAGCAAUGAAGAUAACAUUGUCCUAAGAGUUAAUGUUUCUCGUUAAACUUUUUUAUAUAUACUCCUCCACAGAAAAAUACUGUUGUUAACGUGUGAGGAUUUUUAAGUAUUCCGCAAUAUUUGGUGUUGUUUAGUUUUUGAAAAAUAUUUAUUGUUUUUAGCAUAAAUAAAUUUGACAAAUAAACAAAUAUGAGAAAAAUAAAUUUUUAAUUUUGAAUUCUAAUUUUAAAAAGUGGACAAUAUUUUUAAAUUACUUUUUUAAUUUUGUGUAUAAAUUUGUAUCAUAAAAUUUAAACUCGACAUUUUAAUGUAAAAUUUAAAGAGAAGGAUUUAAAACAUUUUUUCGUUUGGGCCCGGGGAAUCCCUUGCUUUUGGCUAUGGUCUUUAUUUACCUUUUUUGCACCUUUUUUUUUCGAAACUAUUAAUUCACAAACACUAUUGGAACGACGCGGCACGACAGCAAUACCACGACAAUCUACGAUUCAGAUUGACAUUACUAAUUUAUUAUUAUAAUAAUAAAUAUAUUAAAAAUUUUCUAAACUAUUUAAAAUAAUUUAAUUAAGUCUUCCUCUUUUUAUUUUGUUCAAUUAAACUCUUAUAUUUUUAUGUUGAAAUAAAUAAACAUUUAUAAUUAAUGGUUAACUAACUUUUAUUAAUUCAAAUUCAACUUGUCAUUUUAUACCCAAGUGACGUUGACAUGAUGUAAACAUGAAAGGUAAAAAUGUCAUGUCAGCAUAACAUGUUAAUAUCAUGUGACAUAAAAUAAUAAGUAGAAUUUUGAUUAAUAACGGUUAGUUAAUUAUUAAUUAUAAUGGAUUAUUUGGUUUAAAAUAGAAAUACAAGAAUUUGAUUGUACGCAAUAAAAGCUUAAAAGUUUAUUUGAAUUUUUCUAAAUAAUUCAGAGACAUUUUUAAAUAUUAUGCAUAUAUAUAUAUAUGUGAAAUUAAUUAAAUUUACAACUUUCAUAUUUUUUAUACAAUUUAUAUUUUGUUGAUAUAAUCGUUGUAUUCCAUAUAUACUUUAUUUACAUAGAUCAUGCAUGAAAAAUUUUAACUUAAUUAAAACUUUCUAAUUAUUUGUAUGAUAACAAUGAAAUUUUAAUCGUUAAAUAUAUAUUAAAAAACAAUAUUCCCCACCAAUGCUCUCCGGGUAUCAUUCUGACUAGAAACUUUAUAUGUAUGAUUAGGUGCAAACAAUGUUAGCUUGCUAAAAGUUAAUUGUAUAUGAAAUUAUAAAAGGUGUAAAACUUAAUCAAUGUGUGUAUAUAUAUAUAUAUAAUUUUUAUAAGUAUUGCAUAUAUGUAUACAUAUGUAUAAAAGAGAUUCAAUAAAAGAUAAAAUAAUUAAAUAAGAGAAGAUCCACUACAAAUGAUUCAUAAAUAAUAUUGAACGACAUUUAUUAGAUUUUUUAGUAACAUAUUUUAUGUUGUUACGAUGUUUUUUGGUCAAAAUAAAAAAUUUGUCCAAAUUUAUCAUUUACUUUGGGUGAUGGAUCAAAUUAUGAUCGUAUUUGAAUGAAUAUAAUUUUGUCACUAUACUUUAAAAUUGGUUAAAAAUUGAUCAAAAGUUCUGAAAUAAACUAAAAGGUACGAUAAUAAAAAUAACACCUGUCAAACCCUGUUCUAUAAAAUAAUUACGACGUCAUUUACAUGCUCAAUAGAAUAUUUGCAUAUUUAGGAAGUUCAAGAAAUCGUUAAAAGACGAUAUUACCCCUAAUGGUACUAUUAAGUUGAUUAAGCCUCGAACUAGUUCAAAUAGGAAUUUUAAGAUGAAAUUAAGAGUUUCAUAGUUCAGGGAUGACUCAAAAUGGUAAUUCGGAGUCCGAUGAUCAAUUUGGAAUGAAACCGGAAUUUUCACUAUCCAAAGGUAAAAUGGUCAUUUGCCACUUGAGGACAAAAUGAGAAUUUUAAAAAAGAUUUUUUGGCCCCAUUUGAUUUAUUGGAGUAUGAUUUGAGUAUUGGAGUAUNNNNNNNNNNNNNNNNNNNNNNNNNNNNNNNNNNNNNNNNNNNNNNNNNNNNNNNNNNNNNNNNNNNNNNNNNNNNNNNNNNNNNNNNNNNNNNNNNNNNNNNNNNNNNNNNNNNNNNNNNNNNNNNNNNNNNNNNNNNNNNNNNNNNNNNNNNNNNNNNNNNNNNNNNNNNNNNNNNNNNNNNNNNNNNNNNNNNNNNNNNNNNNNNNNNNNNNNNNNNNNNNNNNNNNNNNNNNNNNNNNNNNNNNNNNNNNNNNNNNNNNNNNNNNNNNNNNNNNNNNNNNNNNNNNNNNNNNNNNNNNNNNNNNNNNNNNNNNNNNNNNNNNNNNNNNNNNNNNNNNNNNNNNNNNNNNNNNNNNNNNNNNNNNNNNNNNNNNNNNNNNNNNNNNNNNNNNNNNNNNNNNNNNNNNNNNNNNNNNNNNNNNNNNNNNNNNNNNNNNNNNNNNNNNNNNNNNNNNNNNNNNNNNNNNNNNNNNNNNNNNNNNNNNNNNNNNNNNNNNNNNNNNNNNNNNNNNNNNNNNNNNNNNNNNNNNNNNNNNNNNNNNNNNNNNNNNNNNNNNNNNNNNNNNNNNNNNNNNNNNNNNNNNNNNNNNNNNNNNNNNNNNNNAACCUUCAAUGGCCGAACCCUAUGUGAAGUGUAGAAGUAAUGAAUUGAUUUUGUGAUCAAGUGAAUUGGUUGAAAAAUUGAUGAAAUGAUGAUUUAUGGUGAGAAAAUGGAAUGGGAAAAUUUUUAGUGAUAGUGCACCACAAUGGCCGAAAUUUUCAAGAAGAAUUGUGAGGGUUGUCAGGCUGAAUUUUAGAUUAUUGGAAUUGUAUUUAGUGAAUUGAAAUAUUAGAAAUGAAAUAGAGCAAUUUGGAGCAAAAUCGGACACAAUUGUCAUUUAAUCGGGUAAUAGGCCGAAUUAGGUCAACACCGCAUUUAAGCGAUAGUCGGAUAAGUUGAAUAUCAUAUCAUUCAUAUUGUCACGAACCGGAACUCCCAUCGAGCCCGUGACAACAGCCGCGACGUCUCGAUCGACAUUCAUUACCCGGAAUGUCAACCGGAACCCGGCAAGGUUUUAAUAUCAGCUUCUCAUUUUCCCUGUGGGUAACUGUUUUCAAAUACCACAUUCUAAAAGAUUUUAAAUUGUUUCCAACUUAAGCAAAUAAAAUAAUAAUUUUCAUCUCACAAGGGAAUUUUGGUCAUUUAUCCCAAAAAUCUCAAAAUCAUCUAAAAAUAUAGUAUGUAAGUGGAAAACACAUAUUUCAUAAUCAAAAAUAAUUUUGGAUGUCUAAAACAUUCGUUUAAAAUGGAAUUAUGACUGUUAUAAUAAAAUAAAAAUAUUAAAUAAAAUAUUCAAUUUCCACAUAAAACGAUAUUUUAAGAACAUUGCAUAAAUAAUUUUUAUAGUGUAAAAGCAAAAUAAAUUCUUACAUACCGUAAUACAGAUAACCAAAGUAUACAAUUUAAUUUACAGUGACAAGUGGGCCCACGAAUGACCAAAAGUAUCAAAAGAAAUGAACCUACAGUUUUUGGAUGUGGCAAGUUCAACUAUAAUCAUCGCCGAUAUCAGUUAUCUACAAUCUAUUCUGAGCCUGAAAUAGGUGGAAAGGAGGAUGGUGAGAUUAUAAAAUCCCAGUGAGUAAACAAACAUCACCUAAAAUAUCUAAAGUCGAGUAAAAGGAGACUAUUAAAACAUUUCAUCAAACUGUAAUUUAUCAUCUUUCAACCUAUUUCAACCAAAUGAAAUCAAUUUAUUUAAAGCAAGUAAUCAGUAUGGCUUAUGAAUUUCUUAAAAAGCUUGGCUCAUGCCAAAAAUUAUUAUCAUACUCAGUUAUCUGGGAUACCUUGGCCGAGAGCUAUCCCAACUGAGUCCGCCAAGGCUAUUAGAAAGUCGUGUUUUUAUUUUGAAAACAUAGUCGUUCCUUGGCGUUGGCCGAGUUCCCCUUCACGUGGUGGUUUAGCGUGAAGUGAAUUCUAAAAGUUAUAUCUCGGGAGUUACCCUACUCGCCUCUCCAACCGAGGUAAAAAUAUAACAGGAUUCUGUGCUCCUCUAAUAGGCUAGUCCACAGAACCCAACCUACUGCAGCAGGUCAAACCCACCAUACAAUAAAAUUUUGACAGCAUGACAGGGCUAAUAUAUUACUACCCAACCUGCAAGGGUAAAAUAAAGCAAUUCAUACAAUUCAUAAAAAUACAGCCCAGCCAGUCAUGCCAAUACAAUAACAUAAGCCAUUGAUUCAAUUUUAAAUUUACAACAUAUCAGUAGUCUCCAAUUACUCUAUUUUCAAAAUCAUUAUUUCGUUUCAAGACAAUUUAUAAAAUAUUUUCAUUUAAACUCAUUUUGUUUACAAAAUAUAAAAAUUUACCAUUUGAACUCAUUUUCAUAAAAUUCACCAAAACCGAAUAAAAACAUACUUUAGAUAAUUAAAAUGAUGGUAAGGUUACUCACCGUGUCUAAAGUGGAGAUUUUCGAAAUACUCAGACUACUGGUCUUCGGGUGCAAUUCCCUUGCCUUUAUCGGAAGACUCACCACCUUGACACAGUGCAAAAUCGAGAAAUUCACCACAUUGGUACUAAAUUGAAAUUAAACUAAUUUAGACUACUAAUGCUUGAUAUGGAAUGCAAAAAUGUCUAAAUUUUUGCCUAAAUGCGGUGUUAGCCUAUUUCGGUUUUUUACUCGAUAAAUCGAUAUACGCGUCCGUUUAAACUCCAAAUUAAUUUUUUUCAGUUUCUAUACCCCAAUUGCACCCAAAUUGACUUAAUGUCCCUCAGUGUGGUGCAAAUUAUCAGUCUCGAUAGCAAAUUACAAAAAUACCCCUAGUGGGUAAAAAUUUGUAUUUUUGCUCCUAAAAUUCUCAUUAUUUUUCUAGGCUCAUAAUUCAUUAUUAUUUAUCAUAAUUCCUCAAAUAAACAUCAAGAUCAGCAGCCAAUAUUCCCCUAGAAAAUUCGGCAUAAUGGGUUUCAAUGGGAGAAAAUUAUAUCUCUAGCUUAUUUUUGCUAUAUUUCAAUAUAACUUAACUAAAAUCGCUUAAUUCAAUUAAAAUCAACCAAAAAUCAAGCUCAAAACUCAUCCAUGGAAGUUUGGCCAGCAUGGGUGUCCAUACCCACUUUCUAAUUUUGCAUGGAAAUGAGAAAAAAAUGCAUGGGUAGUGAAAAUCACAAGGAAAAUCAAUGAAAUUUACCUUUUUAAUGCUUGAUUUCUUGAUUUCUCUUGAUUUUCCCCAAAUUUUCAGGUAGGGUUCUUAUUUUUUUCCCCCUUUUCUCUCCUGGUUUGGACGGCUGAAGAAGAUGAGAAUUCUGAAAUUUUUACCUUUUUAAAGGCUAAAAUAAAUAAUAUUAUUUUAGUCAUUUUUUUAAUGUUUUAUUAAUUUCUUAAAUUCUAGCCAUCCAUUUGUUUCCAAAUUUUCACCAUACACUUGUCCCACAUAUCCAUAGCUUAGAUAAAAUUCUCAGACUUAUCCAAACUCUUGGUGGAGUAAUUUUUGAAAUUUACACUUUUACCCCCGUAAAAGUCAAAAAUUACAUUUUUGCCCCAAAAACUGAAAAAUUGCCCCUAGACAUAUUUUUCAUCCCUUAUACUCAUACCAUUCUCCAAUUUGUCAAAUUUGAUCUAAAUUCUCUCAAAAUCUCAAAUUUUAUCCGCUAGUGGUAAAAUUACGAUUUCGCCCCUACACUCUAAAAAUCACCGAAAUUAAACUUUUUCACUGCCAAACCCUCAAAUUAUACUCCAAUACUCAAAUCAUACUCCAAUAAGUCAAAUGGGGCCAAAAAAAUUCUUUUCUAAAAAUUCCCAUUGUGUCCAUGGGUGGCAAAUGACCAUUUUACCCCUGGACAGUGAAAAUUUCAAUUUGACUCCAAAUUGAUCCUCGAACUCCAAAUCACUAUAUUAAACCAUUCUGGGACUUUAAUAUUCUUAAUUUUAUUUUAAAUUCUCUAUUUGAUCUAGUUCGAGGCUUAAAUUAACUUAAUUGUAUCAUUUGGUACAUUGUCGUCUUUUAACGAUUUUUCUUUCGGGGCUUUCCAAGUAUGCAAGCAUAUUGUCAAUCAUAUGAAUGACAUGACAAGUAUUUUAUAAGGUCGGGCUUGACACAUAUACACCGAGCCUGAAUUGAUUUUAUAAUGGUCAAGCAUUGAUGUGGUGAAUUAUGUAUUGUACAUUGUGGAUAGGUGGUGAGUAAAUUACACUGAUAAAAGUACAAAGAUUGUGCUUAGAGACUGGGAUUAGGAGUGCAUCGACUCCUAUAACUAUGAGUAAACUUAUUAUCGUCUUAAUUAUCUAGAGUAGUUUUAUACAAUUGUGUGAUUUUAUCAAAAAUGGGUUUAAAUGGUAAAUUGCUAUAUUUUAGGAGAAAUUGUGAUUUUAUAAAAUGAUUUUAUAAAUUUUUUGGAAAAUUGAAUACUGGUUUUGAAAAUAGAGUAAUUGGAGACUGCUUGUGUUGUAAAUUUAUGGUUUUAAAUUGAAUGGCUUAUGACAAUAAAUGAGCAUGAAUGGCUAAACUGAUUUUUGGUGUUAGAAUUAUUUGUACUGUGUAUUCAGCCUUGAGAGGCUAGGUUGCGAUAAAUUGUCAUGUUAUGUAGAAAAAGAUUUUAUAAAUCAAGUGGUAAAUAAAGUAAUCCAUAGUCACUACAGUGGUGGGGGUUUUCGUGGACUGCCUAUGAGAGGGGCACGGUAACCCAAUUAUAUAUUUACCUCAAAGGGGAGAUGUUGGAUGAAGUAUCUUUAGAGGUAAAGAUUUGAGUGCACUUCACGUGGACCACCGCGUGAGAGUGAGACUCGGCCAACACCAAGGCAUGGCUAAAAUUUCGGAUGUAAAGACAUUUAAAAGCCUUGACAGACUCAGUUGGGAUAAUCCUCAAUCAAGGUAUCCCUGAUAACUGAGUAUGAGAAUGAUUUUUGGCACGAGCUAAGCUUUUCAGGAAAUCAUAAGCCUAGUUGUUUAUUUGAUUGAAAUGAGUUGAAAGGUAAUGAAAUUACAAUAUGAUGACUUAUUUUAAUUUGUCUCCAUUUACUCGCCUUUAGAUAGUUUAGAUGGUGUCUGUUUACUCACUGGGAUUUUAUAAUCUCACCACCCUCCUUUCCUCACAUUUUAGACUCGAGGAAUUCCAUAGUUAGCUGACUUUGACAAAGACCUUCAUUUGGACUUGAAUCGGCAAAAGCUAUAGGUUUUCAGCUUCUGAUGUAUUUUGGUUAGAUGUGGGCCCACGUGUCACUGUAAAAGUAAUUUUAUGCUUUGGUUAUUUGCUUUAUAGUAUAUAUGAAUAUAAUUAACUUUUACGUUAUAAGAAUUAUUUACCGAUAGCUUUAUAAAAAUUAUUAUACAAGAAAAUAGUUUAUUUUAUUGAAUAUUUUUAUUAUAUUCAAAUGGUCAAAUUUUCACUUCAAAUGAACGUUUUAGAUACUUAAUUUGUUUUCAAAUCACUAAAUAUAUAUUUUUUGCUUACCUACUACAUUUUUAGCAAGUUUUGAGAUUUUUGAGAAAAAAUGACGAAAAUGCCCCUGUGAGCCAGAAAACAAUAUGUUAUGUUUUGAUUUGGAAAUGACUCGUAAUCCUUUGAAUUACGAUAUUUGAUAACUAUUGCUCAUCGGGGAAGUGCAAAAGCUGAUACGAGAGCUUUACGAGGUUUCGAUUGGCAUUCGGGGUGAAGAAUGUCUGUCGAGGCUUCGCGACGGUUGUCACGGGCUCGAUGAGAGUUUCGGGUCAUGACAACACCCAUUCAAAAAAUGAGUAGUAAAUUUGAUCCAUUAUGCUAAGUAGAUUGGUGGUAAAUUUGAACCUUAUGUCAAAUUAUUCUAUGAAGUUUGUAUGUGAAAAUAUGGCAGCUAGCACAUACCCAAAUUAAAUUUGUAAAUAACAUAUACAUGUUCUAUAAUCAUGUUUUCCAACUAAUUGAUUUAUAUAUUGUUUGUUAACUCUUUUUUUUUAAGAAACAGAAAUUCUUUUACUAAGAACUUUUUUGGGAAUAAUUUGUUUAAUUGUGUUGGUUAGAUGAAAAUUAAAAAGUAGCAUUUGUCGAUGGAUGACAUGAUUGAAAAUUUUCUUCAGAGUCAAAACAAUUUAAUGCUUAUAAGAUAUUCUUAUUUUGAAAUAAAAAGAAUAACUGAUGGUUUCAAGAAUAAAUUAAGUCAAGGAGGAUAUGGUUCUAUGUUUAAAGGAAAACUUCGAAGUGGUCAACUUGUUGCAAUAAAAUUGUUAAACAAAAAAAAAAGGUAUCACCCAAGAUUUCAUCAAUGAAGUUGCAACUAUUCGAAGGAUUCAUCAUGUUAAUGUGGUAAGACUUAUUGGAUUUGGCGUGAAGGGAUCAAAAUAAGCUCUUGUAUAUGACUUCACGAAGAAUGGGUCAUUGGAUAAAAUUAUAUUUUCAACUAAAAAUAACACCUUGAGUUGGCAAAAAUGUUUGAGAUUGCAUUGGGGGUGGCUCGAGGUAUUGAAUAUUUACAUAGAGGUUGUGAAGUGCAAAUUUUACAUUUUGAUAUCAAGCCACAUAGCAUUCUUUUAGAUGAGAACUAUACUCCAAAAGUUUUAGAUUUUGGCCUCACAAAAUUGUAUUCAGUGGAUGAUGAUGUUAUUUAUCUCAUAGUAGCAAGAGAUACGAUAAGUUAUAUGGCUCCAGAAUUGUCACGACCCGGAACUCCCAUCGAGCCCAUAACAAUCGUCGCGAAGUCUCGUUAGACAUUAUUUACCCUAAAUGCUGAUCGAAACCUCGUAAGGCUUUCGUAUCAGUUUUCUUACCUCCCCUGUGAUCGACAGUAACUAAAAUCGUGUUUUGAAACGAAAUGGACCAUUUUUCCAUCCAAAAACAAUGAAAAUUUAUUUCUGCCUCACAGGGGUAUUUUAGUCAUUUUUUUUCAAAAAUACGGAAACCCUUUAAAGUAGAUAACUGAAGUAUAAAAUUACUUUUCAGUGAUACGUGGGCCCCCAACUGACCAAGAAGGUGUAGGGCUACGAACCCUUACUUUCUAGGAUGCAACUCCGAGAUUAAUUCUCGUCUUAAUCAACUAUCAACAAACUGUCUUGAGCCUGAAAAAUGGAUAGAAAGAGGGGUGAGAUUACAUAAUCCCAGUGAGUAAACAAUUACCAUCAAAAACAUCUAAAGCCGAGUAGACGGAGACAAUAUAAAAACGUUAUAUCUCAAUAAUGUUCAUAACGCAAAAUUCGUUUCAAUCUAUACCAAACAAUUUCUUUUCGUCAAAAUUUCCCGGCUUAUGAAUUUCUUAAACUUGGCCCUUGCCAGAAUCAUUCUUGCGGGUACCUUCGUCAAGGUAUCCCACUGAGACAGCCAAGGCUGUUAAAUGUCCCAUACCCAUAAACAUGUUUUCGCAUCUGACACACAGCCGUUCCUUGGCGUUGGCUGAGUCUCACUCUCAAGUGGUGGCUCGAACGUGAGGUGCACUCGAAUCUUACCUCAAGAGAUACUUCAUCCAACAUCUCUCCCCAGAGGUAGGUAUAUAGUUGGGUUACCGUGCCCCUCUCAUAGGCAGUCCACGGAAACCCCCACCACUGCAGUGACCGUUUAAUAUACCACAAGACCCAUAAAAUUUUCAGUAGCAUAAUAUGGCGAAUAAAAUUUAAUCCAGUCUAUCAAGAUUAAUCCAAAACUGUUCAUAUAUGUCAUGUCAACCCCAAAAAUUUAGCCAUCAUGUUACCAUAGUGUCAUAAGCCACAAUUUCAAUAACAUAUAAAAUCAUAAAUUCAACACAGUCUCCAUAUACUCGAUUUUUCCAAAACAAUAUUUAAUUUCAAAACCAGUAUAAAUCUCAUUUUUAUUAAAAAAACAUUUUAAUUGGAAAACAUAAUAUUUUAUAAUUUAAACUCACCAUUCAAUAAAAGCAUCAAACAAGUAUAAUUACUCUAGAGAUUUAAGAUGAUAAAUUGUCCACUCACAGUACUAGGAGUAGAAAUACUCCAAUUUUCAGUCCGCGGGUACAGUCCUUUACCCGUAUCUAAUGGCUCACCACCUAGCCAUAAUCCAUGACACAUAUUCUAAUUAAAUUGUGUCUAACAGUUAUAAGCUAUUUCAAGCUCGAUAUAUAUGCAUGAUAUGAAAAUGAAAAAUACACGAGUAGCCAUCUAGACCCGGUAUUGGCCUAAGUCGAUUUUUCAUCCGAUAAAUUGGCCAAUGCGUCCAAUUUCACUCCAACUUGCUCCAUUUUUUUCCCAAUCCCUCAAUUCACGAAACACAAACUAAUUAACACAGAAUUAGGCAAAAUUUAUCUUCACUUUUCUUCUUAGAACUUUUGGCCAACAAUGGUACACUAACUCCAUGAUUUUUUCUACUUAAUUUUCUCUCCAUGAUUCAUUAAUUCCUACACAAAAAACUAUUAUUUCUUAAUCAAAUCACUUAUAAUAACAUCUCAUUCUUCCUCAUUAUUCACUUAGAGAAUUCGGCUAUUGAUGGACACCAAACUUUUGGUGGUUUUCUUCACUUGUUUUCAUGCUACACAUCAUUAAUCACCUAAAAACACUAACAUACCUAAAAAUCAAACCAAUCCAAGAUCAUUCUCUCUCCAUACCCAUUUUGACCAGCCAUGAAUUCACCAUGAAAGCAUGCUUUUCAACCAUGAAAAUUAAGGGAAAAUGCAUAGGAAAAAUAGUUCAUAAACUAAAAUCAAGAAAUUUCACCUUUUUCCACUUGAUUUUCUUGAAAAUCCACACUUUUCUCUUGAAUUUCUUUCCACCUAGGGUUUGUUCUUCUUUUCCCCUUUGUUUUCUUGCCAAAGCUGACCCUUAUGAGAGAGAAAUGGUGGUGUGGGCUGAUUUUUAUAGUUAAAUAAUAUAAUAAUUUAAACUUGCCACAUGGCAUUCCAUGAUUGGCCCAUUUUUUUAAAUUCUUAUCUUUUAAGAUUUAAAUCUCCACCACACAUUUUUCAAGGGUCAAAAAUGAUGAUGGGUGAAGACCUUGUGCUGGAAAAAUGCUCUCGGGGUGCAAAAUUACCAUUUUGCCCCCGAAGUGACAAAAUUACCAUUUCACCCAGGUACUCCAAAUUAUACCGAAAUUAAAAUUUUUUACUUCUAAACCUCAAAUCAUACUCCAAUAAGUCAAAUGGGGUCAAAAAAUCUUUUUUAAAAAUUUUAUUUUUGUCCCCAGGUGAUAAAUUACCAUUUUACCCUUAGAUAGUGAAAAUUUUGGUUUGACUCCAAAUUGAUCCUCAAACUCCGAAUUACCAUUUUGAGUCAUCCCUGGACUGUGAAACUCUUAAUUUCACCUUAAAAUUUCUAUUUGAACUAGUUCGAGGCUUAAUCGACUUAAUGGUACCAUUAGGGGCAAUAUCGUCUUUUAACAAUUUCUCGAACUUCCUAAAUAUGCAAACAUUCUAUUGAGCAUGUAAAUAACGUCGUAAUUAUUUUAUAGAACAGGGUUUGACAAGAAUUGUUUUAUAAAAAUAUCAGAGGUAUCUCAUAUAAAGCCUAUGUUUAUAGUUUUGGAAUAAUGUUAAUGGAAAUUAUGGGAAGGAGAAAAAAUUUAAAUGCCUCUACCUAAUAUUCAAGUCAAAUUUAUUUUCCAUCAUGGAUAUAUGAUGGAUUAGAUGAAGGAGAUAUCAUGGAGCUUGGAGAUGUGACAAAAAUUGAAAACAAAAUUAUGAGGAAAAUGAUAAUGGUAGCCUUAUGGUGCAUACAGAUGAAACCCAUAGAUCGUCCUUCAAUGAGUAAUGUCUUAAAGAUGCUUGAAAGUGAAGUUGAGAUCCUUGAAAUGCCUCCCAAGCCUUCUUUUUCUCGAAAUGUCAACUAAAAAUAGUAAGAAUUCUCACCACACACGCGACAAUCAGCCUUCCUCAACUACCUUGUGAUAUUCGUCAUUGGGACUACUAGGAUUUGACCUCAUGUUCAAAUUAGAAAAUAAUCAAUAAAUUAAAAAUAUAAUGCAACGAAAAAAUAAAUUAGUAUUUAAUCAUGAAACAGUCGAAUCUUACAAUAUCAAUGUUUGUGCUUUUCAUGUAACUUUCAAAUUAAUUAUAAACAUUCAUAAGUUUAAGAGUUACAAAUCUUGCUCCAUAUAUGGUAAUCAAGAGCCAAUUAAAUCCAAAAUCUUUGUUUCUUCACCUUUGGGAUUUGUCAAAUCUUCAGCCACCCAAGUGUUUGGCCUUUAACAGUAAUCCACACAGUGACCGAAUAUGACCUUCUCAAAGGUAGGAUUUUUUACUUGUGCUGGCAAGUUUUGUUUCAAAAAAAAAAAAAAAACCAAAAGUUCUUGCUAAAUCUUAUUUUUAUCAGACAAAAAAAAUAAUUUUUCUUUUCUUAUUUUAUGAAGCAACUGAAAAGUGGUUGGCGGCUUAGAGUUUUAGUUUGCUAAUAUAAUAUAUUUAUAUAACCGAAUUAAGUUGUAACCCUAAAAACAAUAGUUGUAUUUUAAUUUAAUUAGGUCUCUAAGAACUUAAUUAAUUUUGUACUUUAUUUUGGUCUCUUUCAAUUAAGUCCAACUUAAUUAAUUAUCCUCAUUUAAUCCCAAUCAUGUUACUUAAUGUGUUUGACCCAUUAGGCUUCUAACAUGUUGGCAAUAAAUAUAAAUAAUAAUCAAAUAUCAAUUUGAUAAUUAAUUUAUAUUUAUAGAUCAUAAGCGGCAUUUAGCAAUGUAUCGUGACCACCUAAAUGUUAGAGAGUUAAUUAAAGAAUUUGACAAAGCUUUUCAGUGAUAAGCCUCUUAGUAUAAUACAGUCCUUUCAUCAAAUAUCUCGGAUAUGUCAUUAAGCAUGGCUCAGUGUCUACUUAUAACAUUCGAUAUUAGUUCUCAUAAUUCAUGAUUAACUUUAUGAAUUUAGGAAACUAACUUUUCUCAAAUUCGUCAUGCUUUGGCCAAAGACUUUAUACAAGUUAAUCAAGAAUUGAGAACAAGUGAGAUACAUCCCCUCAUAUCACUUGGGGUAAUAAAUCCUCUCUUGACCACUCAUUCACCUUCGCAUGCUUCAUGGCAUAUCCAAAAGAGUACUUUUCAUUAAUGGGCCAGAGGCAUAAGGCGUUUUUAAGAAUGGUCUUCCUUAUAAUUUUAUCUUUUUUUAGCCAAGAGAAAAAAAAUUGGACAAAAUUAUCCUUAAUGAAACCGACCCAUUCACUAGGCUCCACACCUCAACCCGAAACCUAUUAACGGGUUAAGUAUGUUUAGGUUUGCGCCACAAACUGACUCAUAUUUUUUGAGCUUUCCUUACUAGACUAUUCAUCUCUAGAGUAUUCCUUACCAGAAAGAAAAACGUUUAAGUAUUGUGAGCAUUUUAGAGUAGUUUUUGAUACACGAAGAAAACUUGUGAGCGUUUUGAGCAUUUUUAAACAUUUUAGAGUGAUUUUUGAUAUAUGAAGAAAAACUUUCGAACAUUUUGAGCAUUCAUAUUUGUUAAUUAUGUUGUUAAAUAAAAUAUGGUGUAUCGUUUGAAGUUGUUGAUCUUGUUAAAUGGAAUUCAGUAGUUUUGGUGAUUUUUGAGAAUUAUGUGACUACUUUUUAGGCAUUGCGUGACUGACUUUGGAUAUUACGUGACUGACUUUGGGCAUUACGUGACUGAUUUUUGAUAAGGUAUUGCGUGACUAGUUUUUGAUAAGGCAUUGCUGACUAGUUAAUAGGCAUUACGUGACUGACUUUGAGUAUUGCGUGACUAGUUUUUGAUAAGGCAUUGCGUGACUAGUUUCUAAUAAGGCAUUGCGUGACUAGUUGAUAGGCAUUGCGUGACUAACUUUGGGCAUUGUGUGCCUAGUUUUUGAUAAGGCAUUACAUGACUAGUUUCUGAUAAGGCAUUGCAAGACUAAUUUAUAGGCAUUGCGUGACUUGUUAGUAAGGCAUUGCGUGACUUGUUAGUAAGGCAUUGCGUGACUUAUUAGUAAGGCAUUGCGUGACUAGUUUGUAGGGCAUUGUGUGACUUAGGCAUUAGUUAAAAAUCAGUCACGCAAUAUAUAAAAACUAAUCACGUAAUGCCUAAAACCAAUCAUGUAAUGACUAAAAACUAGUCGUGCGGUGAUUAAGUCACGCAAUACCUAAAAACCAGUAAACUCAAUUUUUGGUUCUAUGAAUAAACCAAUAAACUCAAGAACCUAAAACACAUAUUUUUUUUUUGCUAAGCCAUAAAAUUGUGCAUUUCAUAAAAAAUAGAUUACAAAACUCCAUAACCCUCUAAAACAAGAGAAAAUAUAUCCCUAUCGGGAGGUCUUGCUCACUCCCUUUAUCCAAAAACAAAAUAUACCCUCUUUACAAAAUAUUUUCUGAACAAUUUCAACUCAAAAUCCCUAGCAAACAUGCUUAACAAUCAUCCUAAUCCCAGACACAAUAAAACUGUGAACCACCAUAAAACCCAUCAAACAUGCUUUAGCUGUUCUUUCUCCAUAAGCAAAAUCACUGCCUGCAAAUAGCAAAAUCGUUGUUCAUCGCCCUUAAGAACCCCAAGAUCAACCAUCCAAAAAAUUAAAAUAAAAUAAAAAAGAGCUUGAUGUCAUAUCUACGAAUUGGAUGGCGAGAUAGACAUAUUUAAGCAGAGAGAGAAAUCAAGAUUUAAUUUUGAAAUUUUUAUCUAGAUGGCGAGGGAGAGAAAACUGAAACUAUUUUAAUCUGUCUGAAAUAGUUUAAAGGAUAUUAUUGUCAAGUCAUAGCAAAAAUUGACCAAAAAUAGUUAAAAUUAUAAAAAAAAUGAUAUUUUUGAAUUGAGCUUAUGAGGAAGGUUAUUUCUCACAAUUUCCUCUAUCCAAAAACAAUUUGUUUAGGCAUCUAGUCGUUUCCAAACCCGUUGGAGUGAAAUCAAAGUAUGUCAUUUCUUAUACAAGAUGACCUAGUGUCUCAAGUCUGAAGACUGGUUGCAUGACUAUCACAUGAGAAUAUUUUUCAUAGACAUUUGAGUGAAAUACCAAAUAGAGUUCUCAUAGCGGGUCAUGUUCAGUGAACUUAUUCUUUAACAAGCACCUACAUAUUAUCCUCAAGUAUCCCUUAUACUUCAAUCUAUAAAAUCGAUUGCUUACUUCCCAAGUAAGGAUGCUUAAUAUGUACCAGUCUUUGAGCAUUGUCAAUGCCCUGUCUUGACAAUACAAUGACCAAGAACAAUUUUAGAAACAUGGCUUUGAUGCAUAGUGAUCUCAUAAUUGUAACAACUUUACAAUUCUCUUGCAAGGCUUUUAUGUUCCAUUGGCUUCAUCAAAUUAGUACUUAAUAACUCCUUAUUAUUACACUAACAUGAAGGAAAACCUCUAUCACAUAUAAUUAUGAGAUUAAAUAUGCAUUAAAUGACAAUAUAUAUUCCUUGACUAAUAUAAUUAGCUCAAGGUUAUAUACCAAUAGGGACGCCACUCAACAUUGUGAUCUUACUAAAUCUGAUUAUUUUUUCUGUAUUUAGAUUUUUGAGUGGUACAUAGUUUUGUUUCCACCAAGAUCUAGCAGGCAGUGUUUGUAUUCUCUCUACUACCUUUGUUCGUUUUGUUUCUGCUACUUUUCUAUAUCCCUAUAUCUGAUCUCUGAUGAAAUAAAUCAUUUCCUCACUUGCAAAAAAUUUGCAAGAAAAUGUAAAUUUUAUUUUUCCCUUAUUUUAUACGAAGAAAAUAUGUUUUAUCUUAUAUUUAUAUUUUUAUGUAUGUAUGUAUGUAUCUAUAGUAUUAGUUGUUUAAACUUUUUAGGUGCAACUAAAAUACUUCUAACAAAAGAUUGUAUAGAGCAGCCAAAUUUGUAAUAAAAUAUUUUUAAUAACACAAGUUAACAAAAUUUUAAAUGCUAAAGUUAUUGUAGUGUGUUUUUUCCCUUCGGUUCUAGACUCUAAGCUAAUUGAAUUUUCAAAGAAAGAUUUGCUUUCAUUUGCAGCUACAGAAUGAUAAGCAGAACAACCAAGAUAAGAUUAUCUUAGUUCUUAGUUAAUCUUUCUUUUUAAACUUUUUUAUACAUAUACCAAAACAUGUAAAAUAUGGGCUAAUUGGUCCUUUUAGACUUAAUAGGUUGACGGUGAAAUUUUAAGACUACACAAUGAAUUUAUAGGAUUGCUCGAGUGAUUUUGUUUAUAUCUUAUUGGAGGUUUAUAUUAAUCUCUUAACUCAGACAAAUUACAAAGAUUCCUUUUCUGUCAGUUUCAUUAUCAAUCAGUUGCAUACGUUGUUUCUUCACUUAUUUCUAUUUGAGUGUAAAAUCAGCUAAGAGCUUUGAUUGGCUUUAGUUAGUUGACUUGACUGACUUUCGAAUAAAGACAAGUGAGCAAGAAUAACCGUACAUUUUCCCCAUGAGAUUUUCUAUGUGAAAAAAGCCAUACAAGUCUUAGAGGUGAGUCUUGACAAGGAUAACUCUCCAUUCCUCAUUAGUUCAUAUCCUUGCUACAUCCUUGGUGGAAAAAGCCUACCACUCGGUAGAAGAUUUGUUGGAAUCUAUACUAAAAAAGAUAAAGCAAAAUACACGAAAAAGUAAUAAAUAUUUAACAGUUAAUAACAAAAGAAAUAAGAAAGAGUGUUGAAUGUGAAACUUGGUUCAAAACACGUUAUGAAAGGCAUUGAUUUUAAAGUAGAUUUCCGUUGUUACCUCAGUGCAAAUAACAAUCAAUGAUGUCUUACUCCAAAGAUACAAGAACCACUCAAAGAUAUUCUAAUGUGCACUCAAAUAGAAAAUCUGGUAAACUUGUAAAUCUCUUAACUAUUCUUGAAGGAAUUUAGAAUGAAAAAAAAUAGAGUUUUUGGAAAUAUAAAAUGCUUUAAAUGAAUUUUUCAAAAAGAAAACCUAGGUAUUUAUAGAUAGUGAACCAUCACUAAUGUAUCUCUUCAUUUAGAUGCAUUUACUCAAAAGUGAACAAAUGUGUCCUUUUAUAAGUACAUACUUUUCUACAAUCAAAAGUUAUACCUCUUUCAACAAACAUAUUAAAUUUUGAGUCACUAAAAAUAAAAUAAAAAUUAAAAAUCCAACAAGAAUUGGUGUACAUCUCCCUUAUUAUACAUGCACCUCAAUAUAGGAUCAUAUAUCUCUUAAAUUGUAGGAUGAAAAUGAACUCUUCGGUUUACAUUGGUGCUUCUCAUUCCACCAAUCGGUGUUCCUCUACAUCUUUUGUUUCUUCGGUAUUUUACAUUGUUAAUGGGACAAUUUGAUAAAAAGAUCAAAAUAUAAUUCUUUGAAAAUAUUAUGUACAAUAUACAUGAAAAAAUAUUACGAAUUUAAUUUCUUUAAUUAUUGCGAGAGUUAUAAAAAUAAUUGUAGAAGCAAGUCUAAUGACCAUAGGCUUUAUUUGAAUAGAUAUUUUUCUUCUUUUUCGUGUCCAACUGGUCGUAACCUGUUUUCAAAUUUAAAUAAAUAAGAAAAAAGUAUCCAAGACUUUGAGUAUUUCAGAUAGUUAUUCACGAGCUUCACUAUCUUCAUGCAACAAAUUUGAAUUUUUAUUUUGGAAAGACAAUUUUGAAGUUUAGAUAUGCGUAAUUUUUUUUUUUUACAAAGUGAAAAUGUACAUAUAAAGUACAAGGAAAGAUAUACUUGUAUCUAUAUAAAAUUAAAUUAGUUAAACAGUCUUUUAUAUUUUUUAUACAAUUUAUAUUUUGUUAAUCCAACUGUUGAAAUUGUUAUAUUCAUAUAAAUCAUGCAUAACAGAUUUCAAAUUAAUAAAAAUGAUUAACUAUUUAUUUGAUAAAAAUAAAAUUCUAAUUGUGAUAUAAAAUAUAAAGAAAAAUAUACUAAGAAAAUAAUUGAGAGAAGAAUUGAGAAAAAAACUUUGGGUUCAUUUCUCAUGAGAAAAGAACUUCUGGUUCAUUUCUCAUUAUUUCUGAUUAUUAUUGAUUGUGAUUUUUUCAUUGAGUGCAAAGCUCUAUUUACAUUGAAUUGACUUUGAAACUUUACAUAAGUGAUAAGUAAAAGUUGUUAAAUCUAACAAAAAUAUUAAUUUCUUAGGAAGUUAUAUAAAAGUGUAAAACUAAUUAUUUUUACAUAUAUAAAUUAUUAAUUUAUCAUGAUUUAGGCUUUUGUGUGCGAUUUUUUCAUAUUUAACUGUAGUUGAAAAUAUGCAAUCUUUGAUAAUAUAUGCAUGUAAUAUUUUUGUUGGUGCAAAGGGGGUUUAUACGGUAUUCAAAAGAAUUAGCAAAAUUGACUUCAAGGUGAGCCUUUCAAAUAGACGUCUAUCUUUAAGACUUAUUUUGCCCCUACCACUUGAUAUGUAAAGGGGAAUAAUGCGAAUAGUCUCAAAGAUACAAUGAAGCAAACGUCUAACUUUCAUAUUGUACUUACGAAGUAGAUUGCUGGAUACACCCAAGGAUUUGCAAAGUUGCUUGGCCUUAGAACCAACUUUCUACAGCAAGUAGAUUGUAAGGAAUUCGGAAUAUCUUGUAGAUGAUGGAAACUUAAGUAUUUAUAUUUAUAAUAAAACACAACACUUAUCUUGCUCUUGACUUUUCUACUCUUGUCUUGUUUUUGAUUGUUUGGUGUGUUAAAAUGGUUGGCAACAAGCCCUUUAUAUAAGCUUCCAAGUGUAUUUUCUUCCAAGACACAACCCUUUCAUAAAGAUACCUUUUGUCUAAAAGGUAUCUCUACAUUUUUGCCAACACAACUUUUAGAUAAAGGUAUUGUUUCAAUAGUCACCUUACAAAAGAUAGCUAUUCAUUCCAUAAGGUAUAACCUUUGAGUUAUAACUUGAACAAUAACUUUUCACAUUUAACUUUUGAGCAUGUGGUGUCUUUUCAAUAUGUCUCUUAACUUUUGGAUGUCAUUUUUCAAAAAGACACAACUUUUCACAUGAAAACUUGCUUAUAUUCCAAUAGACACAUUAUGUCACUUUUCGUGACAUAAAUUUUGAGCUAAUGAUAGCUUUUCCAUCAUGUGACAUAACCUUUAAUUUUGAAAAAAUACCAACAAUCCCCCACCAUUUUCAAAAUUUUCAAAUACCAAUAACUUUGGGAAACUUAUGCAUAAAUGAAGGUAUCCUGCAGAUUUGAACCUUCACUUAGUGAGUGUGGUUGGUUCUAGUCUGAAUUGAGUGGUUGACCAAGCAUUGAACCAUCGAUUCUUCAUUGACUAGUCGGGUCACUAAACACACACAAGCUUCCUUGCACACAUUGUAUCUAGUUUUGACAAUACGUUUUAUGGCCUUCUGUUUUGUAUCCAUUCAUAAGUGCUGUCAGAGUCAAGCCUUUAACUCCUAGAAGUGGCCACAUUUCCACUCAUAUAGGUAGCCCCCAUCGAAAAUACCCCAUAAUUAUAGUACUUCAAUAUAUACAUGUUAUGGGUUUAUUAAGAACUUUCGUUCAACCUUACUUUACACAUUACAGGAACCAAGCACUAUACACCUUGGGAUGGAAAAUAUAACUUAGUGCUUGCAGUCACCAUGUGGUAGAAUGGUAAGUACCCGAGACUUGCAAGUCGGCUACAAGCUUCGAGGUGAUUUCCCACCAUUGGCAACUUAGUUGAUAAGCUUGAGACCUAUUCCUCUUGAGGUCUUUAUAACCAUAUCCUUUUUCAAACCUUUAGUAAAUGGAUCUACUAAAUUUUCACAGACCUCACAUAACUUAUAGUGACUAUACCAUCACUAAUUCUUUGUCGUCUUACAAUGCUAUGUCGAAGUCCAAUAUAUCGACUCUUCCAUUGUAAGCUUGAUUAUAUGCUUUUGAUACAGUUGAUUCAUUGUCACAAUGUAUCAAGAUUGGUGCCGUUGGUUUAGGCCACUACGAAAUUUGAUAGAGUAAAUCUCUCAACCAUUCCGCUUCUUGGGUGGCAAAUGCUAAGGCUAUAAAUUUAGUCGCCAUGGUGGAGUCUGCUUGACAAGAUUGUUUCUUAGAACCCCUAGAAACAGCACCCCCACCAAUUGUAAAAAUCCAACCAAUCGUGGAUAUGUACUCUAUUCUAUUUGAGUUCCAACUUGCAUUUGUAUACCCUUCUAAAACCGAAGGAAAACCUGAAUAGCAGAUGCCAUAAUUCUUUAUACUCUUUAAGUACCUUAGAACUCUAUGAACAACAUACCAAUGUUUUUUACUCGGAUUACUUGUAAAUCAGCUUAGCAUCCCAACCGCAAAAGCAAUAUCCGGCCUUGUACAGACCAUUGCAUACAUAAGGCGUUCAAUCACCUUUGCAUAUUCAUUUUGUGCUAUUGCCUUGUCUUCGUUAGGUAUUAGCCUUAGAUUAGAAUUAUAAGGCAUAGUCAUUGGCAUACAAUCUGACUUGCCAUACUUCAUUACAAUCUUUUCGAUGUAAUGAGAUUGAGACAAUGUUAGGCCAUUAUUGUCUCUUAUUAUUCUUGUACCAAGAAUAACAUCUGCCAUACCCAUAUCUUUCAUGUCAAAAUUCUUUGACAAGAACAUUUUUGUGUCUUCCAUUUGUUCCAAAUCGGUACCAAAUAUUAACAUGUCAUCUACAUAUAAACAAAUGAUGACACCUCUACCAUUAUGGAACUUACUAUAGACAUACUUGUCAAAUUGAUUAACCUUGUAGCCAUUAGCUAGCACAACCUCAUCAAACUUUUGAUACCAUUGUUUGGGUGCUUGUUUUAAUCCAUACAAGGACUUUACAAGCUUACAUACUUUCCUUUCUUGACCAGAAAAGACAAACCCUUCAGGUUGUUCCAUAUACACCUCUUCAUCUAACUCACCAUUUAGGAAUGUUGUUUUAACAUCCAUCUGGUGAAUUACCAUCUUUUAUAUAGAUGCAAGUGCUAUAAGCACUCUAAUUGUAGCUAUUCUUGCUACCAGUGCAUAUGUAUCAAAAUAAUCAACACCUUCAUUUUUUUUAAAGCCUUUGGCUACUAGCCUUGCUUUAAACUUUUCUACGGUUCCAUCAACUUUCAUUUUCUUUUUGAAAUCCACUUACAGCUUAUUGGCUUGGAACCUGGUGGAAGGUCUACCAAUUUCCAAGUUUUGUUUCCCAUUAUUGAGUCCAUCUCAUCUUGUAUUGUUUCUCUCCAAAAUGAAACAUCAUGAGACUUCAUUGUUUCAUAAGUUUGAGGAUCACCUUCACCUUCUACAUGAAAGCAGUAAGGUAAGUAUUCACAUGUUUCCUCUCUUGUACCUUCUACUAAGUACAUGAGGAAAUUGGAUCCAUAUGUUUUUGCUUACUUAAUUCUUUUACUUCUUCGAAGCUCAAUAGUUUUCUCAUCAUUUUUUGAAGGCUUAUCACAUUUUGUUACUAGGUCUUUGGGUCUUGGAAUUGAAUUGAACCUUGUUUCAUCAAAGAUAACGUCCCUCGAGUCUAUGACUGUAUUAACAGAAUAUGAAUAAUUGGGCUCUAUCACCAUGAAACGAUAUGCUUUACUAUGUCCAGGAUAUCCUAUAAAUAUACAUUCAAUUCCUUUUUCACCCAAUUUCCUUUUUUUUUUUGCUCUGAAACUCUUACCAUGGCUCGACAUCCCCAAACUCUUAAAUAAUUAAGAUUUGGCUUUCGCUCUUUCGAUAGUUCAUAAGGAGUAGUUUUGCUCCUUUUGUUUGAGAUUCUAUUUAGUAUAUGGCAAGCCGUUAAUAAGGCUUUGCCCCAAAAUCCUUUUCCCAAACUUGAAUUAGAAAGCAAAGCAUUGACCAUUUCCGUAAGAACUCGAUUUUUACGUUCUGCUACACCAUUUUGUUCCGAUGUGUAUGUAGUGGUAGUCUCGUGAAUAAUUCCAGUGGACUCAAAAUACUUGGGAUCAUAAUAUUCACCUCCUUUAUCAUUUCGUAAACAUUUAAUAAACAAUUCACAACACAAUUCAACUUCUCUUUUAUAAAUUCUAAAUUUCUCCAAUGUUUCAUCUUUAGUAUGCAAUAAGUAAACAUAGCAAUAUAUAGAUAAGUCAUCAAUAAAUGUUACGAAGUAUUUCUUUCCACUGAUAGAAGGAGUACUAUGCAUGUCACAAACAUCAGAAUGUAUUAAUUCAAGUAAUUUUGUGCUUCUUUCUACCUUAGGAAAUGAACUUCUUAUGAUUUUAGUAACCAUGCAUGUCUUGCACAUAUCAUUAUUUUCAUCAAUGUUGGGUAUUAAUUCUAAUUUAGCCAUAUCAUGCAUUCUUCUAUAAUGAACAUGACCUAAUCUAUUAUGCCAUAGAUUAGUUGGGAUUGCUUUACUAUCAUGAACAUUGAACGAGGCAUUAAUAUAAGUAGAACUAGUAAGAUUCUUAUUGACAUUAAGCUUGAACAUGUUUUUACAAUAGUAUCCACUUCCCACAUAAUGUCCACCUUUUGUAAAGAUGAACUUAUCCUCUUCAAAUAUUAAUUUGAAACCAUACUUAUUCAACAAGCCACCUGACACAAGGUUCUUUCUAACUUCUGUAACAUAAUAGACAUUGUUUAGUACAAGUAUCUUUCCAGAAGUAAACAUAAGUUCCACAGUGCUUUUUCCUUUCACUUGUGUAGUGGAGGAAUUUCCCAUGUAUAGUACAUUUCCAUUAUUAACUUCUUUCAAAGUCUUAAAAAAGCUUUUGCUGUUGCAUGCAUGAUUAGUUGCACCAGUGUCAAUCCACCAUGCUCCAUCAUCUUGGAGAAGAUUGACCUUAGAAACCAUAGUCAUAAAUUUGUUGUGGUUCACACCUUGUGUCUUGUUUCUCAAAAGUCUACAUUCCGCCUUAAAGUGACCAAGUUUGUUACAAUGAAAACAUGGCCCUUUUUUGUUCCUUUUAAACUUAUGACAUUUGUCAUUCAUACCCACGAAAUGUUUUCUUUUGUUGCAUAAAAAUGGCUUGUUUAAUGGUUUGUGUUCCAUCACAUGGACCUUUAAAGUCUCAAGAUUCUUUUCAUUAGAAUCUUUUUCAUCUUGCUUGACUUCUUCUUGCUUACAAUAAUCUUCUUCUAUUUGAAGAUGAUUACCAAGCUCUUCGACAGACAUAUCCUCUUUUCUAUGUUUUAGGAAUUUCUUUGUGUCUCUCCAUGAAGGGGGAAGUUUAUCAAUUAUUGAAGAUACCACAAUAGCUUCAUCUAUUUUAAGACCAUAUUGCUUAAAGCUAUUGAGAAUGUGUUCAAGUUCAUGCAAUUGUUCCAUAACAAAAUGAUUAUCAACCAUUUUACAAUUAUUGAAACAACUAACCAGGAAUUGUUUGCUGCUUGCAUCUUCCGUCAUGUAUCUUGCUUCCAACUUGUCCUAAAGUUGCUUUGCACUAGCUUCGUUCUGGUACGCAUCGAACAAAGCAUCCGGCAUUUCAUUAAGAAUGUGUCCCAUGCAUAUGUAGUCAUCAUUAUCCCAUUUUUGCCUUGAACAAGUUCUUUUCACGGAUUAUUCACCAUCUUCUUCACUUGGUCGUGGUGUAUCUAGAACAUAAGCGACUUUAAGAGUUAUGAGUAGGAAGUGUAUCUUUUCCAGCCAUCAAAUGAAGUCUCCUCCAUCAAAGCAAUCUAACUUGACAAUGUUGGUAGUUAUCUCUUUGAGUGAAGCCAUUUUGAAUACCACGAAAAUAAGUCUUAAAACUAUUGGUGCGAAGGGGGUUUAUACAAUAUUCAAAAGAACUAGCAAAAUUGACUUAAAAGUGAGCCUUUCAAAUAGACGUCUAUCUUUAAAACUUAUUUCGCCCCCACUAUUUGGUAUGCAAAGAGGAAUAAUGUGAAUAGUCUCAAGGAUACAAUAAAGCUAAUGUCUAACUUUCAUAUUGCCUCACGAAGUAGACCGCUAGAUACACUCGAGGGUUUGCAAAGCUUUUUGGCCUUAGAACCAACUUUCUACAACAAGUAGAUUGUAAGGAAUUCAGAAUAUCUUGUAGAUGAUGGGAACUUAAGUGUUUAUGUUUAUAACAAAACACAACACUUAUCUUGCUCUUGACUUUCUGCUCUUGUCUUGUUUAUGAUUUUUUAGUGUGUUAAAAUGAUUGGCAACAAACCUUUUAUAUAGGUUUUCAAGUGUCUCUUCUUCAAGGAUACAACUCUUUCAUAAAGACACCUUUUGUCUAAAAGGUAUCUCUACAUUUUUGCCAACACAACUUUUAGAUAAAGGUAUUAUUUCAAUAGUCACUUUAUGAAAAGAUAACUAUUCAUUCCAUAAGUUAUAACCUUUGAGUUGUAACUUGAAACAAUAACUUUUCAUAUUUAACUUUUAAGCAUGUGGUGUCUUUUCAAUAUGUCUCUUAACUUUUGGAUGUCAUUUUUCAAAGAGACAACUUUUUACAUGAAAACUUGCCUAUAUUCCAAUAGACAUAUUAUGUUACUUUUCGUGACAUAACUUUUGAGCUAAUGAUAGCUUUUUUGUCAUGUGACAUAGUCUUUAAUUUUGAAAAAGCACCAACAAUUUUUGUUCAAAAUAUUACCAAAAAAUUAUAUAUAACUGUGAAAUCUAUAAAGCACCCGAGCAUUUAGCUCAUUGGUUGGAGUAUGAUCUUCCUGUCUAAAGAGUAGGGUUCGAAUCCCCCCUCUCCCAAUUAUAAAAAAAAAAACUGUGAAAUAUGUAAAAGUUCUAUGCAAAUGGAUUUCUAACAACAAAAGUUAAUGAAAUAAAUAAAUGCAAAUUUAUUAUAGCGUGUUUUUUCCACUUGUUCAAAGGAAGAUUUGAUUUCAAUUGCAGCCACAGAAAUAAUUAGCAAAGCAAUAAAGAUAACACUAUCUUAACUCUUUUUUAAUCUUCCUCGUUAAACUGUUUUAUACAUAAUAUUUAAAAAAAUGACUUUUUUAUACUUACAAAAAAUAAAUAUAAGAUAUGGAAAUUGAUUUUUUUUUGAAGAGGAAAUUGAUCUAUUUUAUUUAAAUUAUAUUUUAUAUAUUUGCGAUGAAAUUUUGAAAUUCCAAAUUUUAUAACAUUAUUUAAGCGAUUAAAUAUAUAUAUAUAUUUAUUUAUUUAUUUAUUGAGGUGUUAUAUUAAUCUCCCUACCGUACAGAUAUACUUGGAUGAAUUAGAAAGAUUUCUUUUCUGUUAGUUUCGCUACCAAUUGGUCGGACAGAUUUUCUUCUUUCUUGUUUGAUUGCGUGGAAAAUCACCCAUCAGUCAUUGAGUUCUAUGAUAGGCUAUGUGUUAAACGUGUUCUGCGGUUUGGGAUUUAAUGAGUUGACUGACUUUUCAAAAGACGACAUGAAAAGAAUUAUUAUUUAAAUAUAACAUAUUUAAAUAAAUAUAUAUAUUUAUUUAAGAUAUGGAGAUUGAUCAAUUUUAUUUAGAAUUAUUAUUUUGUAUAUUUGCAAUGAAAUUUUGAAAUUCCAAAUUUCAUAACAUUAUUUAGGUCAUAUUAUAUAUAUAUAUAUAUAUAUAUUAUGUUAAGGGGUUACAUUGAUCACUGUGCGGAUAUACUUGGAUGAAUUGCCCAUGAGUGCUAUGGUAGGCUUUGUGUUAAAUGUGUUUUCUGGUUUGGGUUUAAUUAGUUGACUGACUUUUCAAAAGAAGACUUGGUUUUAACAAUAAAUCCAAGAUAACAUCAUCAUAGUGCGUCUUCACAAACUAAGCCCUUAAUCCCUUUCUCUCGCGCUGAAAUUUUAGGAUGCUAAGAGCAAAACUUCCAUUAUUCGGCCUUCUGGCCCUUGCUUUAUCUCUGUUCCCUGAUGCAUGCAUCGCUAGAGGCAAACACAAGCACUGUGGCUCUUCUUUCUGUGGAAACAUUAACAUCACUUACCCUUUUCGAUUAAAAAGUCAGCCUCGUAGUUGUGAUUACAAUCGUUAUGAACUAGUAUGCGAGAAUAACCGCACCAUUUUCCCCAUGAAAUAUGGGAAUUUCUAUGUCCAACACCUCUCUUAUAGUGACAAAACCAUUCAACUUUUAGACGUGAGUCUCGGCAACGACAACUGCUCCAUUCCUCAUAGUUCCUAUCCUUGGUACACCCCUUUCGCGAAAGAACUACAUCUCUAUCGAGCCACCACUGAAUAUAGCGUCAUGUAUCUCAUAAAUUGCACGACGCAGAUCAACAACUCUUCCGUUUAUAUCGAUGCUUUUCGUUGCACCAAUACCCCUUCCUCCUCUCAACCUCCGUACUUUUACUUUUUGGAUGAAAAUACAGCACCGUCUGAAUUCCAUGAGUCAUGCACUGUUGAAGCCCGGGUUCCAAUCAUGGUUGCCAGUAUCACCGGCCUCUCUACUUUUGAUAUUUACACAAAGCUGUUAACGGGAUUCCAACUCUCAUGGUCGACUUCCUAUGAUGAUUAUGUUUGGCUGCGGUGGGACUCAAUUGUUAACGUGUGAGGAUUUUUUUAAGUAUUGCGAAAUAUUUGGUGUUG
This 110170-nucleotide long non-coding RNA is filed under the name Theobroma cacao (cacao). Its description in RNAcentral is "long non-coding RNA (TCAC_LNC004315)". Lineage: Eukaryota; Viridiplantae; Streptophyta; Magnoliopsida; Malvales; Malvaceae. The record is from RNAcentral.